This 141078-nucleotide long non-coding RNA is filed under the name Citrus x clementina. Its description in RNAcentral is "Citrus clementina (C. clementina) long non-coding RNA (CCLE_LNC003551)". Lineage: Eukaryota; Viridiplantae; Streptophyta; Magnoliopsida; Sapindales; Rutaceae. The record is from RNAcentral.
UCCAAUAUUGCUUGAAGAUCCUGAUAAUCUCAAUCAUGCAUGUAUUUUCUCUGCCAAUAAACCGAUUACCGUUAACACCAAUAACAACUUCAGAUCAAAUUUCUUUCUUUUUGUCUGUUGGCAAGAAGAGCUUGAUAAUGAGCCUGCGCAAAUGCAAUCUAAUAUUCUGAGGUUAAUUAAUUCAAGAAGUUGCAUCUUCACAAGAAGUACAUUUAAUGUUGUGUUUAUUUACUGCAGUGGGUGGGGAAGUGUGGAUUCUUCCCACUCCACUAUUUACUUGUUUAUUUAAUAAGGGGAGUGGGUGUCUCAAAUUCCACUCAUUUUUGGAGUGUGCAGUGAGAUUCCUCCUCCCACCUCUUUUUUUUUUUAGCCUUUUCUAUUAAAUAUAAUAUAAUUAUAUUUAUUAAAAUAAAGUAAUGUCACAAUUACUUAAAAAUAAUAAUAUUAAACUUAUUUGAAUAUAAUAUUAUUAUAUUUAGUGAAAAAUAAUAAUUUAUUUAAUCUAAGUUAAAAUUAUUUUAAAAUAAUAAUAUUAUAUUCGUGGAGAACUAAUAAUAUUACUUUACAUUUAUUUAAUUGUAAUAGUAUUAUAUUUAUUUAAUGGUAAUAAUUAAUAGUAAUAAAUAGUUAUUCUAAGAAAAUAUUAAUUUUGUACUAUAUUAUUAAUAAUAAUGUUUCAUGUAUUGCUCUUAUAAGGAAUUUGUAACUUACAUAAUUAAAAUUAAAAUUAAUAAAAAAUUGUGAUUUAAAUAAUUAAGAAUAUUAUAAUAAUUAUCAAUUUAUAUAAUUAAAAUUAAUAAUAAAAUAAAUAGUUUAUUUUACAAAUAUAUUUUUUAUUCACUUUGUAAUUACAAACCAAUUCUUUAAAUAUAAGUAAAACUGUAAUUUGAAACAAUUCACUCCUAACCCAAGAUAAAGUGAAUAAAUAAUGAGAUUCUAAUUCAUAUUUUACACUCUAAUUUCAAUAUAAGUAAACAACUUAUUCUCACUCCCACUUUAUACUCCCAAUCCUAGGAUUCCCACUCCUCAGAAUUUCCAAUCCAAUCCGAGAAGUAAAUGCUAACUUAAACAUAAAGACAACAAAGAGUACUUAUUAGUUUUCUAUUAUUCUCAAUUUCGGUUAUAAAUUUUAGAGACUACAUUUUAGGGGUGUUCAGAAUCUAAUUCGAUCUGCUCAAUCCGUCUGAUCUGUAGAAAUCCGAUAAGUGGAUUGGUGGAUUGGAUUGGAUUGAAAAUUUGAUAAUCCACAAUCGGUGGAUUGGAUAUGGAUUUACUUCUGUAAAUCCGCAAAAAUUCGUGAAUCUGCAAAAUAAUAAAAAAUAUUUUUUUAAUUAAAAAAUAAAACUUGUAAACAUGACAUUAGUACUUACUAGUAAAUAAAUACGUUAAAAUAUAGUUACAUUAACACUAUAUUAUAUCUUAUCUGAUAAUAAUAAAAAAUAAAAAAUAAUUAAAUAAACAAAUAUAGCUUCCUAAAUAGUUAAUUUCCGUGUACUGAUCUAAACGAAUGAGAUUUUUUUUGUUUUGGUGUGUUAUAUUUUGAAACUUUAAAUGUAUUUUCUAGCUUUAUUUAAACAAUUUAUUUAUUUAAAUCUUAUUUAAUUUUAAAUUUGAUCGAUAGUAAAAUUAUUUUUAUAUUAAUUUUUUUAUUUAGUUAAUUCUUGGAUUGAACAGAAUUAAAAUUUUUCGAUCCGCAAACCAAUCCGUAAAAUGGUGGAUUGGAUAUGAAUUGGGUCAAAUCCGCAUCCGAUCUGCAGAUGUAUGGAUUGGAUUUGGAUUUGGAUUGAAUUUCACCAAUCUGUGGAUUGGAUUGGAUUGAAAAUUUAUAAUCUGUAAGAUUGUGGAUCGGAUUGGAUUGAUGUCCAAUCUGUAAAAUUCGAUCCGCGAACACCCCUACUUCAUUUGAUUAAACAGUUGGACACGACUAUAUUUGAAUUUUAAAGCAGUAACUUGAAGUAUAAAUUGACUUUGGGAUGAAAAUUCACACAUUGAAUAUAUAUAUUAGUUUUCCAAUUAGAAAUAUGUGACUUUAAUAAAGUUAGGGAUAAGUUAAAAGAUAAAAUAAAUACAGACUCCAAUGCAUUGUAUUUUAUCUUGUAAUAUAUUGAAAUUUACAUUUUUUUUUGUCUUUUAAUUAAUCCUUGACUUUAUUAAAGUUAAGGAUUCAUAAUUAGAAAACCACUAUAUAUAUAUAUAUAUAUAUACACACACACAUACAUAUAUGAUCUAGUCAAUGAUAUAAUUCUCACCUUACGGUGAACAAUACUGUCGCUACUCAAUAUAUAGUAGCAAACCUAUGCAUGGUAAAAUAGCAAAUAAUAAAUUUUCCAUCCCCACUAGCUAAUUAAUCAGCAACUUAUUGAAAAAUUGGCGUCAUAUACAACAUUGUUUGCGUCGCAAAUAAAUAUAUAUGUCUGCAAUAAAAUUAAUACUUGAUCGUAGCUCAAGUUUGGCUGCGUAUUGCCAGUUAAAUAUACGAGAGACAAACAAUAUUUCGGUUUUGGUCAAACAAAUAUUUGAAUAUAUCUUAACAUUAACUAGUUUGCACUUGUAGCUCUAAUUUUGCUCUUUAAUUUCUAUGAUUAAUGUGCUGGGUAUCUCAUUCAACAUGUGAUGAUUUUAAUUAAUCCGACGAGCUAGCACGUAUAGCUAGAUAUCUUAAAGUUGUACUUGAUUAAUUUGUAAAAAUAAAUGGAAAUUAAUAUACAUAUUACAAGAGAGAGCUGAUUAACGAUCAGUAUGCCAUCGAUCAAUUAUAUGUAUAUAUAUCUGGCUCCUCUUACUGAGCAGCAUUCCAAUACUCAUUUUAAUUUUGAUUAUAAUUUCAAUUUAUUUAGUGGAUAAUACAUCUUAUUACAGAAACAAUUUUGCUCCCUGGGUUUAUCGUCUCAAGUUCAAUCUUCAAAUUUCUUGGCCAAGGCAAAGACAUAGCAAAUAGUGAGGGCAGGACAUUUCUUGCCCAUGGUUCAUUGCCAACGUUAUUUGUUUUUGGCACUUUCACUUGACCACAAAAAGGCACCUACGCUCACAGCUUAAAAACUCAAAUUAUUUGUAUGUCACUGGUGGUUGAUGCCCUAAUUCUUGGAGAAGAUUCAAUUUAAAUCCUUUUGCUGAGUUAUUUCCUCUAAUUAAACUCUCGACAUCUUCGAGCAUAUGAUAUGGUACAUAAGUGCAACCGAGCAUUCUUAAUAAAAACUAAUUAAUCAUUAAAUUUAUGGAAAAAUGCCAGAGUUGAGAUAUUUGCCAUCUCCAUAUGAUAAGUCUAUGUUGGUUCUAUUUUCUUUUUUUCCUUUUUACCCUAAAAUUGGAUUUUCAAUGCGCUGCAAGCUACAUUACAGAAUGAUAUACUACAUAACUGUCAAAUAUUUUUCGCUUCGCUUUUAUUAUUUUGGUCCCUAUAAUUUUUUUUUCCUUCUUUCGAAUUACCCAUUAUGUCUCUUAAGUUAAAAUUUUGAUAUUCAAAUUUACUGUAAAAAAUAAAUAAUAAUUUUAACAGGUAAAAUCCGUCACAUCUUUUGACAAACACAUUAGAUUAGACUAUCAAAAGUAUAUAUGAUAGUAAUAAAAAUAAGAAAAAUAUGUUUUUUUUCUAUGGUUAUUUACUUGUUUUAAGACUAUGGAUAUAAUGGGUUGUUGAAAAAUACUUACAUACAUAAGUAUAAUUUAGUGGUCAUUAGCGUUUACCAUAUAGGAAGCACCUGAAAACGUAGUAGGACUUUGGGACAUCCUGUAAAUAAUAUUUAAAUUGUGGAUUAAUCAGACAAUGUCACAUGACACUGUCGCUCAUCAUUAGGUAAUUACUGCCGCCCAUUAUAACAUUACUUCCCCAUAUAUAUUAAGAGUGUCAUAGGCAUAUACUAAUGAAAUCAAAUGUACUACUUUGUAGCCUCAACAUCAUAGCUUGGGAGUUCAUGCAUGUUAUGCUUUGGCCUCCUAGCCUCAAUUGGGUAUGAAAGAUUUUGAAACAUUGAGUUUCUAAUGGCGUAUAUGCUUUGCAAACUCAAAUACUGAUGCUUUAUUGCAUACACACACACACACACACACACACAAACGUAUGUAUUUAUGUCCAGAGUUCGGGUUUGAAAUGAAUUGGGGAGAGGAAAUGCUAAAGCUGCAAAAUUUCCAUCAAAGUUGCCUUAAUUGCUUCCAUGUGUAACAGAGUUUUCUUUUCGAUAAUAAUGUGCUCAUCAGAAAAAUUGUUUAUUUAUUUACAAGCGAUGAAGAAGUAUCGGAAUCUGUUACAAGAUCACUCUCUGUCCCCUUAGCUUUCUCAAUGUUACUUAGCGGUGUCCAGCCUGUAGCCCUGUACUCUCACGUAAGUUGAUAAUGUAUGAUAUAUAACAUAUUUUUCAUAAUGAUUACUUCGACAAGAAUAGUGAAAGUAUUGUCGAUUUUUUACGAAUAAGUCACCUUAUUUUUUAUUAUUUACCAAUUAACAGUUAAGAGUCGAUGAAGUCACAUCUCCCAACAAUAAUAGCAAACGGAGCCUUGGUCUAUUGUAUCAUGCAUAUAUUGAAUUAAUUUGCCAAUGUAUUUAGUAGGGGCUGCUAUUGGUGCCGGUCGGCAAAGUAUAGUAGAAUAUAUUAACAUUUGCUGCUAUUAUGUGAUUGGUACCUGUAGGAGUUUUUCAUGUACGUGGCCAAUGUCAAAGUCAAGGUAUCAAUUCAUCUUUGUAUUUCUUACUUUUCAUCUUUUUCCCUCUUGAUAAAGAACUUCAUAGAUUUAAAUUUAGCAUCUUUUACGAGGAUGUGUAAUUUGAUCUUUAUCGUUAAUAUAGCUCUUAUGAUUUUUUUUUUUUGGUAAAUGCUCCUUUAGUCCAUAGUAUUUAAGCUAAUUAUCACUUAGUUAGUUCUUUCAUUUUCUUAAAAAUUGCCCAAAAAUUAAAGUCCUCUCGUUUUUUUUUUAAUUUGUUGCAUGUUAGAUUUGUUUGAAAUUUUAAGUUAUAUCAUAAUGAAGUAUCAUUUUAUCAGACCCGUUUGUGAUUACUUUUGAGAGACUUAAAUGUAAUUUUAAAAAGUUGGUGUUUGAUUUUUUUUUUAAACUACUUUUGAAAAAAAAAUUACCUCAUCCCAUAGUAGAGUUUGAGCAGUAGGGAAGAAUAGCUUUUUAAAAUUUGAUUUUGAAAAUGAGUUUUGUACUUAAUGCAAUUCCAUAUAUAUCCUCUCAUCUGUAAAAAUCCAAAAUUAUCCUUAUCCAACUGCGAAAUAAAAUAAUUAAAUUUAAAGAGAUUAUUAUUUUUACCAAUCAUAUUGAAUUAAAAAAAUAAAAAUAAUACAAUAAAAAUAUUUAUUUUUGUUAUCAACUAUUAUAUACACACAAUAAAAAAUCACACACACACACACACAUAUAUAUAUGUGCGUGUGUGUGUGUGUGUGUGUGUGUGUGUGUGUGUGACAAUAAAUUAAUAAAAACAUUUAUUGAACAAAAUAUCUAUUUGAGUCAUUUGUAUGUAUUCUUAUAGUAGUUUAAUAGUAAAAUUUACCAAACAUAUAUGAUUGUUUUUAAAACUCAUAACACCUUAAAAAUAAAUUUUGCCAAACAUUAAACUAAUGUUGUACACAACACAACUAAUUAUAAAUGUAGCCAGAUGAAUAUAGAAUUGAAUUCCAAUUACUUUCAAUACAAUUUUUUUUUCAAUUGAUGAGUGAUUUUUUUAUUUGCUUAAUUAAAUUAAAUGAAUAAACUAUUGUUUUUGGAGAUAAAAUAAAAAUAGUAGGACAACUUUCGGAGCUUUUCUUUGUUAGCUUGGUUGUAAAGAAACAAGUUGUUUCCCUUUUUUACACCCAGAAAAAAAUAAAUAAAUAACUGUUCGAACGUGUUAAAUCUCUAAACGUUCGGCUCUAAAUUGCAUAAAAACGCUAAAUUUGCGAGACCUAAAAUACCGUUCAUGUAAACAAAACGAUAUUAUCAAUCAUGCAAAUUCAUUUAUUCAUGAACAGGAACUCAGCCAUGUGAUACAAGCCCAUUUCAUCUUGUACCUAUAAAAUCUUAAAUAUAUAUAUGCAUAUAGAAAAAUUUGUGGAAGGGUUUACUGAAGGAUUGAUUGACAGUAUGAUGAGCUGCCAAAUACUAUUAGACAAGGAACAAAAUUCUGUGCUUCAUGAAAAUUAAGAAGUAGAUUUUUAGAAAGAUUCUAACUAGCUCAUCAUUUUUAUCUAUAAUCUCAAAACAAUCAUUUUUUGCGAACUCAGUUGUAAAUAAAUAAAUGGAAUAAGAGAAUGAACCAACAGAUUUACUGAUUGGAACUAAUUAAUGAUGAUUUUGGCUUAAAUGCAAACCGAAUGCCUUUGCCUGUUAUCAGCUUGCAGAAAACAUACUCAUUGAAGUUCAAGAGAAUAAAGAAUACGAGAAACUGAACAAUACAAAUAUGUACGAACAAAGGAUUAAAGUAAAUGGGGAAAAGUUGUUACAGUAACAAUACAAAUCGAAGUCAUAAUCCAAUUAUUUAUGACAAGAGAUCAUCCAAGUCCAGCAUCAAGCCGAAUGAACCGGGCACAUCCCCUAUUGGUUCUUCAGCAUCAUCAUGAAUUAAGUCUUCCAGAAAAGAAUAGUCUUCCUCAAUUAACUCAGGUAGUCCAUCACUGUCCUCGUGUUGCACCAAUGAUUCAGGCACCAACAUGGGCACUUCAACGAUACUCUCUGAAUGACAACAAUAAUAGCUAAAAUAAACAAGUAUCAGAAUAGUUUUUCAUUAUUUACCAAUUGACACCUAUGAGCUAAUGAAGUCACAUCUCCCAACAAUAAUAGCAAACGGAGCCUUAGUCUAUUGUAUCAUGCAUAUAUUGAAUUAAUUUGCCAAUGUAUUUAGUAGGGGCUGCUAUUGGUGCCGGUCGGCAAAGUAUAGUAGAAUAUAUUAACAUUUGCUGCCAUUAUGUGAUUGGUACCUGUAGGAGUUUUUCAUGUACGUGGCCAAUGUCAAAGUUAAGGUAUCAAUUCAUCUUUGUAUUUCUUACUUUUCAUCUUUUUCCCUCUUGAUAAAGAACUUCAUAGAUUUAAAUUUAGCAUCUUUUACGGAGGAUAUGUAAUUUGAUAUUUAUCGUUAAUAUAGCUCUUAUGUUUUUUUUUAAUUAUUUUUUAUAGGUAAAUGCUCUUUUAGUCAUGACUAUUUGAGCUAAUUAUCACUUAGUUCAUGUAUUUUUUAAAAAUUGUAAAGUCCUCUCACAUUAUCUAUUUUUACUUAUUGCCUGUUAGGUUUGUUUGAAUUUUAAAGUUAUAUCAAAAUGAAAUAUUAUUUUAUCAGAUCCUUUUGAGAUUACUUUAGAGAGACUUAAAAAUAAUUUUGAAAAGAUAGAAAUUAAUUUUGGUAUUUGGAAAAGAUAGAUGCUCUCCCCCCUCUCUCCCCCCCCCCCCCCCCAAGAGCCUUAAACGGCCUUAAUGGCCUCUCCGGCAUCCGGUGAUGGCAACCAGUCAUCACCGGUCAACACCCUCUCCGCCAAAGAACGAAUUAUUAGGAGUUUGAACCCUCCUAAGAAAUCAUUUAGACGACCCCCAAAAUUGACCAAUGAUCCACUGCCUGACGUCCAACUGUCACCACCGCGAAUCAAAUCGCUCCAGCGGCAAAAUGACCUCAAUCCAUCCACACAACCAAAUCAUUUCUCUCCAAACCACUCCCAUGCAGACCUUCCAUCUCCAAUCCACCAUCAUGCUGACCAACCACCGACAUCCACUGCCUCUAUCCUCUCGAAACUUCGGCAACCCUUAACCACCUCUGUUGUCGUAAGUGAACAAGAAGAAACGUCUCAUGAAGGCUGCCAUGAUGCAGCAAAUCAACCAUCCCUUCACGAGCCGGCUAUCAUGAACUGACCGGCCAAUGAUAAUGGCAGCCAGCCACCACCGAUUCCCCCCCUCACUUCCAAAAACGAAUUUCCUUUUCUUAGGAGAUCUCAAAGGCAAACUCGUUCAAAGUAUAAAAGCCAAUCGCCAGCCAUCCAACCCCAACAGCCACCAACUUCCGUAAACACAGCCAAUCAACCACCAUCGCCAUCGUCAUCCCUUCAACAGCAAACUCCAACCUUAACUAGCCAUGACCACCUUCCAACCGUCGAGCCAUCAUCACCUUCAAAUCGAACCAAGCCUUCACAAGCUAACACAAACCAGCUUCCAGCAUCUAGUCCGCAGCCAACACAAGCCAUACAUGAUCACUCGGGAGAUGAUCAGCCAGCCGUUACAGCCCCUAUGCAUUCUCAAAACCAGCCCGUGCUUCAUGGCCAAUUGAACCAAGAACCUCUUCAAGAUGCAACCACCGUGGUUAAAUCCAGUCAGCCACAACCAUAUCCUACACAAACAACCCCCACGAGCCAAAAAGUCUCACACACACGCACUCGGAACAGUGUUCACAGCCAGCUGCAGCUGCUGACCGGCGAUUGUCAGCUCCCCAUGCAAGCAAACACCACCGAAUCCAGUCAAGAUCAGCAAACAUCCCAGCCCAAAAGUCUCCACGCGUGCAGCAGCCAUGAGCAAACAUUCCAGCCCAAAAGUCUUCACGCGUGCAGCAGCUAUGUUGCUCCACAUGCACAUGAACCACUUUCGGCUGCACAUGAUUUGUGUCCCCCAUGUGCGUUUCCUACUAGCCUUCCCCUUGUCCCAUUAUCCUUUCCCACUAAUCAAUCCCAAGCCCAAUCCAUUUCUGAGCCCAACAACCAGCCCUCCCGAAUGCCCUCAACACUCAUUUCUGAUAAUCCCCAAUUUACCCCGUUGACUCAAAAUGCUACACCGCCCACAUCCGCACCAUCUUAUGCCUCAAUUUUGAAUUCCGUCCCCAAUUCGAAUCAAAAGAGAACCAAUAAAAAAUCGUUUAUGGAUAUUAUGAUCGGCCCAACUAGCUAGAGGGUUCCAAUCAAGACCGUUACUUCUUUCGGGGGAGAGCCUAACGUGCAAUUCUCUGUUGCGGAAAUUGAAGGGAUGGCCAUUUCUUUCAAGCUGACAUUGGUUGGUAAAUUUUCUUAUAAUAGACCUAGUAUAGAAUUAAUUUGUAAAUUUUUUACUUCUUUGAGAUUGAAGGGAACUUUUAAGGUGUCUUUACUAGAUAAUCGACAUGUGUUAAUUCAAUUGGACAUUGAGGAUGACUAUUCCCCCCUAUGGGUUAGGUAGACAUGGCACAUUAAUGGGAGUGCCAUGAGAAUUUUUAAAUGGACCACCGAUUUUCGGUGCUCCGAGGAGUCCCCUAUAGUUCCAGUAUGGAUCUCAUUUCCUUACAUGCCUGUCCACUUCAUGCACUGUAGGGAAGUAUUAUUUUCUAUUGCAUCAGCUAUUGGCAAGCCAUUGCGAAUUGACCAAGCUACUGCCACUACUAAAAAAAUAGUCUUUACUGACACUUGAUUUGUGACNNNNNNNNNNNNNNNNNNNNNNNNNNNNNNNNNNNNNNNNNNNNNNNNNNNNNNNNNNNNNNNNNNNNNNNNNNNNNNNNNNNNNNNNNNNNNNNNNNNNCAUAAAAAUAUCACAAAUUAUUGAUACUAUAGUGUCGGUAAUUUAGACAUCAGAGAUUUCUGACAUUAAGAUAUCAGUAAUAAAAAUAAAAUAAUUCUAAUUAAGUUCUAAAUAGAACUCGAACCGGAGACCUCUAGUACUCAAGUGUUUAAGUUCGAAAAAAAGACCAGAACAUUCAAAACUCAACUUUUCUUGUUCAGAAAAGUAACGACUAAACCAAACAUUUUUUUUUUAACUUUUCCUGUUUAAUUUAGACAAAAUUUUUAUUUUUUUCAUUCCCUCCUAAACUCCCCAAAUCUAAAAAACCCUAACUUCACCGAAUUCACAAAAACUCUAAUCUAAUAGCGUCGUCUUAUUAACCCCAACUCUUCCUCAGCCACUCCUCUCUUAUGUUUCUCUUACAGUCCAACACAAUCUCUUACUAUCUAACUCAAUUUUUCCCUCCCAAUCUCGGCUCUUUUCAAUCCCUAACCUUAAAUCUUUCUAUUACAAUCCAACAGAAUCUCACACGGUCGUGAAAUUCUAGCCAUUUUUUUGCCUAACGCCAAUCUUCGUCAUCGAGAAAAAUGAUUUGAGGUGUUUAAUUUAGCUCCAAGAUCAUGGACGGAUGCCUUGGUCAAAGUUAAAGAGCGUUGUUGGAGGCUGUUUAAAGAAGAAGCAGAAGCACCACUUAGGUGAAGCAUUUGUAGAUCUGGGCAUGGUAAUUAAGUAAGGUGAGCAUUAGCUAAAUAAUUAAUAAUUAUUAAAUAUUCUCUACUUAUAUGUGAAUUUAUUAAGAAAUUAAUUUGAUUCUUUUUGUUGAAUUUUACGUAGGUUUACUAAUUCUUUUAUUUUUAUUCAACUAAUACACGGUUUGGGAAUUCUUUUUUCCGUGUUUUGAUUUGUUGAUAUGUGAAUGGUAAAAGUUGUGUCAGUCAUUCAUAGUUUUUGGACAACUGGUAUGGUGUCUACAAAGUGUUUGAUGAGAUGCUUGUGAGAAUUGUUGGGUGCGUUUCAAUUAGUUGACAUGGUUAGCAAAUUAUAUGCUUAACAGGGUAGUAUAUGUAAAUAAGAAAUGAUGGUAUUCUUUCUUAAACAUAUUAUUUGGUGGUCAGUCGAUAUUAUUCUGUUUAACUUGCUUAUAGACAUUCCUUCACAUUCCUAGAUGCGAUUCUGUCUUUAUCAAGUGAACACACCAUUGGAAAUAUAUUUUUGAGACCUUUUGCAAUCCUUUCUUUCUCCAUAGGUAUAUUGUAUUUUUGAUACCUCACACUAAUACUAGCUUUUGAUGUGAAGGCUCGGUGAGCAUUUCGAGCCCUUAAAGGCACAAUAAGGCUGUAGGCUCUUAUUCGUGGACAUUUAGUGAGAAGACAAGCAGCUGCUACUCUCGGCGCUAUGCUGGGGCUUGUCAAGUUACAGGCACUUGUUCGUGGUAGAAAGGUCAGCCAUUCUGAUAUUGGACUUGAAGUGGGGAAAACUUGCACUCCAUUGACGCUUUUGGUAAUUUCUUGAGAGCUCAUCUGAUAGGGAUUUAACUGCUCUUCUUUUUAUUUAUUUAUUUUAAAAGAACAUAUUCUUUCCGUGAAGAUUAAUCUUUUAAAUAUAUUUCAUUGAUCUCGCUGUUAAUGCAUAUUGUUGAAUGUGGAGAUAUUGUCGUUUAUUGUUCAAUAGUAAAGGUCUCGCAUGGAGAGGCUUGAUUACUUGUCUUGCUUUGAUUCCAUGAACAAUGCGGAAUAGAGCAUGUCAUGAACUUCCACCCAAAGCUCAAGUGGGGUACAUUGGUGUCUGAGUGAACCUUUUUUAUGGUUAAGCAUUGAAUGGUUGUCCUUGCAGCAACUGUGUACUUGUACAAAUCAAUAUAUACCUUCUUACUUUUCAUCUGUUCCAUUCAUUUAGGAUACAUGCGUCACUUUAUGUAGACAGCCUUCAUCUACAAAUAUACGGAUGGGUUAUUUAUACAUUCCAGACAUUACUAAACUGCCUGAAUUUCUACAUGCCCGGUUCACUUCUAAUUAAUUUCAUUUUUCUUUUAACUGCUCUGUCCUUCAGCAGGGCAAGCAUGUGGAUCCUGUUGAACUUAAUUUGUCUACAUGAUUAUCGAAGCUGUUAGGAAGUUCUUUUUUAUCUUUAAGGUAUUCUCGGCAUUAUCAUGCCCAUUUGUCCGAUUAUGAUUUUUCUUUUUAAUGGAUUGAGCUUUAUGUUCAUAUGUCAUAUUAUUUAGGACGACUGUACAUGGCAGAGCCUGUGGUAUCAAAGACAUUAAGUUCUAAUUUGAAUAUGGCACCCAUUUUAUUUUGCUGGAGGCCUCCAAUUUAACUAAUAACCUGCUGGCAAAUAUGGCAGGAUGUAGUUGCAAUUUUUCUUUUUGAUCUACAACCUUCUUGGUUUUUUUUUGGAUGUGGGGUAAGUGACUGUUUGUUUUUUGCUUUAGUUUCUUGCUUCAUCACCAAUUGUGUUGUCUUUGCAACUGCAAUAUGAUUCUGUGGAGCCAAAUUCGGUCUCAAACACUGGUCAGCAUUUCACAUCUGGAAACUAGCUCCCCAACCAAAGAAAAUGUCAGACUCAAAAUCUCAGAAGAAGCAUGUUAGUGCUCAAACGCUUGAAGCUGAAACAGGCCGACCAAAAUGAAGUGUUCGCAGGAACCGUGCUGCUAAUGCAGACAGUAUCACAAUGCACUCAACCCCCAAAUUUGAGAGAUCCAAACGAAGUCUGAAGAAAGCUUUAAGCCAUCCAGUAGAUCCAGUGCAUGAAAAUCCACAAAGUGAACUUGAAAAGGUUAAGCGCAGCCUGAGAAAGGUUAAUAAUCCUCUAGUAGAAAAUUCUGCAUUUGUCCACUCAGAAUUUGAAAUUGAAAAAAAAAACCAUAGUUUGGAUAAGUUGCCAACGAGCUCAGUAUGUCAUGAAGGUUUGGAACGGAGCUUGAGAAAUUCAGGUGAGAAGAUGAAGAAAAAGACAACUUUGAAACAAUCCAAACUACCCAAAGUAGAAGCCACGCCAGACCUAGUGGAAAUGAAUGAGAUGUCUGAUGUACCACCCAGUGACCUAGCCGUAGAUGAAUCAAAACCUUGGAUGAAGAGUGGUGCUAAAGACGAGACUAUUCCCAUGACAAAUGGUAAUUUUGAACCAAAGGAGGAUUCAACAAACAAUGAGAAUAAUAAAUCUAGUAGGAAAGUUGCUGUUCUGACAAAGAAAAAAUGUGCAGAGAAUGAGCUGCAGAGCAGCCCGUCGCUGCCAAGCUAUAUAGCUGCAACUGAAUCAGCGAAGGGUAAGCUAAGACUACAAGGCUCAUCAAGAUCUAGCGAAGAUGGUGUUGAGAAAAAUAGCGGCACCGGGUGUCAUUCGCGGUUUUUUUCACCUUCAUAUCUCUAAAUUUUUUCACAUUGGCCUUUCCUUUUAAUUUCUCUUUUUAUGAAAUAAACUUUAAUCAGAUUUGAGUUGCCUUAUAAUAUAAACUUUAGUUCUUCUAAAUUUUCUCAUAUUGACAGUCAAUUUUUUUCGUUUUCCAUGUACUUAUAUGCAGAUUUGAUCAAUGUGUUUGAAGUGUUUCUUCCUCGACUUCACUUGUAUCCUAACCUAUCCAGUCUAUUGAAUAGAGAAGUUGCUGACGUGAUAACACAACUGCACUACUUAUGUUCAAAGAGUGAAAGGCAGUCAUCCUUAUCAAUUUAGCUUCUAAAUUUUCUAUAUGUAGCCGCAACUAGUAGACAUUUGAUUGGAUGGUAGAAAUUCUUAUGUAUUGAAUUUAAAUUAUUUAGUUAUGAGAGUAGGAUAUCUCAUAUUUUUGUUAUUGAAGUUUUGGAAUUUGUAAUAUAUACUAAUAAUAUUUAAAUGUGAAAUGAAAGAUUUUGUGAUAUAAAUCAAUUUCCUUUUAUUAUUUUGUGGUGCCUUUUAAUUUUACCAAUAAAUUAAUAGGCAAUGAUCUAAUUCAAUUUUUUAUUUUUUUAAAAUAAAUUAACUAGUGAUACCAUGGUAACAGUAAUCAUAGACACUAAUAAAAUAUCAAUAACUACUAACGCUAUGGUGUCAUAAUAUCGGUGAUACUGUAGUAAUAGUAAUCACUGACACCACUUACAAGUGUCACUAUUUUUCUGACUCCUAAAUUACUGACACAAUUAACAAGUGUCAGUGAAAGUAAUUUCUGACACUAUUCUAAAGUCAGUAAAGACAAUUUUUCUAGUAGUGCAUGCCUCUUUAGCUCACCCUUCUGUAGCUAGGGUAUUAGUGGAGUAUGAUGUUAUCCAACCUCCUUUGCCAAGGAUACGAAUCGGGGUGGGAGAUUCUGGAUUUUGGCAAAAUGUAAUGUUUGAGAAAAUCCCACUCUACUGUGCUUCCUGCAAGCACCUUGGCCAUACCAUUGAGACGUGUUACGUGGCCAAUCCGGGGCUCCGUCCCCAGCUACCCAGUGGGAAUCGGCAGACCAGAGUAGAAGAUGGUAAUAAGUCAGAAGUUCUACCGUCAGAUACUCCACAACCCUCAGAUACUCCUCGACCUGAGCCUUCCAUCACUAAGCAUAUUGUAGACGCGGGGUCCCCGAUCACCAAACCUUCGGAGAACCGGCCUAACGUUACAAAUUCUACAUCCGUUCAAGAGCCGAUUGCCCAAGAUGACACAACUCAUGAUUCUAAGGAACCUCGUGAUCAAAGCUUGUCUCCCCUGCGGAGCAUUGGUGAGUAUAAUCCACAUCUUCAUCAAGCAUCCAGCAUAGAUUUUAGCCAUUACAAUUCUCAUACUGAUAAUGAUGAUAGUUCUGACGAGCACCUGGCGAAUAACGAACACUUUUUAUUUGCUCUUGAGAAUUCUGAGAGAAUAGACUUAAGUCCCGAUUUUAGCAUUGUUGGUCAUUCGAAAAAGGGAUUUAAAUUACUUACCGGCCGUAAGUAUCUUAAGACAUAUUAUCACCGUCUUCAUUAGUCAUUUUAUUAUGAUUCUUAUGUUAGGCUAUGCCUUAAUCUUUUCUUUUUCUAUUGUAUUUUUUUCUCUUGAUUGGAGGUUUUGGUUUUUGUCCCCCUCCUUGUAUCUUUCAUUAUCUUUUAUAAAUGACAGGUAGGGGUCCCGCCUAACCCCCCCACCUUAGAGUGGUAUGCUUAUUUAAAAAAUUUUUGGUGUUUGAUAAUUUUUUUUAAACUACUUUUGAAAAACUUACUUUAUCCCAUAGCGGAGUUUGAAAAAUAAGGAAGAGUAACUUUUUAAAAUUUAAUUUUGAAAAUGAGUUUUAUAUUUAAUGCAAUUCCAUAUAUAUCCUCACAUAUACAAAAAUCCAAAAUUAUCUUUAUUCAAUUGUGAAAUAAAAUCAUUAAAUUUAAAGAGAUUAUUAUUAUUAUUAUUAUUAUUAUUAUUAUUAUUAUUAUUAUUAUUAUUAUUAUCAAUUAUAUUGAAUAACAAAAUAAAAAAAUAAUUAAUAAAAAACAUAUUUAUUUUUUAUUAGUUAUUAUAUAUACACAAUAAAAAUAAUAAAUAUACAUGACAAUAAAUCUAAAAAAAAAAUUAUUGAACAUAAUAUCUAUUUGAGUCAUUUGCAUGCAUUUUUAUAGCAGUUUAAUUGUAAGAUUUAUCAAACAUAUAUGAUUGGUUUAAAAACUCAUAACACCUUUAAAAAUAAAUUUUGCCAAGUAUUAAACGGAUGCUCUAUACAACUGAUUAUUUUUACAGCACAACUAGCAUUAAUUAUUUUAAAAGCUACACUUAUUACUAAACUAGCCCUAAAUCCAACAAUUAUGAAAGUAAUGAUAGAGAAUUUUGGAUAAGUUUUAAAAAUAUAGGAAUUAACUAGGUAAUUAACCCAAUCCAAAAAGACUAAAUAAACUUUUACCCUAUUUUGAUCAUGUUGCCUUACUUUGGAGUACAUGGCAUGGCUUGUUGUAGUUCAUUUUUCAAAAACUAGAUGAAUAUCUUCAUUCAAUUAAUUUGCACAUGUUAUAUGGAUUCGAAUGCUGCUUGGAGUAGUAAACCAAUCAUCGUGCUUGGCUAUGUUCCAAGAAAACCGACUGGGACAAUGAGGUAAAUAUUUAAAUUAAAUGAAGUUUCAUUCUAUGAUACAUUAAUACUGUAAUUAAACAUGAAUUGUGUAAAUGAUACAUAAGACAUAUAAAUUCAACAGAAAAAUUAUAAAUCAAUAAUAAGUAUAAAAUAAAACAUAAAUUAUGUAAAUAUAAUAUAAGACUUAUAAAUGAAAAGUAAAACAAGUAAAUUAAUAUAAGAAUGGUAAAUUGGUGUUCCACUAGUAAACAAAACAAAAACUUACAAAUGAAACAUAAAAUUUGUAAAUUAACAUUAAGUGUAAAAUAGAACAUAAAUUGUCUAAAUAAAACAUAAGAUUUCUAAAUAAAAGGUAAAACAAGUAAAUCAACAUGAAAAUGAUAAAUUAGUGUAUCAAUAGUAAACAAAAGAAACUUACAAAUAUAAUAUAAAACUUAAAAAUUAAUAAUAAGUAUAAAAUAAAACAUAAAAUUAAAUAAAUAAAACAUAAGACUUAUAAAUGAAAGGUAAAAUAAGUAAAUUGAUAUAGGAAUGAAAAAUUGGUGUAUUAUUGGUAAACAAAAUAAAAAAUUACAAUUGUAUUAGAUUCAAUUUUAUUGAUAUAUUGUAUAUGUCUAAUAAGAAUUCUUUUUAUUUUGUUUUGCCUUGAUCCACAUCAAGAAAAAUGAUUUUACAUAAUUAAUCUAUAUAGUAAACAAAUACUUUAUAUGAUAGAAAAUUGAAAAAAAAGUUUAUAAAGUCCUAAGACCAAUAUAGAAUUGAAUUCCAAUUGCUUUCGAUACAAUUUUUUUUUUCAAUUGACAGGUGAUUUUUUUUUUAUUUGCUUAAUUACACUAAAUGAAUAAAUUACUGUUUUUGGAGAUAAAAUAAAAAUAGUAGGACAUUUUUCUUCGUUAGCUUGACUGUACAGAAACAAUUGUUCCCUUUUUUUACACACACACACACACACACACAAAAUUGAAAACAUAACUGUUCGAACGUGUUAAAUCUCUAAAAGUUCGGCUCUAAAUUGCAUAAAAACGCUAAAUUUGUGAGACCUAAAAUACCGUUCACGUAAACCAAACGAUAUUAUUAAUCAUGCAAAAUCAUUUAUUCAUGAACAGGAUCUCAGCCAUGUGAUACAAGCCCAUUUCAUCUUGUACCUAUAAAAUCUUAAAUAUAUAUGUGCAUAUAUAAAAAUUUGUGGAAGGGUUUACUGAAGGAUUGACCGGCGGUAUGAUGAGCUGCCAAAUACUAUUAGACAAGGAACAAAAUUCUGUGCUUCAUGAAAAUUAAGAAGUAGAUUUUUAGAAAGAUUCCAACUAUCUCAUCAUUUUUAUCUGUAAUCUCAAAACAAUCACUUUUGUGAACUCAGUUGUAAAUAAAUAAAUGGAAUAAGAGAAUGAACCAUCAGAUUUACUGAUUGGAACUAAUUAAUGAUGAUUUUGGCUUAAAUGCAAACAGAAUGCCUUUGCCUGUUAUCAGCUUGCAGAAAACAUACUCAUUGAGGUUCAAGAGAAUAAAGAAUACGAGAAACUGAACAAUACGAAUAUAUACGAACAAAGGAUUAAAGUAAAUGGGGAAAAGUUGUUACAGUUACAAUACAAAUCGAAGUCAUAAUUCAAUUAUUUAUGACAAGAGAUCAUCCAAGUCCAGCAUCAAGCCGAAUGAACCGCUCACAUCCCCUAUUGGUUCUUCAGCAUCAUCAUGAAGUAAGUCUUCAAGAAAAGAAUAGUCUUCCUCAAUUAACUCAGGUAGUCCAUCACUUUCUUCGUGUUGCGCCAAUGAUUCAGGCACCGCCAUGGGCACUUCAGCGAUACUCUCCAAAUGACAAUGAUAAUUCUCUCCAGUUUCUCCACCCUGAAGCAUGUUGUUCCAGGAGUCAUAUUGUUGGUUGCAUAUCAUCUGAUCAAAAUGACUCAUCAUCAUCUCCAUGGAUGGCUCGUAAACACUGCUUGCAAGCCCCAUUCCACCAGCUAAGCUCUGCUCACUCAUCAUGUGAGAACUGCUGCAGCUUACUUCUUGAUAAUCCAUAUAGUUCUGUUGUUGAUUCUGUUGGUGGGUCAACAGCCUAUCCAUCUCAAUAUCUGCUACUUGUUCGGAUUGAUUGCUGUUGUCUUGAAAAUCCUUCAGCUUUCUUUUCUUUGCAGAACCGUACUUCAUAAUAUCAUGGCCAGAUGGUUGAUUCUUUCGGAGCCUGCAAAGCACAUAAUUGGCAGCUUGAUUCUUGGGCAAAUGGAGAGUGUACUCGUGCAUGAUCCAAGCCCCGUGAUCCUCACAACCUUGUUUUUCGUAACGAAACCGCUUCUUGGAGCCGAUUUUGAUUUUGGAUUGGCCGCUUACUAUAUCUUUACCAGCAUCCUCCCCUUGCCACGUACCACCAGAAGAUCCGACUUUGCGAUCAAUUCUAGAACCCUUGGAAGACUUUUUCUUCAAUUGGGUGAAGAAAUAAAGAUCUUCAUCAGCAUUUAAGAAGGGUCCUCCAUGUGAAUCCCAAAUCUCAGUGGGUUUUUUCUCGUAAAGAUUACAAUCCCUGAUGAAAUACUCAGCAAGAGGGAUGAAUAUUCCCGAAACUUUCUUCUUGAGAUAAUGUUCGAUGAGUUCUUCAUCGGAUGGUCUGAACUGGAAGCCAUGUGGAAGAAAGGGUCUGUGUUCUUGCAUUUUGUUUGAGGAGAAGAGGGUUAAUUCAAUGGUGGGUUGGUUGAUUGAUUGAUGGUGGAAGGUUUUUCGGUGAAUUAUUGAAAACAAAGAACACGGAAGCCGAGAGAGAAGCAAAGAUAGGGUUAGAGAAUUAGAGCAGAAGUGGUGAGAAGCGUGGGUGUCAAAGUUUCCUUAUAUCAUAUGGAGGAGUGAAGUGGCGUAGCUUGGAUUACAAGUAACAAUUUCUUAAGGCAACUCCGGGAAACGCGGGUGAACUUGCAAGUUGGGUAAUUGCUAAACCCUAAACCUAUCUCCCAGUUUGUUUCCACUCCAGAUUAGAUAUUUGGUGUUGUAAGAAGUUCUGUGAGUAGCAUUAGCUAAUCAUGCAACUAUGUGAUUUUAAUUCCCCUACACGGUGGUGCUGAAAUUUCGGUCUUGUGCACCUCUCCGACUAAUCAGCACGUCUGUAUUGUAAAUAGACGGUUACGAAUAAUCCAGCCAAAAUAAUAGGAAUUAGAUAUAUGGCCAUUCCAAAUAGAAAGAAUCAUUUUUUAAAAAAAUUCUAUUUUCCAUUGCUACUGUGAAAUAAAAUUACUAGAUUUCAGAUAAGAUUUCAAAUAAUAAUGGAUUGGUGUUAAUUAAAUACUAUUUAUAUAUCUAGACUAUUUAAAGCUAAUUUGAUAAUAUUCGUAACCUAAUUUUUGUUCUUUUGAAGGGAAAAAAAGGGUCAAACUUUUUAAGUAUUAUAUGGAAUUUUUUAUUUAUAUAAUGUGAGUAAUAAAUAAUUUUAAAUGUUGUAAAAUUUAUUCAUAAUAUUUAAGACAUAUAGUAUUACUCGUUAAAACAUUAAAUGAUUAUUUACAAAUGAGAUCUAAAAGAGAUUUCGGAUCUUGAUAAUUGAAAAAAAUGAUCCUGAAACCAAAUUAGUUCAACAAAUAUACAUCUUUCUAUGAUACCAACUAUAUAAUUUGCAAUGUUACAGAGAUUAUGGCAGCAACAGUUUAAAUAAACAACCUCUACAGCUGAUGUUUUUAUUUCACAAUUCAAAAUAUGCAAAUUUGAUCAUCUACCUAUCUAUCUAUGCAACAGAUUGUAUGCGGGUAAAUCUUGUACACAAGAAACAUCUUCGAGUUUAAGCUCGCGCUCUAAUUGUGCUCUUGUUGACUUCAAUACAUCCUGAAAAAAAAAUAAAAAAUCAUAUAACAACAAUUAAGCCUAAAUCAUGGUUCAUGUUAAAAAAAAAAACCCAUAAAGUGGAGGAUGCUAGGUUAAGUUUACGUUAAAUUCCAUAUAUGAAGCCCGUUUUGCAAGCCAUUGAGCAUCCAUUAUUUGAAAGGCUACACAAUAAAGGUUGUCGAAUGCCAUUUCGUCUUUCUCAAGCAGUUCUAGAAAGCGGAUACCACCUAAAGAAGAUGGCUUUCCUGCACGUAAAAUUCAACAAUAUGAAGACACCAAGUAGAAAUGCAGAAUAUAGCACAAAGUUAAGUGUGUUUAAUAAAAUAUGGCUGGUCAGAUGUUGGAUGAGCAAGUUGAUUUCUUAAGGGGAUGCUUGGAACCAAGGCUCUUCAUGAUUGACUGGGGUGGCUUUGCCGUUUCCCAGCAUUUAAGGAUCCAGGAGUGAACCGCAAUGAUUACAAUAAAUGUUACUUAUUCAGAACUUUAAUUACCUGAUUGAAGAUCCAACAUCUGUAUUAACAUAAAUUAUGUAAAUGCAACAUAAAACUUAUAAAAGAAAGGUAAAAGAAGUAAAUUAACAUAAAAAUGGUAAAUUGGUGUGCUACCAGUAAAUAAAACAUAAAAUUUGUAAAUCAACAUUAAAUGUAUAAUAGAACAUAAAUUGUCUAAAUAAAACAUAAGACUUCUAAAUAAAAGGUAAAACAAGUAAAUCAACAUAAAAAUGAUAAAUUAGUGUAUCAAUAGUAAACAAAAAAAACUUACAAAUAUAAUAUAAAACUUGUAAAUCAAUAAUAAGUGUAAAAUAAAAUAUAAAUUAAAUAAAUAAAACAUAACACUUAUAAAUGAAAGAUAAAAUAAGUAAAUUGAUAUAGGAAUGACAAAUUGGUGUAUUAUUGGUAAACAAAAUAAAAAAUUUGAAGUGUAUUAGAUCCAAUUUUAUUGAUAUAUGGUAUAUGUCUAAUAAGAAUAUCUUCUUUUUUUUAGCCUUAAUCCACAUUAAGAAAAAUGAUUUUACAUAAUUAACCUGUGUAGUAAACAAAUACUUUAUAUGAUAGAAAUUGAGAAAAAGAGUUAUAAAUAUCCUAGGACGAAUAUAGAAUUGAAUUCCAAUUAUUUUCAAUACAUUUUUUUUAAUUUUCAAUUGCCAGGUGGCUUUUUUAUUUGCUUAAUUAAACUAAAUGAAUAAAUUAUUGUUUUCGGAGAUAAAAUAAAAAUAGUAGGACAACUUUCGAAAUUUUUCUUCGUUAGCUUGGCUGUAAAGAAACAAUUGUUCCUCUUUUUUACACACACACACACACAAAUUGAAAACAUAACUGUUCGAACGUGUUAAAUCUCUAAAAGUUCGGCUCUAAAUUGCAUAAAAACGCUAAAUUUGCGAGACCUAAAAUACCGUUCACGUAAACAAAAUGAUAUUAUCAAUCAUGCAAAAUCAUUUAUUCAUGAACGGGAUCUCAACCAUGUGAUACAAGCCCAUUGCAUCUUGUACCUAUAAAAUCUUAUAUAUAUAUAUAUAUAUAUAUAUAUAUAGUAGUUUUCUGGUCAAUGAUUUUAAAGUACGGAAAAGUCCGGGAAAACUUUAAAACCGCAUGGCUUUAAAGGCUUAGAGUUUAAGCCUUUAAAACCGCAUGGUUUUAAAGGUUUCCCGCUCUUUUCCGCACUUUAAAAUUUCGGACUGGAACAUUUCUCUCUCUCUCUCUCUCUCUCUCUAUAUAUAUAUAUAUAUAUAUAUAUAUAUAUGUGUGUGUGCAUAUAUAAAAAUUUGUGGAAGGGUUUACUGAAGGAUUGAUUGACAGUAUGAUGAGCUGCCAAAUACUAUUAGACAAACCAACAAAGUAUUGGCUCCACUGGCAAUGAGGUCCCCUUAAGUGGUUUGACUGGGUUUGCUCCCUAGUUCGAGUCGUAGGGAAGUCGCUUUUGUUGGGAGAACCUUGAUGUGCUCAUAAUUUAUCUAUUAUUUUAAUACUUUUAUAAUUAAUUUAUGUUAAAUUAUAUUAAUUUUUAUCUUAAUUUUUAUAUUUAUUCAUUGUAGGAAUAUUGGGAAUAUUAAUGAGAAAAGAAGCUUAAAGAGGAAACAAAUUGGAGUAUAAUGGAAAUAAUGUGGAAGCAAGAGGGAAAGAAAUAAAAAGCUAAAUUUAAUCAUCAUGCAUGCAACACGUGGGGGAAGCAUUGAAUAUUUGUUGACAAAUAUGGCAGCAAAUUGGGAAGCAUUAAAGAAUUAAUUUGCAAAUUGGACAAUCAAACUUUACAAGUCACGUGGAUGGGCUUAAAAGGUGGCUAGAAUUGUUUUGUUUGAAAUCCUUUUCAUUUAAGGAUUCGUGGGCUGGAUUUGCAAUCCUUUUCCUUGAAGGAUUUGGAAGAAACCACAUCAUUAUAAAAGAGAAGAAAGGCAGCCGCACAAGAGGGGGGAAGCCAAGAGAAAAGAGAAAAAUAAUAGAGCAGCAGCCGUAAGUUUUGAGGAAAAUCGAGAGCAGCAGGAAUAAUUUAGAGCAGAAGGAAGACACAUUAAUUCUUGAGUUUUUUUUUUCUUUCUCUCUUCUCUAUUAUCUUACUUGAAUGUUUCCAAUUAAAUUAAUGGAUCUCUUUAUAUUCCCAUGAACUAAUUUAUUUUACUAGGGCUACGAUGUAGCCUAACUAUGAAGAUUUAAUUCCAUAAAUCUAUGUUAUUUUUAAUUAAUUAUUCCAUGAUUGAGUGUUCAUUAUUGUGCUUAAUGCUUUUAAUUAUUUGGCCAAUAUUUGAAUGAUUUGAGGAUACAUAAUGAGACCGAGAGGAGAUUUAUGUAUUUUUGCUCUGUGUAAUGGAUGCCAUGAAUUGAACGAAAGACAGAGAUGUGCCAACGUGAUUCGUGCAGUUUUAUCUAAGAAUUUCCAUAGAACUUAAUGAAUCUUUGCAUAUUUAAAUUCACAUAGAGAUAUAGUGGGUUGAUAUGUGGAGAUAUUUUUGAUAUUACUCGAGAGAGGAUAUUGAAUAAAUUAGGGAAAUUCACUGUCAACAUGGGUAAUAAACUUUAAUAGCAUAGAUGGAGGAUUAAAUUGGAUUGGUUAUGGUGAAAUCGAAUGUCCUAGUGUUUUAAUCUCUUGGUAAUUUUCUAUUAUUGUCUGCAUCUUUGUUUAAUUCUUAAUUAUUUUAUUUUAUUUAAUUUUAAUCUAAAUUCACUUAUUUGAUUGUUCAUAUAAAUUAGGGUUAGAAUAAUUUUGGUAACUAAUAGGGUAUAUAAUCUCUGUGGGACGAUACUCUACUCUUCAUUAUAUUACUUGUGCCGACUAGUACACUUGCUAAUUUACGCAACAAGUUUUUGGCUCCGUUGCCGGGGAUUGUUUGGAUUAGUAUCGAUACCAACUAACCUUAGUUUAAUUUGAAUUUUAUUUUUAUUGUUUUUAUUUGAAUUUUUAUUUUCUUGUUUAAAUUUUAUGAGACGUUCAAGAAGUUUUGAUUUAUUGCCUUUUGAUCCAGAGAUUGAACGUACGUGUAGAAGGCUUAAUAAAGAAAGGAGAGAAGCUUCACAGGAGCAACAAUUAAUCAUGGCUGACGAAGCAUUACAUGGAAAUGAGGAUGCAAAACCCUUAAGAGAUUAUGUUGUACCUACAGUUAAUGGUGCCUGCUCAAGCAUUGCACGUCCUGCCAUUCAAGCCAAUAAUUUUGAAAUUAAGCCAGCUAUAAUCCAGAUGAUUCAGACGUCAGUACAGUUUGCUGGGAUGCCAAAUGAUGAUCCAAAUGCUCAUAUUACAAAUUUCUUAGAAAUUUGUGAUACAUUUAAGCAAAAUGGUGUUUCAAACAAUGCUAUCAAGCUAAGGCUUUUUCCGUUCUCACUGAGAGAUAAAGCAAAAGAGUGGUUGAACUUACUCCCUGCUGGAACAAUCACUACUUGGGAUGGUUUAGCACAGAAGUUUUUAGCAAAGUACUUUCCUCUAGCAAAAAUAGCCAAAUUGAGGAAUGACAUCACAACCUUUGCUCAAUUCGAGAUGGAAUCAUUAUAUGAAGCGUGGGAGAGAUACAAAGACCUACUAAGAAAAUGCCCACAUCAUGGUCUACCAGUUUGGCUUCAGGUGCAGACAUUUUACAAUGGUUUGGGAUCCAAUACUAGAACAAUGAUUGAUGCUGCAGCAGGAGGAACGUUAAUGGGAAAAACACCAGAAGCAGCUUAUGAAUUAUUGGAGGAGAUGGCAUCUAACAAUUACCAGUGGACUUCAGAGCGAUCAAUGCCAAGGAAAAUUGUAGGAGCCCAUAAUGUAGAUGUUGUCACUGCUUUAGCUGCACAGAUGACUGCUUUAUCUAAUAAGCUGGAGCACCUAAAUGUUAGUGCAAUUCAAACUCAAGUGUGUGAAUUAUGCGGAGGGAACCAUACCAGUGUCAACUGCCAAGUUGGAAGUCCUUUUGCGUCGUCAUCUGCUGAACAAGCUCAUUAUGUGUCAAACUUCCAGAGGCAACAAAAUAACCCAUAUUCUAAUACCUACAAUUCUGGCUGGAGAAACCACCCGAAUUUGUCAUGGAACAACACUCAAAAUACAUUGAAGCCACCUCCAGGGUUCCAAUCACAAGAGAAGAAGUCAAAUUUGGAAGAUGCUCUUACCCAACUUACAACAAAUAUGUCUCAAUUCAUGACCAAAAUAGAGACAACUUUUCAGAAUCAAGCUGCAUCAAUCCGGAACCUCGAAGUACAAAUGGGUCAGAUUGCAAACUUGUUAUCCAGCAGACCACAAGGCUCUCUGCCGAGCAAUACAGAGACAAAUCCAAAGGAACAAAUGAAUGCAAUUAUGCUUCGGAAUGGUAGACAACUUGAAGAUCCGCCAAAAGAAGUAAAUGAAGUUGAAGAAGAUAACAUGGAGCAAACUAAAGACACCACUAGAACAUAUGAGACAGCAAGUGCAGAAAUUCCACAAUCACAACAAUCAGCACCAGUCAAAGCUUAUGUCCCUCCAAUCCCGUUUCCUCAGCGCCUUCGGAAAAACAAAUUAGAUAAGCAGUUCUCUAAAUUUCUUGAUGUCUUUAAAAAGUUACAUAUUAACAUUCCUUUUGCAGAUGCAUUAGAACAAAUGCCAAGCUAUGCUAAAUUCAUGAAAGAAAUUUUAUCCAACAAGAGGAAAUUAGAAAAGCAUGAAACUGUGUUGUUAACUGAAGAGUCAACUGCAAUUCUACAGAAUAAAUUGCCACCGAAGUUGAAAGAUCCAGGGAGUUUUUCUAUCCCAUGCACUAUUGGAAAUACUUAUUUUGAUAAAGCUUUGUGUGAUUUAAGUGCAAGUAUUAAUUUGAUGCCUCUAUCUGUUUUCAGGAAAUUAGGACUUGGUGAACCAAAAGCAACAACUGUUUCUCUUCAAUUGGCAGAUAGGUCUAUAAAGUAUCCUAGAGGAAUGAUUGAGGACGUACUUGUUAAGGUCGACAAGUUUAUAUUUCCUGCAGAUUUUAUUGUUUUGGAUAUGAUUGAAGAUCGAGAGAUACCAAUCAUUUUAGGCCGACCAUUCUUGGCCACAGGAAGAACUCUUAUUGAUGUCCAAAAAGGAAAACUAAUCCUUAGGGUGCAAAAUGAGCAAGUCACUUUCAAUGUAUUCGAAGCAAUGAAAUAUCCAUCGGAGAUCGACACGUGCCUUCAAAUAGACACCAUUGAUAAGGAGAUAAUUGAGAGCUUUCGCGAUACAAUGCCAAAUGACACACUAGAAGGAUGUAUUGUUCACUCUGGGACUACUUAAUCUACGAAUACAAGUAUUCAUGAGUAUGCACGGUAUUUGGAAGCUUCACCAUUUUACGUGCCCUCGAAAAAGCUAGAAUUGGAAUAGCUUGGUAGAAAUCCUUCUAGACCAAAACCUUCAAUAGAAGAACCUCCAAAACAUGAGCUUAAGCCGUUGCCCUCUCAUUUAAGGUAUGCUUAUUUAGAUGAUAACUCUAAGCUACCAGUUAUUAUUUCUUCUGCUUUGACAGAUCUUGAAGAGGAAAAGGUACUUCGAGUUUUGAGGGAUCACAAAGCUGCUCUAGGAUGGACUAUUGCCGACAUCAAAGGAAUAAGCCCUUCAAUUUGCAUGCACAAGAUUCUAAUGGAGGAGAGUUAUCAGCCGACAGUACAGCCACAAAGGCGCCUAAAUCCAAACAUGCAAGAAGUGGUUAGGGCAGAGGUGCUUAAAUUAUUGGAUGCUGGGAUAAUUUAUCCAAUCUCUGAUAGCAAAUGGGUUAGUCCAGUGCAAGUGGUACCAAAGAAAGGAGGAAUGACGGUCGUGAAGAAUGACAAUAAUGAACUUAUCCCAACAAGGAUAGUCACAGGUUGGCGGGUAUGCAUGGAUUACAGAAAACUUAAUGCUGCUACUAGAAAAGACCAUUUUCCACUACCUUUUAUUGAUCAAAUGUUGGAGAGACUUGCUGGCCAUGCUUACUAUUGCUUUUUAGAUGGAUAUUCAGGCUAUAAUCAAAUCCCUAUAGCACCAGAAGAUCAAGAAAAAACCACCUUCACAUGUCCUUAUGGUACAUUUGCUUAUAGAAGAAUGUCAUUCGACUUAUGCAAUGCACCAACUACCUUUCAACGUUGCAUGAUGGCAAUAUUUUCUAAUAUGGUGGAGAGAUUCAUUUAGGUGUUUAUGGAUGAUUUCUCAAUUUUUGGAUCUUCAUUUGAUCAUUGUCUAAACAAUUUAGAUCUAGUUUUACAACGAUGUGAAGAGACAAACUUGGUUUUGAAUUGAGAAAAAUGUCACUUUAUGGUGCAAGAAGGCAUUGUGCUAGGUCAUCGUAUUUCAGCUAAAGGAAUUAAAGUUGAUAGAGCAAAGAUCGAAGUCAUUGAGAAGUUGCCACCACCGACUUCCGUGAAAGCAAUAAGAAGUUUUCUAGGGCAUGCCGGGUUUUAUCGACGUUUUAUUAAAGAUUUUUCAAAGAUAACGAAACCCUUAUGCAACAUUUUACUCAAGGAUGUGCCUUUCAAUUUUACCGAUAAGUGUUUGCAGGCUUUUAACACUUUAAAGGAGAAACUGAUUUCAGCUCCAGUUAUUAUGGCUCCAGAUUGGGAUCUGCCGUUCGAGGUUGUGUGUGAUGCGAGUGAUUAUGCUAUUGGAGCAGUUUUGGGGCAGCGGUAUAAAAACAUGUUGCAUGUUAUUUACUAUGCAAGUCGAACUCUGACAGACGCGCAAUUGAAUUGUGCUACCACUGAGAAAGAGUUUCUAGCCUUUGUGUUUGCACUAGAAAAAUUCCGCUCAUAUUUGGUUUGCUCCAAGGUAAUAGUUUACACUGAUCAUUCAGCUCUCAAGUAUCUGUUCACAAAGGCAAAUGCUAAACCAAGACUGAUCCGUUGGGUGCUCUUACUACAAGAAUUUGAUUUAGAGAUUCGGGAUAAGAAGGGAUCUGAAAAUUUGGUGGCGGAUCACUUAUCUCGGUUAGAGCAGGGAGAGCGAGGGGAUAAUGUAAUGGUUUCAAUCACCGAAGAAUUUCCUGAUGAAAAGCUGCUGGCCUUGCAGACUUGCGACGCACCAUGGUAUGCAGAUUUCGUGAACUAUUUGGCGAGCGCCGUUGUUCCUUCUGAUUUAUCAUAUCAGCAGAAGAAGAAAUUCUUUUCAGAUGUCAAGUAUUAUCUUUGGGAAGAUCCGUUCUUGUAUAAGUACUGCUCAGAUCAAAUCAUUCGACGAUGUGUCCCGGAAGAAGAGAUGAGGAGCAUUCUACAACACUGUCAUUCUCGUGAAGUCGGUGGACAUUUUGGCACAACCAAAACUGCGGCAAAAGUGCUUCAAUCAGGUUUUUAUUGGCCCACCUUAUUUAAAGAUGCUUAUGUUUUUGUUGCUGCUUGUGACCGGUGUCAGAGAACUGGUAACAUUUCAAGGAAGAAUGAAAUGCCACUAACUAAUAUUCUUGAAAUAGAAUUGUUUGAUGUCUGGGGAAUUGACUUCAUGGGUCCGUUUCCAUCUUCCUUCAAGAAUAAAUAUAUUCUGGUAGCUGUUGAUUAUGUUUCUAAGUGGGUUGAAGCUGUUGCUUUGCCUUCCAAUGAUGCUCGGGUUGUUGUGAGGUUUUUGAAGAAAAAUAUUUUCCUGCGGUUUGGCACUCCAAGAGCAAUUAUAAGUGAUGGUGGCAAAUAUUUUUGCAAUCGACAAUUUGAAGCCCUCUUGAGCAAAUAUGGAGUCACACACAGAGUUGCCACCCCUUACCAUCCACAAACUAGCGGCCAAGUUGAAGUUUCGAAUCGAGAAUUAAAGAGAAUUUUGGAGAAAACAGUAAACGCUUCACGGAAGGAUUGGUCGAUAAAAUUAGACGAUGCACUCUGGGCGUAUCGAACAGCUUUCAAAACACCUAUUGGUAUGUCUCCUUAUUGUCUAGUAUUCGGAAAAGCAUGCCAUCUACCUAUUGAACUUGAGCAUGGGGCAUAUUGAGCGAUGAAGAUUUUGAACUUUGACAUGCAAGCAGCAGGAGAAAAGAGAUUGUUGCAACUUAAUGAAAUGGAUGAAUUUCGCAAUGCAGCUUAUGAGAAUGCUCGGAUCUAUAAAGCCCGCACUAAACAUUGGCAUGACAAGCAUAUACUCAGACGUGAAUUUCAAGUUGGCCAAAAUGUUUUAUUAUAUAAUUCUCGACUUCGGUUUUUCCCAGGCAAGUUGCGAUCCCGUUGGUCUGGUCCUUUUACAAUAACACAAGUCUUUCCGUCUGGCGUGGUAGAAGUUUCACAUGAUACAAAGGGCACAUUCAAGGUUAAUGGUCAUCGAUUGAAGCCUUAUUUGGAUGAUGCAUUUGAUAAGCACAAGAUAGGUAUUGAGCUGUCUAGUCCUGAAUGACGACCAGAGACAGUCAAGCUAAUGACUAUAAAUUAAGCGCUUCUUGGGAGGCAACCCAAGCUUUCUAAACUUUAUUAUUAUCAAUUUUUUUUUCGUAUUCUUUUUCUUUUCUUUUACUUAUUUUAUUUUGUUUUAUCUAGAUUUUGCACAAGUUCGGGGGUCGAUGAACAUUAACUUUCCACAUGCCUUUCAACAACUCAGCUACAACUUUCCAUCUUCAAGUGCAAAACUGGGGGAGUUUCUCUUUUCCUUUUCUUUUUCGUUACAUUGAGGACAAUGUUUAUUUUAAGUUUGGGGGUGGGAAUAUUUGCUUUUCAUUUUAUAAAAAAAAAAGAUUUUAAUGCCUAUGAUGAGUUUAUGAUUGACAAUAAAUAUGGUUCUUAGAAAGGGAUGAAUAUUAUCUUAGUUUAUACUUGAUUCUUGUGUUAGUUUCGUCUUGAUUGUGAUUCUUUAAAUAUCUUGCGCACUUAUAUCGAUUCUUUUAGAAUUUUGACUUGAGAUUUGAGAUUGAUACAGCCUAAGUUGAGAAUUUUAGAUUGAGUAAAUGACUGUUUGCCUUAAUUCUACAUUACUUAAGUCUACCCAGGCACCAUAGUCAGAAAUAACUACCUACAACCCUUAAGAGUGAAGCUAUCCUUGAGUAAUUUGGGCCUAUGUACCACCAGUAUGUAGAGGAUAAUCUACCAUGAAAAGAAGGCUACCUUAAGGGGUAGAGUGAAAGCUCCUGACUAUGGAUAAAGAAAUGAAAAAAGAAAAAAAAAGCGUGUGCUUCAAAAAAAAAAUGCAAAUUUAUGCCUGAAAAAAAAAAAUCAAGAUGAUGAGGUUAGUUUGACCUACUCUGUUUAUUAUUCGAAACAAGGGCUGUGAUGUUGAAAAUCUUGAGAAUGGGUUUUGAUUGAAUUGAUUCACACACAACACAGGAAUCCAAUAUGAGAUGAGGCUGACCAUUGAAUUAAAGUUAGAACUUUGCUAAUAUUUUUAAUUUUCUUUGAGCUAUAUACUUUAUGCAAUCUUUGAGGCAUUUUUGAUGAUGUUUGUGGGUAUCAUCGCUGGAAACCCUCACGGGACUAUAACUCGUCCACUAGGGCCGCCUAGGGGUUUAAAGGCUUGUUGCAUACGCUAAAUGCAAUCGCGAUCACCUGCGAAAGUGGUUUAGUUAGAACUUUCUUUUCGUAGUUUUUAUUUUAGUUUUUGCUCGAGGACUAGCAAAAUGUUAAGUUUGGGGGUAUUUGAUGUGCUCAUAAUUUAUCUAUUAUUUUAAUCCUUUCAUAAUUAAUUUAUGUUAAAUUAUAUUAAUUUUUAUCUUAAUUUUUAUAUUUAUUCAUUGUAGGAAUAUUGGGAAUAUUAAUGAGAAAAGAAGCUUAAAGAGGAAACAAAUUGGAGUAUAAUGGAAAUAAUGUGGAAGCAAGAGGGAAAGAAAUAAAAAGCCAAAUUUAAUCAUCAUGCAUGCAACACGUGGGGGAAGCAUUGAAUAUUUGUUGACAAAUAUGGCAGCAAAUUAGGAAGCAUUAAAGAAUUAAUUUGCAAAUUGGACAAUCAAACUUUACAAGUCACGUGGAUGGGCUUAAAAGGUGGCUAGAAUUGUUUUGUUUGAAAUCCUUUUCAUUUAAGGACUCGUGGGCUGGAUUUGCAAUCCUUUUCCUUGAAGGAUUUGGAAGAAACCACAUCAUUAUAAAAGAGAAGAAAGGCAGCCGCACAAGAGGGGGGAAGCCAAGAGAAAAGAGAAAAAUAAUACAGUAGCAGCCGCAAGUUUUGAGGAAAACCGAGAGCAGCGGGAAUAAUUUAGAGCAGAAGGAAGACACAUUAAUUCUUGAGUUUUUUUUUCUUUCUCUCUUCUCUAUUAUCUUACUUGAAUGUUUCCAAUUAAAUUAAUGGAUUCUCUUUAUAUUCCCAUGAACUAAUUUAUUUUACUAGGGCUACGAUGUAGCCUAACUAUGAAGAUUUAAUUCCAUAAAUCUAUGUUAUUUUUAAUUAAUUAUUCCAUGAUUGAGUGUUCAUUAUUGUGCUUAAUGCUUUUAAUUAUUUGGCCAAUAUUUGAAUGAUUUGAGGAUACAUAAUGAGACCGAGAGGAGAUUUAUGUAUUUUUGCUCUGUGUAAUGGAUGCCAUGAAUUGAACGAAAGACAGAGAUGUGCCAACGUGAUUCGUGCAGUUUUAUCUAAGAAUUUCCAUAGAACUUAAUGAAUCUUUGCAUAUUUAAAUUCACAUAGAGAUAUAGUGGGUUGAUAUGUGGAGAUAUUUUUGAUAUUACUCGAGAGAGGAUAUUGAAUAAAUUAGAGAAAUUCAUUGUCAACAUGGGUAAUAAACUUUAAUAGCAUAGAUGGAGGAUUAAAUUGGAUUGGUUAUGGUGAAAUCGAAUGUCCUAGUGUUUUAAUCUCUUGGUAAUUUUCUAUUAUUGUCUGCAUCUUUGUUUAAUUCUUAAUUAUUUUAUUUUAUUUUAUUUUAAUCUAAAUUCACUUAUUUGAUUGUUCAUAUAAAUUAGGGUUAGAAUAAUUUUGGUAACUAAUAGGGUAUACAAUCUCUGUGGGUCAAUACUCUACUCUUCAUUAUAUUACUUGUGCCGACUAGCACACUUGCUAAUUUACGCAACAAACCUAUGCCUCUCAGUUCGAGUGGGGACUUCUAGUCUGGGUUGUGGUACGAGCUUAAAGGUGCCUCACACAGUUGGGGCCCUCCCCAUGAUACCUCGUGGUUAAGACAAAAAAAAAAAACUAUUAGACAAGGAACAAAAUUCUGUGCUUCAUGAAAAUUAAGAAGUAGAAUUUUAGAAAGAUUCUAACUAGCUCAUCAUUUUUAACUGUAUUCUCAAAACAAUCAUUUUUUGCUGAUUGGAACUAAUUAAUGAUGAUUUUGGCUUAAAUGCAAACCGAAUGCCUUUGCCUGUUAUCAGCUUGCAGAAAACAUAUUCAUUGAAGUUCAAGAGAAUAAAUAAUACGAAUAUAUACGAACAAAGGAUUAAAGUAAAUGGGGAAAAGUUGUUACAGUUACAAUACAAAUCGAAGUCAUAAUUCAAUUAUUUAUGACAAGAGAUCAUCCAAGUCCAGCAUCAAGCCGAAUGAACCGCUCACAUCCCCUAUUGGUUCUUCAGCAUCAUCAUGAAGUAAGUCUUCAAGAAAAGAAUAGUCUUCUUCAAUUAACUCAGGUAGUCCAUCACUUUCUUCGUGUUGCGCCAAUGAUUCAGGCACCACCAUGGGCACUUCAGCGAUACUCUCCAAAUGACAAUGAUAAUUCUCUCCAGUUUCUCCACCCUGAAGCAUGUUGUUCCAGGAGUCAUAUUGUUGGUUGCAUAUCAUCUGAUCAAAAUGACUCAUCAUCAUCUCCAUGGAUGGCUCGUAAACACUGCUUGCAAGCCCCAUUCCACCAGCUAAGCUCUGCUCACUCAUCAUGUGAGAACUGCUGCAGCUUACUUCUUGAUAAUCCAUAUAGUUCUGUUGUUGAUUCUGUUGGUGGGUCAACAGCCUAUCCAUCUCAAUAUCUGCUACUUGUUCGGAUUGAUUGCUGUUGUCUUGAAAAUCCUUCAGCUUUCUUUUCUUUGCAGAACCGUACUUCAUAAUAUCAUGGCAAGACGGUUGAUUCUUUCGGAGCCUGCAAAGCACAUAAUUGGUAGCUUGAUUCUUGGGCAUAUGUAGAGUGUACUCGUGCAUGAUCCAAGCCCCGUGAUCCUCACAACCUUGUUUUUCGUAACGAAACCGCUUCUUGGAGCCGAUUUUGAUUUUGGAUUGGCCGCUUACUAUAUCUUUACCAGCAUCCUCCCCUUGCCAAGUACCGCCAGAAGAUCCCACUUUGCGGUCGAUUCUGGAACCCUUGGAAAACUUUUUCUUCAACUGGGUGAAGAAAUAAAGAUCCUCAUCAGCAUUUAAAAAGGGUCCUCCAUGAGAAUCCCAAAUCUCAGAGGGUUUUUCCUGGUAAAGAUUACAAUCCCUGAUGAAAUACUCAGCAAGAGGGAUGAAUAUUCCCGAAACUUUCUUCUUGAGAUAAUGUUCGAUGAGUUCUUCAUCGGAUGGUCUGAACUGGAAGCCAUGGGGAAGAAAGGGUCUGUGUUCUUGCAUUUUGUUUGAGGAGAAGAGGGUUAAUUCAAUGGUGGGUUGGUUGAUUGAUGAUUGAUGGAGGAAAUGUUUUCGGUGAAUUAUUGAAAACAAAGAACACAGAAGCCGAGAGAGGAGCAAAGAUAGAGUCGGAGAACUAGAGAAGAAGUGGUGAGAAGCGCGGGUGUUAAAGUUUCCUUAUAACAUAUGGAGGAGUGAAGUGACGUAGCUUGGAUUACAAGUAACAAUUUCUUAAGGCAACUCCGAGAAAAGCGGGUGAACUUGCAAGUAGGGUGAGGGGUCCUUGCAUAUAAUAACCUUGCUAAAUCGGACAAAUCCAAGAAGUCAUUGAGCUUGAAGUUACCGCCAAGUUGGUCUUUGGGGGAAAAAAUUCUCCUUUUUUUAAAAAAAUAUUUCAUGAUUAUUAGAAAUUUGCUUAUUAUUAUUUAUUAUUAUUUUUUAAAAAUAAAAAUCAGAGGUCCUCUAUUAAAUUAAAAAAUACACAAAUAUUAAAUUAUGAUUGUUCCUUUAACCCCCAGUUUGUUUCCUCACGGGAUUGGAUAUUUCUUGCUCUAACAAGUUCGGUGAGUAGCAUUAGCUAACCAUGCAACUAUAGAAUUUUAAUUCCCUAUACUGUAGUGCUGAAAUUUCGGUCUCGUGCGCCUCUCGAACAAUUUUCACCAGUUGUUAAUUCUUUUGGGCAAAUUUGUGUAAGUAUGAAACUUCUUGGGGUGAAGUAUAAUUUCACAAAUACUGAGGGACCUAAUGCACUAAAAUUUUAUACUCUUCAAAUUUUUCUUUCAAUUAAUGUCCGUGCAUGACUGUGAAGUGUUAAGGCGAACAUUUGCUCCCAUCUUAUAAAAUAGAAUCUUUGUCGCUUAUCGUUAUCCCCCACAUAAUCAAAAUUUUCAGAAUUACACAUAUUGUCAAUUUAUUAUUAAAUAAUUAGUAAUAGAGAUGGCCAACGAAUUGGGUGGCACAAGACACGGGAUGGGACCGUACAGCACAGCGCGAUACAUGCAUGCUUCGUCAAGGCACAAAGAACAAUACGACACUCAUGUGGGAGGUCAGACCUAGAUUCGUAGGCACACGAGUCUUAAAACACGUCGUAGUGUAAAAAAUGUCAAAGUUUAGCACAUAAAAAAGUUUGUGAAAAGCUCAGUUCAAGUUUUAUAACUAAAUUUUAUUAGAAUUAUACUCCUGCAUAUUAUUUAAUUAAAUAAAUAAAUUUGAAUUAAUCAACAUUAAAUCUAAUAAUAUUUUUUAUUUUAAUUGUAUUGAAUUUUUAUAAUUAAUAAAUGUUGUGUUAUUUUAAAUUAUAAAUUAAUUUUAAUUCAUUAAUUAAAUUUGAAUUGAGUUUGUCGUAUGAUUUAGUGAGAUAUUGUCUUGUCAAGUUUUCUUAUAAUUGUUGGUUCUAUAUUAUGUAAAUGUAAUAAAAUUUUUAAAUAUAUUUCUAAUCAAUUGUUUAAUGCAACUCUAAAAAAGAAUUUAUGGGAAAUAUCUGAUGAGCAUUGUAUAAUAUAAUAUAUAAAUUUGGAUGAUUGAUACUUCAAAAAGCUGUUUAUAUUUAAAUGAAAGUGUUUUGACUCCAUAAUUGAAGACAUAAAAUAAGUUUAUAAUAAGGCAUUAUAAAAAAAAAUUAAAUAAUUUAAAAAAUAAGUGAGUUGGCAUGGCACGGCCCACGUUGGCAUGGCCUAUGUGCCCUGCUAAGUCAAUCUUAUAAAAUUUUAACAUAUUCUAAAAGUAAUGCAGCUACUUGUGGCGGUUAAAAUUGUGGAUCUCUCUCCCUUUUUUCCUUUUUCCCUUAAAAAUUUGAUCUUGACUAAGAUCAAUGUUGAUAGCAAGUUUGAGACCUUCCCCUUGGAUUAAAUUGAAGAAGGAAGGGGUCAAUUAAAGAAAAGAUGUUAAUUAAUCAAAGGUCCAACUAAUCACCACGUCUGUAUUGUAAAUAGACGGUACGAAUAAUCCAGCCAAAAUAAUAGGAAUUAGAUAUAUGGCCAUUCCAAAUAGAAAGUAUCAUUUUUUUUAUUCUUUUUUCCAUUGCUACUGUGAAAUAAAAUUACUAGAUUUCAGAUAAGAUUUUAAAUAAUAAUGGAUUUGUGUUAAUUAAAUACUAUUUAGAUAUCUAGAUUAUUUAAAGCUAAUUUGAAAAUAUUCGUAACCUAAUUUUUGUUCUUUUGAAGGAAAAAAAAGGUCAAACUUUUAAGUAUUAUUUGGAAUUUUUUAUUUAUAUAAAGUGAGUAAUAAAUAAUUUUAAAUGUUGUAAAAUUUAUCCAUAAUAUUUAAGACAUAUAGUAUUACUCUUUAAAACAUUAAAUGAUUAUUAAAAAAUGAGAUCUAAAAGAGAUUUCGGAUCUUGAUAAUUGAAAAAAAUGAUCCUGAAACCAAAUUAGUUCAACAAAUAUACAUCUUUCUAUGAUACCAACUAUAUAAUUUGCAAUGUUACAGAGAUUAUGGCAGCAACAGUUUAAAUAAACAACCUCUACAGCUGAUGUUUUUAUUUCACAAUUCAAAAUAUGCAAAUUUGAUCAUCUACCUAUCUAUCUAUGCAACAGAUUGUAUGCGGGUAAAUCUUGUACACAAGAAACAUCUUCGAGUUUAAGCUCGCGCUCUAAUUGUGCUCUUGUAGACUUCAAUACAUCCUGAAAAAAAAAAUAAAAAAUCAUAUAACAACAAUUAAGCCUAAAUCAUGGUUCAUGUUAAAAAAAAAACCCCCAUAAAGUGGAGGAUGCUAGGUUAAGUUUACGUUAAAUUCCACAUAUGAAGUCCGUUUUGCAAGCCGUUGAGCAUCCAUCAUUUGAAAGGCUACACAAUAAAGGUUGUCGAAUGCCAUUUCAUCUUUCUCAAGCAGUUCUAGAAAGCGGAUACCACCUACCAAUGGGCCUUUGGUCCAAUGGGAGAAGCCUUGCACUUACAAUGUUGAGUGCAAUGGUUUGAGCCUCUAUAAGAGCAUUAUGGAGGUUAGUUUCAGUUCUUCCUCAAUUAUCAACUAAUUGAGUGGAGACAGUCUCUCCCUUACGAAAUGUGAGUGGAGUAGACACCCCUCGAAUAUUAGAGAGGGUUUAAAGUAUUUGGACAAGUGCUUCAGUGCGUUAAUGUAUGGCGGUGGUCCCAAUUGUUUAGUACGAUUGUAAAUAUUGUAAUUAUAAUGUCUAAUUUAAUAUCAGUAACAAUCUGUGUAUAACAGAAUUCAAAAAAAGAAAGAAAGCGGAUACCACCUAAAGAAGAUGGCUUUCCUGCACGUAAAAUUCAACAAUAUGAAGACACCAAGUAGAAAUGCAGAAUAUAGCACAAAGUUAAGUGUGUUUAAUAAAAUAUGGCUGGUCAGAUGUUGGAUGAGCAAGUUGAUUUCUUAAGGGGACGCUUGGAACCAAGGCUCUUCAUAAUUGACUGGGGUGGCUUUGCCGUUUCCCAGCCUUUAACGAUCAAGGAGUGAACCGCAAUGAUUACAAUAAAUGUUACUUAUUCAGAACUUUAAUUACCUGAUUGAAGAUCCAACAUCUGUAUUAACAUGAAUUAUGUAAAUGCAAGAUAAAACUUAUGAAUGAAAGGUAAAAGAAGUGAAUUAACAUAAAAAUGGUAUAUUGGUGUUCUACCAGUAAACAAAACAAAAACUUACAAAUGAAACAUAAAAUUUGUAAAUCAACAUUAAAUGUAAAUUAGAACAUAAAUUGUCUAAAUAAAACAUAAGACUUCUAAAUAAAAGGUAAAACAAGUAAAUCAACAUAAAAAUGAUAAUUAGUGUAUCAAUAGUAAACAAAAAAAACUUACAAAUAUAAUAUAAAACUUGUAAAUCAAUAAUAAGUGUAAAAUAAAAUAAAAAUUAAAUAAAUAAAAUAUAAGACUUAUAAUUGAAAGAUAAAAUAAGUAAAUUGAUAUAGGAAUGACAAAUUGGUGUAUUAUUGGUAAACAAAAUAAAAAAUUACAAGUGUAUUAGAUCCAAAUUUAUUGAUAUAUGAUAUAUGGCUAAUAAGAAUAUCUUCUUCUUCUUCUUUUUUGCCUUAAUCCACAUUAAGAAAAAUUAUUUUACGUAAUUAACCUGUAUAGUAAACAAAUACUUUAUUGCUACAUUUACUUGCCGGAUUCAGGAAUGGGAAUCCGGAAUCGAAAUCAUUCCUGCGUUUACUUGCUAAAAUAAGGAGCGGAAUCGAAUUCAUUUUCGUGGACCCCACAGCAAUUUGGGAAUCAAAUAUGGGAGUCUGAUUCCCAAGGGGGGCUUGGGAAUCAGACUCCCAUUCCCUGCAUUUCCCAUUCUACCCACGUUAAUUUGUAUUAUUCCAGAAAUACCCUCACUUUAGAUUAAAAAUAUAAAAAGCGAAAAAAAAAAAAUCCCUAAAACCUAAACUCUCUCACCCGUGCCUCCCAAUCGAAUGCCAUCGGAGCUGCUUCCAUCACCAUCGCAGCCAUCACCGUCUUUGACGUCGUGGUUCGUCGGCUGUGGACAGCUGCUCGUCGCUGGUUUCGUCUCCGUUGGGCCGCAUCAAUUUCGUCACCGUCUUGAUUUCGCCCCCGUCUCAUUUCAUCUCCGAUUUCGUCUUUAAUGGCGACGAUUCUAAUAUGAUGUUGUUGCUACUGCUAACGACGAUGAUUGUUGUUGCCGUUGUUGUGUAUGACAAUGACAAUUGAGAUUUUGAUUGUUGCUGUUUUUUUUUUUUGGGAAAUGGAUUAUUUUUGUUGAUGAUGAUUAUUUGGGAAAUGGAUUAAUUUGAUGAUGAUGAUUAUUAUUAUUAUUAUUUUGGAAAUGGAUUAUUUUGUUGAUGAUGAUGAAUCUGAUUAUGAUCAUUAUUAUUUUUUGAAAUGGAUUAUUAUUUUGCUGAUGAUGAUAUUUUUUAUUUUGAUUAUUGUUAUUAAUUUUAUUAUUAUUAUUAAUGAUAAAUUAUAAUUAAUUAAUAAACUAACAAUACAUGAAUAUAAUUAAUUAAUAUAUUAACAGUAAUUUUAAUAAUAAUAAUAACAAUAGUUAUUAUUAUAAUUAACUAAGGGCAUUUUAGUAACUUGAAACAAUUCAGACUAUUCCGAUUCCUGUACCUCAAGUAAACAAUUUAUUUUGAUUCCCAUUCCCCAUUCCCAUUCCAGUUUAUUCCGAUUCUAGCCCAUUCCGAUUACUGACAAGUAAACGCAGCAUAUAUGAUAGAAUUUGAGAAAAAAAAAGUUAUAAAUGUCCUAGGACGAAUAUAGAAUUGAAUUCCAAUUACUUUCAAUACAACUUUUUUUUUAAUUUUCAAUUGACAGGUGAUUUUUUAUUUGCUUAAUUAAACUAAAUGAAUAAAUUAUUAUUUUCGGAGAUAAAAAAAAAUAGUAGGACAACUUUCGAAAUUUUUCCUCGUUAGCUUGGCUGUAAAGAAACAAUUGUUCCCUUUUUUUACACACACACACACACAAAAUUCAAAACAUAAUUGUUCAAACGUGUUAAAUCUCUAAAAGUUCGGCUCUAAAUUGCAUAAAAACGCUAAAUUUGCGAAAAUACCGUUCACGUAAACAAAACGAUAUUAUCAAUCAUGCAAAAUCAUGUAUUCAUGAACAGGAUCUUAGCCAUGUGAGAUAAGCCCAUUUCAUCUUGUACCUAUAAAAUCUUAAAUAUAUAUGUACCCAUAAAAUCUUAAAUAUAUACAUGCACAUAUAAAAAUUUGUGGAAGGGUUUACUGAAGGAUUGAUUGACAGUAUGAUGAGCUGCUAAAUACUAUUAGACAAGGAACAAAAUUAUGUGCUUCAUGAAAAUUAAGUAGAAUUUUAGAAAGAUUCUAACUAGCUCAUCAUUUUUAUCUGUAAUCUCAAAACAAUCAUUUUUUGCGAACUCAUUUGUAAACAAAUAAAUGGAAUAAGAGAAUGAACCAUCAGAUUUACUGAUUGGAACUACUUAAUGAUGAUUUUGGCUUAAAUGCAAACCGAAUGCCUUUCCCUGUUAUCAGCUUGCAGAAAACAUACUCAUUGAAGUUCAAGAGAAUAAAGAAUACGAGAAACUGAACAAUACAAAUAAAUACGAGCAAAGGAUUAAAGUAAAUGGGGGAAAAGUUGUUACAGUUACAAUACAAAUCGAAGUCAUAAUCCAAUUAUUUAUGACAAGAGAUCAUCCAAGUCCAGCAUCAAGCCGAAUGAACCGCUCACAUCCCCUAUUGGCUCUUGAAGAAAGUCUUCCAGAAAAGAAUAGUCUUCCUCAAUUAACUCAGGUAGUCCACCACUGUCUUCGUGUUGCACCGAUGAUUCAGGCACCGCCAUGGGCACUUCAGCGAUACUCUCCGAAUGACAAUGAUAAUUCUCUCCAGUUUCUCCACCCUGAAGCAUGUUGUUCCCGGAGUCAUAAUGUUGGUUACAUAUCAUCUGAUCAAAAUGACUCAUCAUCAUCUCCAUGGAUGGCUCGUAAACACUGCUUGCAAGCCCCAUUCCACCAGCUAAGCUCUGCUCACUCAUCAUGUCAGAACUACUGCAGCUUACUUCUUGAUAAUCCAUAUAGUUUUGUUGUUGAUUCUGUUGGUGGGUCAACAGCCUAUCCAUCUCAAUAUCUGCUACUUGUUCGGAUUGAUUGCUGUUGUCUUGAAAACCCUUCAGCUUUCUUUUCUUUGCAGAACCGUACUUCAAAUAUCAUGGCCAGUUGGUCGAUUCUUUCGGAGCCUGCAAAGCACAUAAUUGGUAGCUCUAUUCUUGGGCAUAUGUAGAGUGUACUCGUGCAUGAUCCAAGCCCCGUGAUCCUCACAACCCUGUUUUUCGUAACGAAACCGCUUCUUGGAGCCGAUUUUGAUUUUGGAUUGGCCGCUUACUAUAUCUUUACCAGCGUCCUCCCCUUGCCACGUACCGCAAGAGGAUCCGACUUUGCGAUCGAUUCUGGAACCCUUGGAAGACUUUUUCUUCAACUGGGUGAAGAAAUAAAGAUCCUCAUCAGCAUUUAAAAAGGGUCCUCCAUGAGAAUCCCAAAUCUCAGAGGGUUUUUCCUGGUAAAGAUUACAAUCCCUGAUGAAAUACUCAGCAAGAGGGAUGAAUAUUCCCGAAACUUUCUUCUUGAGAUAAUGUUCGAUGAGUUCUUCAUCGGAUGGUCUGAACUGGAAGCCAUGGGGAAGAAAGGGUCUGUGUUCUUGCAUUUUGUUUGAGGAGAAGAGGGUUAAUUCAAUGGUGGGUUGGUUGAUUGAUUGAUUGAUGAUUGAUGGAGGAAAUUUUUUCGGUGAAUUAUUGAAAACAAAGAACACGGAAGCCGAGAGAGAAGCAACGAUAGGGUUGGAGAAUUAGAGCAGAAGUGGUAAGAAGCGUGGGUGUUAAAGUUUCCUUAUAACAUAUGGAGGAGUGAAGUGACGUAGCUUGGAUUACAAGUAACAAUUUCCUAAGGCAAUUCCGCGAAACGCGGGUGAACUUGCGAGUUGGGUAAUUGCUAAACCCUAACCUUAUCCGCCAGUUUGUUUCAAGUCGAGAUUAGAUAUUUGGUGUUGUAAGAAGUUCUGUGAGUAGCAUUAGCUAAUCAUGCAACUAUGGGAUUUUAAUUCCCCUAUACGGUGGUGCUGAAAUUUCGGUCUAGUGCACCUCUCUGACUAAUCAGCACGUCUGUAUUGUAAAUAGACGGUUACGAAUAAUCCAGCCAAAAUAAUAGGAAUUAGAUAUAUGGCCAUUCCAAAUAGAAAGUACCAUUUUUUUAUAUUCUUUUUUCCAUUGCUACUGUGAAAUAAAAUUACUAGAUUUUAGAUAAGAUUUCAAAUAAUAAUGGAUUUGUGUUAAUUAAAUACUAUGUAGAUAUCUAGAUUAUUUAAAGCUAAUUUGAAAAUAUUCGUAACAUGGAAGGGUUUCUCAUUUGCCGCUUUCAAGGAUCUCUGGCCUGUAGUAAAACUUUCCUUGUCGUCUGGUGCCAUGCUAUGGUGAGGUUCUUGUCUAAUUGUGGCCUUGCAUGAAUUUAGGCAGUAAAAGAUUAUGCAUUUUAUAAAUUCUAAUUGGCUUAACUGGGAAUCGGCAGAUAAGAUUCUAGGGCUUACAUCUGAAUCUAUAUCAUUUCAUAUGUGUUUGUUACUAUUAUUAGUUUCGAGUGGGAUCUUUCCUCAUUUUGUUUGUGGCCAUGUUUCAGCCUUUCUUGGUUCUUCCCUUGUGUUUAGAUCAUUGAUUGCUUCAGUUUGUGUUACUGUGUGGCAAUAUCAUAUAUUCUUUCUUUCAUUGGGUUGUGGGGGCAGGGAAAUGGUGAAUUUUAUAUUAUGAUAUGAAUCCCUGAUAAAAAGUACUUGUUUGUGGUCUACAGACAACAUAUAAUAUCGCUGAGGAACAAUGAUGUUAAUCUAGUAUUUGCUGAUUAACUGCCAUAUUUAUGCUUUCCUGUAACUCAACUAUGUGGGGAUUUUAACUCAGCAUUAUGUUAUACUUGACAGUCUCGAGCUCUGGUACAACACAGUCUUGGUUCUUUUAACAGGAAACAUGAAAAAUGCUGAGGUUGCCAUUGAUGCUCUUGCGAUAUGGUACCGAAUUCAUAGGCUCCUUCCCAUUAUCAUCAUUUUGGAUUUUGUUUCCCUCUUCUUUUAUAUGGGGCCAGUUAUCUAUUUGGUUUAAAUUAUUCUUAUUUGCAGCAUCAACAUCAAUGGGCUAGAAAUGAUGAUCUCGCUUGGUUUCUUGGCUGCAGUAGGGUAUAAUCCUCUUCUUUUUCUUCUAUUUUUUUAUUUUUUUAUAUCUUUAUUCUGUUCUUUUAAACAAACUUACUAGAUUUAAAGAAUGAAAAUCUGAUUAUGAAACUCAGUUAACUACAAUCCCGACUGCCUUAUCCAUUUGCAGGGAAAAAAAAACUUAUUUUUUGCCUUCAGCCUUGACCAAUAAUUUCAGCCAUAUCUUGCGUGAACUUCGGAUAGAAGUCAAUCUAAUUAUAUUUCUGUAUUCUAACAAAAACUGCUCGAUCUCCUGGAAACAUUUCUGUGCAUAAUGCAUGAUCCUCAAGGCGAUGUGUUGUAGAAAAUGGAAUUAUCUAUUCCCUUAACAAUGUUUCACGUUAAUAUUGAAUAUUACUUCUCUAUUACCCUUUUCUUUGGAAGGUUGAUAUAUGUGCUGAAUAAACUCAGUUUAGUUGGAAAAAUGUUCAGUGUUAGGGUGUCAAAUGAGCUUGGCCGAGGAAGCGCAAAUGCUACGAAAUUUGCUAUUAAGGUGGCAGUUUCCACAUCCUUUUUGAUUGGAUGUGCACUCUUUAUCAUUUUCCUCUUCCUCAGAGGACGCGUAGCAUACAUUUUCACCGACAAUCAAGAUGUGAUUGACACAGUUGCAGAUCUAUCACCACUACUCUCUUUCUCUAUACUUUUGAACAGUGUGCAGCCAGUGCUCUCCGGUAAUGCUUCCCUUUCCUGUCAGUUUCUUUCUAUAUUCUCCAAGUCACCAAUUGAAUGGGAGGGUCGAAGAUAAAAAGGAAAAUAUGUUGUUAAAUUCGUAACCAAAAAUCAUGCCUGAACAGGAGUUGCUGUCGGGGCUGGAUGGCAGAGUAUCGUAGCAUAUGUUAACAUCGCUUGCUACUACCUGAUUGGGAUUCCUAUCGGAGUCGUGCUUGGUUAUUUAACCCAUUUGGAAGUCAAAGUGAGUUUUCUUUUUCCCAUUCUGCAGUAUCUUUGCGUUUUACUUACACGUGGCAGUAUUUGUAUUGUUACUGUUGUCUCCAAAUAAAUAUAAUUCAGUUCGGUUCCAUUUUAAUUUGGCUCAAAUCAUCAUAUCCUAAUUCUCUGGUCCUGAAAGCACGAAUAUAGUGAACAACCGGUCUCCUCCUUAUUGUAUAAUGCAGAUACCUUGCAGCUUGGUUUGUCAUCAUGUUAUUGAUUAUGAGUGCCGCAGCAGUUCGUUUUGAAGGAGUUGCUUUUCAUGAGUGCACACACAUCAUUCUUUUCUACAAAAUUCUUAGGACAGAAUACAAAUUGUUCCAUAAUUAAAAAGUUUAAUUUUCUUAUCAUACCGGCUCUAUUUUGUCCUCUCUCCUUUUGUAGGGUGUUUGGACCGGAAUGUUAAUUGGAACUUUUGUUCAAACUGUAGUUCUUAUCAUCAUCACUUUGAAAACGGACUGGGACAAACAGGUAUUAUGUUUUUCCAUCUAGCUUUCUCAUGUAUGAGUUUAUAAUUUUGUUUUUUUGAUUAACCCCAAUGAUUGAACAUGUAAAUGAUAUGCAUCAAUGCAGGUGAUGAAGGCUCGCGAACGCGUGAACAAGUGGUUCAUUCCCGAAUCACCGGAACAAUCGCCUAACGAACAAGCAGAUGUCGCAGCUUGACAUCAAACUUCUUCAAUUUCCAAAAUCUUUUUUGCUUGGUGUAAAGCUUUUGCCAAUUAAUUGCUUACAGUUUUGUUUUUGCUUUCAAGAGUACAAUCAAGCAUUCAAUCUGCCUCGUGGGACUUGAUGUUCAACUACAUUGCUCAUGUAGAUGGAGAAUCAAAAAGUGGAAUUUCUUUUUUUUGUUUUUCCUGUUUUUGGUGUUUCAACAUCACCAUUGUGAGAUUCAUUCGUAUUGGCUUAAUUGUAGCAUUGGACAUGAUAUAUUUCGGAUUUGUUCAUUAGAUAGCUGUAGAAAAUGAGCAUGUGCUCACUUAAUACAGUGUUCAUACUCAUGCAUUAGUUUUGUAAAUAGAGUGUGUACAAUAGUUUAUAUCCUAGCGUGAUUAGUAAAGAUUAAUUGCUUGUGUCAUCAAAUUACUGGAUUAGCAAUAAUGUUUGCAACAUUUCAAAUAAAAAAAAAAAGUUUGCAAGGUGCUUGCAAAACAACUUCUCUUCUGUGUCUCCAUUUGUUGGAUGAAAUGAUGUUUAACUCAUACUUUGAAACAACAUCAUCCAGGUCUGCUAUGCCAAAGGUAUUUUACAUACCUUCACAAGACAACCAAUCAAAUUGGUUCUAAAAUUUUGGAAGAAUCAAUUUGGUGGACCAACCGCGAGAUGAAGAUGUUGAAGUCAAUAAAUUGUUGGUGCACCAACAAUUUGUUGAUUUUGUAAAGGCGAAAAGAAAGAAUGGGGGAUGGAUUUGAAAAAUAAUAAUAAUUAAAAAUUAUAUUUUUAAUUAUUUUAUUCUUAGCAUAGUAAUUCAUUUCUCCUAUUAAUUGUUAAAUAAACAAUUAUUCUUUCUUGCCUCCGUGGAUGUAGGUUUAAUUACCGAACCACGUAAAUUCUUAUGUCCUUUAUUUUUCUGUAAUUAUUUGGUGCGCUUGAUUCUGCAUUCCGCGCACAACAAGUGGUAUCAGAGCCGAAGGUUCAUACUUGGGGGGAUACGGUACUAUUCACGUAUAAAGUACUAUUCUCGUAUACGGUAUUGUUCACGAAUACGGUGGAGACGGCCAUUUGUACUUGGGAGACUGUCGAUUGUAAGUAGUGUGUAUUUUGCAUGUCUAGGAAAGUUCUGUCAACAAAGGCGAUAAGAGUCUAAGGAUUCUAGUUUUUAAUUAGGACCAAGUUCCCGUCCAGUUUCCUGAUAACUUUCCUGGUGCAUUUAUUCACGUGAAAUUAACAUCAUAGAGAUUGUUUUUCAAGUGGAAAUAGUUUGUUGAGAAAAUUGUAGAAGGUGAAACUUCCAGAAUUGGGGAGAAAUCUACUGAGACUAUUUCAGGAAACACUUUAGGUGAGAGGUGAGAUUUGUCAAAUCGCUAUUCAGUACCUGUUAUAGGAGGCCAGAAGAUCGAUGUUGAAAAGUUUGAUGGGAAAAUCAACUUCGGCAUGUGGAGGCGCGAAGUUAUGGAUACCCUUAUUCAAAUCGAUCUCGAUGUUGUUCUGAAAAAUAAAAGACACUUGUAUGAUGAAGAAAUUUGGGAUCGUAUGAAUGAAAAAGCUUGUGGUCAGAUCAGAUCUUGUUUGACCAGGGAUGUGAAAUUCUUGGUGAAAGAUAAGGAGUGUGCGGUGACUUUGUGUCGUACAUUGGAGGAGAAGUACCUGGUGAAAAGUCCUGAAAAUCGCCUUCAUGCAAUGAGCCAAGUAUAUGGUUUUCGAAUGAAGCCUAGGGUGUCAAUGCACGAUCAUGUUUCAAGAUUUGAAAAGUUACUUGCUGAUUUGAAGAAUCUUGAUGAAGAUAUUAAGGAUGAAGUCAAGGCUAUGAUUCUGUUACACUCACUACCAAAGGAAUAUAGCCAUUUUGUGACUACUUUGAUAUAUGGGAAGAGUGUGAUCGUCUUUAAAGAUGUUUGCACAGCAUUGACUAGCUUAGAGAUUCGGAAUAAUGAUAAAAAUUCUGAACGAGCAUCAUCUGAAGCUUUGGUGAGCAGAGAUUGGGCGAUGGAGAAACAGAAGAAGCGUUGUGGAAAGAAUUCUCGAUCCAAAUCGAGAAACAGAAAUAUAGCUCGAGAUGAGUGUGUAUUUUGUCCUGAAAAGGGCCAUUGGAGGAAAGGUUGUCCAAAGGCUCAAAAGAGAGAUGGGAAGAAACCAGCAGCAGCAAACAUGGCACGGAAAGAUGAGGGCUCUGAUUAUUCACUAAGUAUUACUCCUGCAGCAUACGUGGCUAGUUCGAGUGAGUGGAUACUUGAUACUGGAGCAACCUAUCAUUUGUGUCCUAUUAAGGAAUGGUUUACGGAUUUUCGUAAUCUGGAAUCCGGUGCAGUUGUGAUGGGGAAUGAUCAACCUUGUCGCACAAUGGAGAUAUGAAUAAUUCGGCUCAAAAUGUUUGAUGGAAUAGUCAGAGAACUCAAAGAGGUUAGAUUUGUUCCAACUUUAAAGAAAAAUCUAAUUUCUGUGGGUGCUUUAGAAGAUAAAGGCUACAAGGUUACCAUUGAAGAUGGUAUAAUGAAGUUUACACAUGGGGCUAUGGUGAUUCUGCAAGGGGUUCGGCGUCACAAUCUGUACUAUUUGAAGGGAGGUACAACUGAUGAAGCAAAUGUUGUUGAGGCGCACAGUGACACCACUAAGCUAUGGCAUGUACGACUGGGACAUGUUGGAGAGAAGUCUUUGCAAACUCUGAUGAGGUAUGGACUUUUAAAAGGUACCAAAACCUGUAAAUUAAAUUUCUGUGAGCAUUGUGUAGUAGGCAAGAAAACAAGGGUCAAGUUUGGUACAGCUAAUCACGAUACUCGUGAGAUCCUUGAAUAUGUUCAUAGUGAUGUAUGAGGACCAACCAAGACUGCAUCAAUUGGUGGAAGCCAUUAUUUUGUUACAUUUGUUGAUGAUUUCUCUAGACGUGUGUGGGUGUACACCAUGCGAGCAAAGGAUGAGGUUCUAGAGAUUUUCGUGAAAUGGAAGAAAUUAGUGGAGACUCAAACUGGCAGAAAGAUCAAAGUAUUACGAUCUGAUAAUGAGGGUGAAUAUACUUUUGAUCCAUUCUUGCAAGUAUGCCAGAACGAGGGUAUUAAAAGACAUUUCACGGUGAGACAUACUCCGCAACAGAACGGUGUGGCUGAGUGUAUGAAUCGUACUUUACUGGAGAAGGUACGAUGUUUGUUAUCUAAUGCUGGCUUAGAUAAAAAGUUUUGGGCUGAAGCUGUGAGCUACGCAAGUCACUUGGCAAACCGGUUGCCUUCUAUUACAAUUGGAGGUAAAACUCCUAUAGAAAUGUGGUCUGGAAAGCAUGCACAAGACUAUGAUUCCUUUCGUAUAUUCGGGUGUCCAACUUAUUAUCAUGUUAAAGAUGGUAAACUGGAUCCUCGUGCUAGAAAAACUAUCUUUGUGGGAUUCAAAGGUGGAGUAAAGGGCUUCAAGCUUUGGGAUCUCGAAGACAAAAAGUUUGUGUGUAGUAGAGAUGUCACAUUUGAUGAAGUUUCAAUGAUGAAAGCUUCAAGUUCUCAGUAGGUGGAGAACAAGACCAAAGAGGUAUUGCAGCGGGGUGGAGUUUGAUGCAGCUCCAUAUGUACCAGUUAGUUCUACAUCAAAGAAGAGUUCAACUAUGGAGGUGACACCUAGAGUUGAAGAAGAGGUUGUUUCUUCUGAUGUCCCACAAAAUGAAGAAACAAUUGUUGAUGUAGAUAAUGAUGAUUUUACAGCAACAAGGAGGCCAAAAAGAGAGAUAAAGAAACCCGGAUGACUUACUAAAUAUAUUGUGGUAGCCUAUGCACUUUCAGUUAUUGAUGAUGACAUCCCCAACACUUUUGGUAAAGCAUUACGUAACAGUGAAAGUGAUCAGUGGAAGUUAGCCAUGGAAGAAGAGAUGAAAUAUCUCCAUCAAAACCAGACUUAGGAACUUGUAAAGUUACCAAAGGGGAAAAGGGCUAUUGGCAAUAAAUGGGUUUACAUCAAAAAGCAAGGAUCUCCAAAUCAAACAACUCCUCGAUACAAGGUAAGGCUCGUGGUAAAAGGUUUUGCUCAAAAGGAAGGUAUUGACUACAAUAAAGUUUUCUCUCCAGUUGUAAAACAUACUUCCAUUUCUAUCCUAUUUGCCUUAGUUGCAGAAUAUGAGUUAGAGUUGGCUCAAUUGGAUGUUAAGACGGCGUUCUUACAUGGAGAUUUGGAGGAGGAAAUCUAUAUGAUUCAGCCUUGUGGUUUCAGAGUUGCUGGAAAGGAGAAUCAUAUGUGUAGGUUGAUUAAAUCUUUGUACGGACUGAAGCAAUCGCCAAGGCAGUGGUACAAAAGAUUUGAUCAAUUUAUACAAGGGCAGAAAUUCACCAGAAGUGAACACGAUCAUUGUGUUUACUUUAGAAGACUACCAGAUGGAGCUUUCAUCUAUUUGUUACUCUAUGUCGAUGAUAUGUUUAUAGUUUCGAAUAAUAAAGAUGAGAUCGAAAGAUUAAAGAAGCAGCUGGCUUCUGAGUUCGAGAUGAAAGACUUGGGUGCUGCACAGAGAAUACUUGGGAUGGAGAUUCGUAGAGACAAGAAGAAUAGGAGCAUAUGGUUGACUCAAAAGUCUUAUUUGAAGAAAGUGCUAGAAAGAUUCGGUAUGGAUGACAAAACUAAACCGAUAUGUACACUUCUAGCUCUUCAUUUCAAAUUAAGAUCUUCUUCAUGUCCUAAAUCUCAAGAGGAGCGCGAUUACAUGGCUUGUGUUCCAUAUGCUAGUGCUAUGGGUAGUCUUAUGUAUGCUAUGGUAUGCACAAGGCCCGAUAUAUCUCAAGCAGUGAGCAUGGUUAAUAGAUACAUGCACAAUCCGGGUAAAAAUCAAUGGCUUGUGGUAAAAUAGAUUCUCCGACAUCUAUAUGGGACAGUUGAUGUUGGGUUAUUGUUCAAGAAGGAUUGUGGUCAACAAUGUGUUGGGUAUUGUCAUUCUGAUUUCGCUGGAGACCUUGACAAGCGAAGAUCAACAACGGGCUACGUAUUCACAUUGGGUGGAGGUCCGGUUAGUUGGAGGUCGAUUCUACAAUCGACAAUUGCUCUGUCCACUACGGAAGCAGAGUAUAUGGCAGCAACUGAAGCUGUAAAAAAAGCUAUCUAGUUGAAAGGCUUGUUAGGUGAUUUGGGAGUAAUUCAGGAGAACAUUGCGGUUUUCUGUGAUAAUCAAAGUGCGAUAUUCCUUGCGAAGAAUCAAACAUAUCACGCUCGGACGAAGCACAUAGAUGUGAAAUAUCAUUAUGUGAGAGAGAUUAUCGAGAGCGGUGUUGUGUUGUUGAGAAAGAUCGAUACCAAAGAUAAUCCAUCAGAUAUGUUGACAAAGAUAGUUUCUGGAGUUAAGUUUCAACAUUGCUUGAAAUUAAUUAAAAUCCUUCGAUUGUGUUAAGAUAUGUCCUUCGGGAAUUUUGAACUACGGUUGACUUGAUCCCAAAUUUUGGCUACGUAGGCAGUCAUAGAGAUGCAGCCACUUUGGGGAUGAUGGCUCGUUGGUAGUCGGAUCAGAUUUAAAAAAUUUUCGCCGAGGUGGAGAUUUGUUGAAGUCAACAAAUUGUUGGUGCAAAUUUGUUGAUUUUGCAAAGCCGAAAAGAAAGAAUGGGGGAUGGAUUUGAAAAAUAUUAAUAAUUAAAAAUUAUAUUUUUUAUUUUUUUAUUUUUAGCAUAGUAAUUCAUUUCUCCUAUAAAUAGCUAAGGAUUUCAUUCAUUUGAAAUCAUUCCAAAAUUGUUAAGCUUAUAAGUUUAUAAGCUUUUGAGAGAAGUGAGAGAAGUGUGUCUGGAGAAUUUAUCUUUCCUGCAGAGUGUGAGAGUACUGGGUAUAUUUGGAUUUCUGGGAAGUGAGAUUCAUUACUCAAAUAUUAUACUCUAUUAAUUGUUAAAUAAACAAUUAUUCUUUCUUGCCUCCGUGGAUGUAAGUUUAAUUACCGAACCACGUAAAUUCUUGUGUCCUUUAUUUUUCUGUAAUUAUUUGGUGCGCUUGAUUCUGCAUUCCGCGCACAACAGAAGACUGGUGCUGAUUAAGUAGAAAGAAUGAUUGGCUAUAUAAAUAAAAAAGAACAAAAAAGAGCGUGAAGACAAGCUGCAUAGGUCAUUGAUGACUUAAAUGAUCUUCAAUUAUAUAAGCAAUCGUGCAGGACAGUUUUUUCUCCCUAUUUCAGCAUAUGUCCAGUGAUGAUUUGUCACGUAACAGAAUAUUAAAUUUAAUUAUGCUAAUUUUUUCUGCUCAAAUAAUAAUUACCUGAUAAAGUACGAGAUGGACUUGUCGCGGAAAAGUAGAUUGGCAACAAUAGGGACAAAGCCAACAUGAUUAUUGUGGUAAAGUGUUGAUCGUCACUCAAAUCUUAUCGCAGGUUCAUUCACUUAUAAUAAAAAACCAAUCAAGCUUUGAAUUACAAAAUAAUAAAAGAUAUUCUUAACGGACGGACAUUAGCCACUCACAAUCUAUAUAUAUAUAUAUAUAGUGAAAACUCUGCCAACUUGAAAACAAAGUUCAAUUUGUGUUUUGAGUUUAACACUCAUGACAUAGUGUACCCCACAGUCGAAAUACCGUCACCAAUGCAGCUUAGAGAUAGUGUCCAAAUUGUAAAGGACAAUGUCUUUAUAAUUUCGACUCUUACAACAGGUCAUAUGCUAAAAAAUGUGGUUAAUUUUUGUGCCACAGUAUCCCCUCUGUUUAGAUAAGACUGUCUAUAUAUUUUAUAGAUAGUGAAAUUAAAAGGGCUUUCACAUUCAUUACAUUUAACAUGUUAAAAUCUUGGAAGCUCAAGCUGAAGGCAAUUAUGUAAGUUAGCAUUUGUUUGUUAAACACUUCAGAAUAACAAUGGACAACGGAUUGGAAGAGCGAGAGAGGCUUCUGUGAUUCGAGGAACAGGAGAGGAAUGAUCUGAAACAGAGGAUUUAGAAGGAAAUGAAGCUGACGUGGAGGAUUGCAUUUCCUUCUAUACUUUCCAGGAUUACUUCAUUUGGACAAAUUUUGGUGACACAGAGUUUUCUUGGACAUGUUGGGGAAAUUGAACUCGCCUCAUUUGCACUCGUUCAAAGCAUCUUUUUGCGCUUUGUUAAUGGAAUACUGGUAAGCAUCGUCAAUUUGAAUCAUAUACAUGUUUGUGUGUGCGUACGUUUGUGAAUGUGUAGAUCACUGGAUUGAAGAAAGACAGUAACCUGAAUGAUUUUCUCUGAUCAUGUACUAAACUGCACUCUGCUUUAUGUGAUGCCUUUUACAAAUGUCUUUAUAUAUAUAUAUAUAUCUUUUUAAAGAUCUAGUGACGAGCUGUUGUUUGCCUCUAAAUGUUCUAUGGUUCGUUUCAUUUACUUGUUCAUUCAUUUGAAGCUGGGAAUGUCAAGUGCAACAGAGACAUUAUGUGGACAAGCAUUUGGAGCAGGGCAUUAUCAUAUGAUGGGAAUUUACUUGCAACGAUCGUGGCUAGUUGAUUGUGUAACUGCUACAAUAAUGCUCCCCGUCUUCAUCUUUGGAACACCGAUCAUGAAUCUGCUUGGCCAGCAAAAGGAUAUAGCAGAAACAGGGGGGGUGAUUUCUCUGUGGUUGAUUCCCUUUGUUUAUAACUUCGUCUUCUCCUUGACAAUCCAAAUGUUCUUACAAGCACAGCUCAAGAACAUGAUUAUCGGGUGGCUAUCUACUGCUUCUUUCCUGCUUCACGUGCUUAUGUCCUGGAUCUUUGUGAGUGAACUUGACUUAGGUAUUGCUGGUGCAAUGGGCUCAUUAAACAUUUCUGCUUGGCUAAAUAUCAUUGGAUUGUUUGUUUACAUCUUCUGUGGUUGGUGCCCUGAUACUUGGAAAGGUUUCACCAACGCUGCCUUUACUGACAUUCUUCCUGUAAUAAAGCUGUCGAUAUCCGCCGGGGUCAUGAUAUGGUAAAUAUUGAAUGUUCUUCCUCGGAAAUUAUACCCUGCAUGUCAUGAUGCAUCUCCUGGGUGCUAAUUAAUCGAACUUGUAAAAUCCUACGAUAGUACAUGAACUCUGCUGUUCAAACCCCGCUCAUUUUUAUGCUAUGCUUUAAAAAAUAAGCAAACAAAUAAAUAUUGGAACGCUCUCUAAAUCUGUCUCAUAAGAUUCCGUUUUGACACUUUUUUUUUUCUUUUUUGGUUUCAUAAUCAAUUAUCUUACUUAAUUUUGAAUUGUGAUAGCUUGGAGCUCUGGUACAAUUCCAUUCUAGUCUUAUUGGCUGGGUACAUGAAAAAUGCAACCGUUGCCAUAUCUGCUUUCUCUAUUUGGUAAGGUCUUAGCUAUUAUUAAAACCUUAUUUCACAUUUAUUACUUCCAGUUCCAGUUGAUUUUCCUAAAUAAUCUUUUUAAGAAUUUGGCUUUAAAGCUAAUUAAUUACAUUGUUGUUGCAGCCUCAAUGUCAGUGCAUUUCAAUUAAUGAUCUUCCUUGGCUUCCUUGGUGCCUCAUAGUAUAGAUAUACAUUGCUUCAACAAAUACCCUCUCUGGCUCCUUAUACUUGAAAUUCGCAAGCUCUAAUGUUGUAAUAUCAUUUGUUGAUCAGCGUGCGAGUGUCGAAUGAACUCGGGAGAGGAAAUGCGAAAGCCACAAAAUUUUCCAUUAAAGUCAUACUCACUAUUUCAGCCUGUCUUGGAGUGAUCUGUUGGAUUUUAUGUUUAAUCUUUGACCGUCAGAUUUCAUACCUGUUUACAACUAGUGAGGAAAUUGCAGAAGAAGUAUCGAAACUAUCUGUUCUGCUUUCUUUCUCCCUUUUGCUUAACAGCGUUCAGCCAGUACUCUCAGGCAAGUGUUAUUUCUUCGAAAACUUGGAAAAAAAAAACAAUAAUGCUUUGAUUACUAAGGGUGCGUUUGAUAUUAAGGUGUUGUAGCUUAAAAGCUACAAUUGUUGUGGAAAAAAAAUGUAUUUAUGAAAUAAAAAUUAGUAAUACGUAGUAAAUAUAAAUUUUAAAUAAUAAUUUUGAUAAAAUUAUUAAAGAUAUAAUAAAUUUUUCAUUACACAAGUGAAAAAUUGUAUUAGUAUAACUUUUAAAUUACAACAGUUAGUGUUUACCAAACACUUUAGUGCUGUACCUUUUAAGUUACAGCUGUCCAACCUCAAUUCCAAACGCACCCUAAGUAUGGAUACUUUGUUGGAUACUCAUUGAUGCCUCGCAAAUCAAUUUUUCAGGGGUAGCUGUAGGUGCUGGAAUGCAAAGCACGGUUGCAUUUGUUAACUUGGGAAGCUAUUACUUUGUUGGAGUUCCUACAGGAGUUUUGCUUGCAUAUGUGGCCAAUCUCGGAGUUACAGUAAGAAAUAUAGUUUAUGUUUAAUUAAUAAUAACGAUCAAAUGUACUCUGGUUAAUUGAAUACAAUUUUAAUUAAAUAGAUAUGGUGUUUUGUAAAAAUUGUACCAUUGACUCUCUCACGAGUUGAUUGAUGUUGGUUUAAUUUGACAGGGUUUAUGGAUUGGAUUGUUGGGUGGAAUUGUUAUUCAAACGAUUAUUCUUUCCUUCAUCAUAUGGAGGACCAAUUGGGAUGAUCAGGUAAAUUAGGAUUGAUUGCAGGGCACGUGUUGUGAUUACUGCAAAUUUUUAUGAGAUUAAUUAUUGAGUGGUUGGCUUUAGAACACACUCUUUGAAGGGUUUUUUUUGGUCCACAAUGGGUGUUUAUUUGGGUUAUAAAAAUUAAAAAAAUAAAUAAAGAUCAAAAGUUGGCUAAAAUUUAUAGAUAUUGCUCUCAUUCUUGCGGGUGAACAAGGCAUCCCAACGUCUCAACAAAUGGUUGCUGAAACCAUCUGAAGAAUCUGAUCGAAGCUCUCCAAAUAUGUAGAGUUGUGUAAUUCAUUACUUGCACAAGAAUAUUUGUCGGUUGGGCCUAUCAGUAGAAUAAUAAUAAAUCUGAAUGAGUUGAAUCCAAAGUUAUUCUUUUUUUUUUUUUUUUUUUGAGAAGGAAUCCAAAGUUAUUCAAUUGAAUGUAAAAUGGAUUUUCCAUCUUCUUUUGUCACCCCUGGAAAAUCCAUCUUAAAAUCUCUUCUUUAGUUAUAUAUUCCACUUAAUGUCAAUUUUUUAAAAUAAAUAUUCUUUUUAUUUUUUAAUCUAUGUGUGCCUGUAAUUUUCUCACUUUUAAAACUAUUUUUAGUCUUUAAUAUCUUUACUCUUCUCUUUGAAUUUUCUCUAUCUGCAAAUUCAAAAAAACUAACUUCUCAAAUAUUAAAAAUAAAAAUAAUGAAAAUGAGAAAAAAAAAGAGAGAAAGGAAAAUAGAUUAAAAUUAAAAUUUGUACGAACUAUUUAUAGUUAUUAUAGAGAUAAGACUAGAAAAGGGAAUGAGAAGCAAAGCUUUUAACAAGUACCAAAUUUUGAUGAUUAUAUAAUACCACGGACUGAAUUGAUACUUUGUUCUUGAUAUGGAUGAAUCACAAGAGCCGAGACGAUCUAGAAAGCUCUUGAUCAUAAUCAAUUUUGUAACCCUACUUCGGUAUGGAGCAUGCACCUGCUGGAAUCAAAUUCCUCACAAUUAAUAGUUCCAGCGUCGUAAGAUGGAAUUCGGUAAUUUUACAUAUAGGUUCGUCCCGAUUUGCAUAAAAUAUAGAUUUUAAAAAUUUUUUAUCUAAAUUUAAAAAGAAAAUAAAAAAAUUUAUUUGAGCGAGGUUUAAAUCCUGGGACAUGUGGGUUAUGGGUCCACCACAUUUAUGCUGUGUUGCUAGGAUUUUAUUGUUAAAAGUAAGGAUGAUAAUUUUUUUCGAUGGAAUCUUAUGGGAUAUCAUGUUAUUUGGGAUGUGAUUUAGAUAUAUUUUUAUCUCACAAAAAAAUAUAGGAAUGAGAGUGAGACAUUUUUUUCAUCCCUCUUACAUAUACGGGACGGGAUUGGGAUUGACAAAUUCCGUCUCAUCUCGUUACAUUGCAGACUAAGGAUGAGAACUUUUUCAAUUGAGAUAGAAUCUCUCAGAAUCCCAUAUCUUUUUGGACGGGAUCAGGAUAUAUUUUUGUCCAAAAAAAAUAUAAGAACGAGAGUGAGACAUUUUUUUUUUAUCUCGCUUGUAUAUAUGGGACAGGACUGUGAUUGGUAAAUCUCAUCCCAUCCCGUCCCAUUGCCAACCCUAGUUAAAAGACUCUUAGUUUUAUUUAAAUAAAUCAAUGUGCUUUUAGAAAUUUCGAUAGGCAACCUAAAUUCUUUUAUUAUUAAAAGACUCUCAGUUGCAUGUUCCCUUCUACGAUAUCUGAUACUCAAAGUCUUAAUUAUGUAUAUAAUUAAUAUUUGUAGUUGUAGGUAUCUUAUAUGAUCCGUUGAUAUCUGCAUAUGUACUAGUUACUGUAUUAAUGCAAACUCUUAAUUAUUUAAUUAAUUCAAUCACGAAGGGUAAAUAUGUCAUUUCACUUGAUUUAUACUCUUAAAACAUUUUGAACUCCAUAGUUGACGUCGAGACCAAAAGUAAAAUAGAAAAAUAAUUAAUAAAGAUGACGCCGUUAUAACGGAAAAUAUAUAUAAACAUAUUUUGAAAAUUAGUGGAAGAUAUUUUUCUACUUAAUAACUAUCACCAACCAACAUCGUGGCGUCAUGCUACGUUUCCCUUGAGUGCUUGCGUCUUGUAUAUGCUUGGACUCGGAAUUUAUGCUCGUGGGCUCAUGUGUCCGCGUGUGGCCAAACAAAUACGAGACAAACAAAGACUCAAUGCACUCGAAAUCGUAAUCAAUGCUUCUGCAAUUUUUGCCAUUCAUCUGAGAGUAAGUGUUGACUGGCUUUCUUAGUUAUGCACUUAUGCUCCUGCAUAUAUGCCAAUGGCCAUUCAGUGACUCAGAGUUUCCACUUCCACUUUCUUUCUUCUUUUAUAUAUAUUUAUUUUUAAACAUGGUAAAAUUUUAUUGAUAUAUUUAAAAUUAGAAUCCUAAUAAAACUCACUUAGAUUAAUACUAUUAAAACACAGCUCAAAAUUAUACCCUCAUUAAUAAAAUAAAAUAUACUUUUCCUCAUAAUCUAAUUGACAAUUAGUACACAAAAGAGCAUUUUUACCUGGGGUCCAAUGUGAAAAAUGUUAAAUAAAAAGAAAAAAAGAAAGAAAAGUACAAAUCAUGAACACACACGUCGAGUGACGUGCCAACCGUCCAAAAUUUACCAAACCAGAAAAGAAAAUAGGGUGUAGAAUGAAUCACGUGAUUGAUCUUGUCUCGUUCACAUUUGUCCGAAAGUAAUUAUAGUGACAUCUUUCCUUGGCGACAGAAAUCCAUGGACGUGAUCUCGACAAACCCAUUUCUCAAAAUAACAAUUGAGAUCUAUUAGAAUAGGGAGAGUAACAUCUUAGUCCAUCUUAUAACUCAUUUUCACAUUUUAAUCUUUAAUAGAUUUUAAUACCUCAUUUUAUCUAUGAUGUUCAAACAAUGACAGAAUAAAUAAGCUGUUGAUGGGUAAAAGUUAUAUUUUAACAAUUAAAUUAGUUAAUUUUUAUUUGUGGAAGUUUCAAACAAUCGUUUUAUUUAUGAAAUGAUCAUACUUAUUAUGAAAUAAUUAUAAAGUGGUAAAAUCAAUUCACAUGAAAUUUACUUUUUGCCUUUUGAUCAUGUUAUGAAAUAACCUCAAUAAGUAUAUAUGCCUUUGAGAGUUUUACUGGUAUCAGUAGAGCUGAGUUGAUAUUGUUGGUGGUGGUAAGGAUAUGGUUUUGGAGGAUUUGGAUUUUUAGGGUAUUCCAUGGGUCUUACUUUUUUCAAAUCUCCAGUGGAAGAUAUUCAGCAUGUGGUUGCGAGCUUCAAUUCCCAUACUGUUGACAAUCUUGUCCAAUUUGAUGAGAAUUUCAGUUUUGAUGGGAAUCCAAUGUUGAUGCUUAUUUCUUGUUUGAGCCUGAGGAUACUGGAAGGCUUGAUCUUAGUCCCGAUUUUGGUAUUGCUAGCCCGCAUGCCUCUGGUUUAAAGAAAGGCUUCACAUUUGACACUGCUCGCAUGUAUAAUAAGCCGCACUCUAGGUAUUAGCUCAUCUUCUUAUAGUUUCUUUGUUAGAUUUUACCUUAGUUUGCUCUCUUUAGUUAAUUCUUUGUUAUUUAAUUGCUUUUGCUAUUUAUUUUGUUUUUGUUAGUAGUGUUUGUUCUUUGACUUAGUGGUUUUGGUCACAUCACUCUUCAAAUGUAUUUUCUUUUAUUUUAUUUAAUCUAUAGAUAAGGGGUCCCGCCUAACUUGGUUUCAAUUUUUUUUUUCUAAAAAGUUUGUCUUUUUUUUCUUAUGCAUAUGCAUGAAAAUGAAUUAUGAAAGACCACAUCGCGAUAUGAUAAAAGAGCAACAUAUAAUUGAUAAAACUAUUGUGACAUGAUUGAUUAAAGAAAUAAAAAGUAAUAAAAAGUAGAUGUUUGUUUACUCUCUAUAUUUUGAGAAAAAUACUCAUUUAAUCUCUAUAUUUUAAAGAAUAAUUUAAGAUAACUUUGCUAAUAAUUAUAUUACAAUCUUACCCUUAAUUUUCUUUUUGUUUAAAAUAAAAUCAUAGUAACAAUAUUCUUGAAAACAUUAAUGAAAAGGAAAAAAAUGUGAAUUUGUCAAAUCAACCUUAAAAGUAAAAUAAAAAUGAGUUAUUAUUAUUUUAGGAUUAAUUUGGUAAUUAAAUUAAUUUUAUACAAAAAACUAUUAGUAAGAUUGUUGCAAGGGUAUUAAACAUUACUUUAAAUUACUUGGUAUUCAUUUAUUUAUAAAUAUUAAUUAGCAAGAUUGUUACAAAAGUAUGAAAAAUAUCAAUUGUUUUAUACUUAUAUUUAUUUCUUAAUUUAUUAAUAAGUAAUUAUUGGUUAAUUUAUUAAUUAAUUUUUUUAUAGACUAAAAAAUUAAUGUAAAAUAUAUUGUUGUAAGAGUAUGUAAAAUAUAUUGUUUCAAGAGUAUUAUUGUAAACACAUAAAAAAGAAAAAAGAAAGGAUAGGAGUGUUAUAUAUUUAAUAAUAAAAAUGUCUUAAAGAAUUUUAAAAUACAAACAUUAAACGUAGAGUUAAGUUAAAUUUAGAGACUAAACAGCGAAACAAAUAAAGUAAUCUUGUUUUGCCAUUUCUCUUUGUCGUUAUUGUCAUAAAUAUUGUGACAAAAACAAGCACCAUGUAUAGUACAAUGAUAUGCCCGAGAAGCAUGUAUAAUUUAAUUAAUUAAUUACAGAGCAGCGUGGCCAGUGGAAAGUGAGCGGAUGGAUAAAUUCCCAAACGAUUGAUUUUGACGCAUGAAUGAAUUGAUUAUAUGGAGGUUGCCAUGUUACAGAUUCUGUAACAUACGCACCCAAUGCAUGCACCACACCUGUCCUGCAUAUGGACAAAAAGCAUGCAAUUGUUUUUGUUUAGUAUCUAGCUAACCAAUCAGGAGCUGGCCAAGUUGGAUCUGUAUGUUACAGAAUCUGUAACUUAGCCAGCUCCUUGAUUAUAUAUACCCAUGAGUAAUUAUUGUACGCACAUUUUCACUGUUUUUUCAUUCCACUCUGUCAGCUUACUAAAUUAACAUUUUGUUUGAUAUCAUAUAUCCCAUUCCCCAGGUGUCUUCUUUGCUUGCCUCUACUUUCAUAUCUCCUCUGCCUAUGCAUUCUUGAAGUGAGAAAUUAAUCUCUUGGGCUGAAACCCUAGCUAGAAGCUAUCCUCCUUGUUCAACUAAUCAAGCAAGAACUUCUCUCAAGGCCAAGUAAGUUUCCUCCUCUCUCUCUUUUAAGUUUCCUCCUCUCUCUUUUUCUCUAAAUAUUUCGGUCAACAGUGACAUGAAUCAGAGGGGAACUACGUGUAGAGUUCAAUAUAGUUUUUUGUUAUAUGUUUCAAGUUUUCUCUUAAUUAACUUCAUAAGUUUUUUUUGUUAAAGUUUUGAACGUAUGUGUUGUUGUAUUUGAUUCUUUUUCAAGAAAAUAAUUGAGAAAAUAACCCUACAACUUGGAACCCUUAAAACACAUGACAAAUGUGAUAAAGAAAUCAUGAUUCAUACUAGAAAAAGCUAACUCUCUUUACAUACAUACUAUGCGCAGCUGUUUUUGCAAUUAGGUUCCUUUUUUUUUCUUUCAAUGAAAGAUAUGAACAUUAAUCUCUUCUUUCAAUCUCUUAUUGUUUAAAUUAAUACAUAUAGAUUUUUUCUCCUUAAUACCUACCCGUGUACUUAGUCAUUUCCAAUUCAUUAAUACUUUCUUGAAUAAACUUUUUUUUUUAAAAUGUGGUGGUUGGACUGUAUUUUCUUUUAUUUCCUAUUUGUCCUUUAAGUAGUUUGUAUUAAUUACACUCACCCAUGAAUUCAGAUAAGUUGAGUGGAUUUGAUCGUAAGUUUUCUUUAUAUUUAAUCAAGUUUUUGUCUGAUUCAUAGCUCGAAAAGAUACAUUAUUAACAUGAUUUUUGCUGUUACAAUGCAUCUUACCAACAUCGUACAAGUGCACCUUAAAUAAACACUUCCUACCGGUGAGCUAACACCGAGACACACAAAAUCCACACACAAUGAGACGCAAAAUUCAAGAGAAAAAGCCACUAAGAUUUUUAAGAGAUUUGCUUUUGGACUGAAACGUGACACAGACGUGCAUCGGUUACAUAAUUUUUUUUUAAAGAUAAACUUUAGAGUUUGCACAACUAUUUUGAAAUUUAAAAAAAAAUUAUGAAACUAUUUUUAAAAUCAAAGAAUCUACAUAUUCAUUUAAACAAAUCUUAGACGUAUAGAUGAUUUUUCUAUUAAAAUUCAGACUCGAAUAAUAUCACUCAUAAUUAAACAAAGGUGUGUGUAUGCAAUAUAUCAACAAAUUAUGUGCCUAUUGGUUGCGCACAUGGCAGAUUUUUCUUUUUAAUUUUUGGUAUUGAUCAAAUUUAGAGGGGCCGGGAUUAAUUCUUUACUGGAUUAAAGCAGUCUAGGUAGAUUAAUUUGCUAUCUAUAUUUGCAUUUUUCAUAUGUAACAUUAUUUUCUCUAAACAAAACUGUGUUUCAGAUGGAGGAGAGACUCCUCGGUUCAGAAGCGAAAGAUAUUGAUGAUUUAAAAGGGAGGGUUUGGAAAGAAUCGAAAAAGCUAUGGAGGGUUGCAUUUCCCGCAAUGUUAGCUAGGGUUUCCCAGUAUGGUAUGUUUGUUAUCACACAAGGAUUUAUUGGUCAUCUUGGUGAGGUUGAGCUUGCAGCUUCCGCGCUCAUUCAAAUCAUAGCCGUCCGAUUUUCAAAUGGGAUUUUGGUAAGAUUUUGUGAUUGCUUUAUUAUCCUUAUCUCCCGUACUUUUUUCCUUUACUAUUACUUAAUUCUGAUGCUUAUGGUUACAAUACAAUAGGGAUCGACAAAAUAUGAGCACUACUAAUCUUAUCUGCCCUCACGAUUCCACUCGACCUUCUAUUUUAUUUUUCUUUUUCAGAAAGUUGGUCUUAUUCGUCCUGGUAAUUCCCCACUUUAGUGUCCUAAAGUUGAGCUACAUAUUGACGCCAUUAUUUAAUUUGCACCUUUAUCUAAAAAGCAAUCAUGCAAAAAUUUUACUUAUAUCUUUUUCUGGUAUUCUCAAUUUAUUUCAUCACCUACCUUUUCGACGUGAUUUUUUUUUUAUUCCUCUUUGGUUUGUCCUAUUUUGUUAGAUAGAAGAUAUUUGUUCAAACUCAAUUAUUGUAGCCACUGGGCGGCUGGCGCAGCCCUCAUCUGGUCAUGAAUUGCGUCGUGUUACUUGAGUUUGAAUAAUAAUUAAAGAUAAAAAUUGAUGUUUAGUGUCUGAAAUUUGUCCAUAUCAAAUGACGUAAAGAAUUUGGGGAGAAUUGACUUUGAGUUAGGUCCCAAUAUCUCUUACUUUUAUCACUUAGGCUCUAUUUUUUUUUCCCCUAAUACCCAUUACGUUCUUGAUUUUAUAAUUUCAAGGUUCAAAUUUUAUUGUUGAAGAUCAAAUGUAACUUUUUACCUACAAAACUUUGUAUUCAAAUUAUUUUUUUUUCUUUUAAUAUUUGAAUAUUAGAGACUUAAAUAGCAAGAGUUUAUUUGUUAAAUGUCUGAAGUCUGAAAUUUUUAUUAAUUUAAGAUACUUUUUAAGUUUACUUUUUUGUUUUUUUUAUAAUUUAUGUAUGAUUUUUAGAUAUUUAUAUGUAAAGAUGUUUAUAUUAACUUCUGUGACUUUUAUCUAAAUGGAAAGUAAAAACUAUAUCCAGAAAUAUCUCUAUCAAAUACACUUAUUUCUUAAAAUAUAAAACUAAAUAUCUUUAUUCGUUUUAACUUAUAAGGACAUAAACAUCAAAUAUCCAUGUUAGUUUUUUUAUUUCAAAAAAAUAAAUAAAAUGUACCUAUGUUUAGAUAUUAAAAAAUAAAUAAAUAAAUAGGUCAUCCAAAUAUUUGUAUUCAUAUUCAUUUAGACUUCUGUUAAAUUCAUACUUAUUUAUUUUUUCAAAAAAAAAAACUCUUGGUAAAAAAAAAAAAAAUUAAGGAUCUAACUGUCAUUCUUCUAGUAUUUCAAGGAUAGUACUUAUAAAUAUGUUUAACAAUAAACAUACGACAUGACUACAAAAUUUUUUUAUGUGCCAGGUUUUCUCCAUGCCUAUAACCUUCUAGCUAGCUUUAGCAGAAUUUUGUGUGAAUCACGUUGACUCUUUUUAUGAUAAGGGCAUCAGAUUCGCUUGUAACUUUGUUAGGUAUCAAGGAAAGUUACAAUGUAAAAUAAAAAUUAAUAGUAAUACAAUAAAUAUAAUUUUAAUAAAAUAUUAAAAAUAUUAUAUAUUUUUCGUCAUAUAAAUAAAAAAUAAAAAUAAUUUAAAUUUCAAACUCCAAUAUUAAAUAUUUAUUAAAAAUUUUAGCAUCAUCACUAAAAAUUUACAAGUGCAUGUCCAACUACGACACGUACAGGGACUCUGCGUAGACUCUGCGUAGAAGGGCACUGGCUUCUUCUUGAUUGUGCGUAAUGAUUACUUUAAGAAGUGGCAAACACUGAAGGGCCCGCAAUGAAGAAGCCUUCAGAGUGCAGAAUUUCUUUAGGGUUAUAAAAUCGAAUUAUUCCAUGAUGCGUGAAUCUCAAACGUAAAGUUUUAUUUUGUCCAUUUAAACUAUCUAUUUUUACUAUCCUUUCACGGCCCUUUUUGUGCUGAUUCGAUAUUAAUUUUAAGGGAUAAUAAAUUUUAGGUCCUUUAUAUUUUUUUACAUUUAUUAUUCAAGUCCGUAGUUUAUUAUUAAUUAUCCAUUAUAUAUCCAGGAUAUAUUGUAGUAGAUUGACAGUAAGGUUACCAUGGUAAAAGAGCUUAAAAUAGUUGAACUCAGGGGUGUCAAAUUGUGUCAUGCUGUUAGGAUCUCACCAUAAAAUUUAAGUUAUUUCGAUACGUCGUAUGGUAUUGUAUUAAGAUGUAUUAAUCAUGUAUCAUAAGGUUGUAUUAAAAAUCUCCGGAUUCAAAUUGAAUAAAUUGGCAAGGGCGCCACUGAUGAUGAACAAUGAAACUGCGUAAAACAAAAUUAUGGAGGUAGAAGAGAUCUUUGCAAAUUGAUAACGAUAUUCAGUUCUUAUAAAUCAAAACAAUCAGCUCUUACAAUCAUAAUGCAAUCGAAGUAAUUUUUUUUUUUCAAUCUUUUCAUUUUGCAUUUUGUAGAUCGGCAUGUCAAGCGCAACUGAAACUCUGUGCGGGCAAGCAUUUGGAGCAAAGCAAUACCACAUGAUGGGUAUCUACUUGCACAGAUCAUGGAUCAUAAAUCUUGCUACUGGAACAAUAUUGCUUCCUGCGUUUAUCUUCGCAGCAGAUAUUUUCAAACUGCUCGGAGAACAAACAUAGCAAACAGAGCCGGAGACAUCUCACUUUGGUUCAUUGGCAUUCUCUAUUUCUUUGUCUUCAGCUUAACGAUCCAAAAGUACUUGCAAGCACAGCUCAAGAACAUGUUUGUCGGAUGGCUUUCGGCUGUUGCAUUUGUUGUUCAUGUGGCCUUGUCAUGGAUCUUUGUGAGCAAAUUGAACUUGGGGAUUCCUGGUGCAAUGAGUGCAAUGAUAAUCGCAAGUUGGUUUAUAGUAAUUGGACAGUUUGUGUACUCUUUGGCGGUUGGUGUCCCAAUACAUGGAAAGGAUUCAGUUCUGCAGCUUUUGCUGAUUUGUAUCCUGUUUUGAAGCUCUCAAUAUCCUCAGGUGUAAUGAUUUGGUAAGAUAUCUAUUUCUAUUGUAUAUCUAUAGCCGAACAAUACAUAAUGUUUUAAUCUGUCCCCAUGAAGUUAGCGGUUAGCCCAAGAGUUUUCAAACAGUUAUUAUUAUUUUUUUUUGAGCUAAUCAUAUCUUUUUAUGUUCUUUUUUGGUGGCUUUUAACUUUAAUAGCUUAGAGUUUUGGUACAAUGCUCUUCUAGUCCUAUUAGCAGGAUAUAUGAAAAAUGCCACAAUUGAGAUUUCUUCCUUCUCCAUUUGGUAAGUUUUAAAUCUAUGCCAUAAUAUUUCUUUGUUUUCCUUUAAAGUUUUUUUAUACCCAAAACUACACUAAAUUGGAAUAUUUGAAUGUCAUUGUAGCCUCAAUAUCAUAUCUUGGGAAUUUAUGUUGGUCUUUGGCUUCCUAGCUGCCUCUGGGUAUGUCUCCAAAAAUGAUCAUUUCCUUUAAAAAUAACAUAGAAAAAAGAAAGAAUAGUAACAUCUUUUGGUAUGAUAAAUAGUCACAGAAAUUCUCUUAUUUAUAAAAAUGGUCACACAGACCCUUUUUUGGUAUAUAAAAUUAUCUUUUCUGUGCAUAAAAUUGUUAAACAAACUCCUAAAAUUUAUCCAAAAAAAAGUGGUCUGUGUGAUCAUUAUUCUGAAAUAAAUGAGUCCCUGUCACUAUUUCUCCAAAUCACGGGUGUCGCCAUCUUUUAUUAUAUUCAUAUCAUCUCUUAUAUCUUAUUUGGUUUUCUAGCGUGCGGGUUUCAAAUGAACUGGCGAGAGGAGAUGCUAAAGCUGCGAAAUUUUCUGUAAAAGUUGCAAUAGCUACCACAACUGUCAUUGGAUUUUUCUUUUCCUUAAUCUGCUUAGUCUUCAGCCGUAAGCUCGCACAUUUGUUCACAAGUAAUGAUGAAGUAAUAGAAUCCGUCACAAGCCUCUCAGUGCUGCUUGCUUUCUCGGUUUUACUCAAUGGCUUUCAGGCAGUACUCUCAGGCAUGUACUGAAUUUAAUAAAUAAGAUUGCGAUAGUUAAAAUGUUUCUAAUUCAUCAUUACAAUGGAUUAAUAUUUUCAAUGUAAGUUAUUUAUUGCAGGGGUGGCAGUAGGUGCUGGCCGGCAGGCUGUGGUUGCAUAUAUUAACAUCAUUUGCUAUUAUUUCAUUGGCUCACCUGUUGGCGUUCUUCUCGGAUAUGUGGCCGAUCUCAAAGUUAAGGUAAGAAUUAUUUUGCAUUUUGAUAUUUCAAUCUGAAUUUGGAUUAGAGUACUGAUUUGAGUUGGGGUGAUUCUAUAAAUAUCUUGUGUCAUAUGUACAAGAUUUAUUUGAAUUUAGAUCAUACGAUAAUUUUAAUUUUGCUCCUCUUUUAAUAAAUUUUUACCACGCAUGUAAUAAUCUAUAGUAGUGUACCGUUAACAUCUAAUUGCCUAUGUAUUAUUUUUCAAUAACUAUGGAUCACAAUUUACAAUUCUCUAAAAGAAAAAAAAUAAAAAUCAUAUCAACAAUAAACUUAAUCCAUAUUCUUAUGAACCAUGCUACCAAAUAUCUUUAUAAAUCUCAGAUCAAUACUAUGGUCAGGGGUUCGAAUCCCGAGUGCACUGAAAUUGAACCGGAUUUGUUUUAAUUAGAAACAUACAUUUAAGUUUAAAUUUUUUUCUUCAAAAACAAAAUUCCAUGAUGAUUAUUUCAAUGAAUGGUUUGAUAUUGCACAUCAUGAACAGUUUAACUUUUUUUUGAAAUUCGAUUGUAGUUCAUCUUCAGAAACAAGUUCCGAUUAUUCUUUUAAUUUGCACAGGGUAUUUGGACUGGAAUGCUGCUUGGGGUAGUAAUGCAAUCACUUGUGCUGGGGUAUGUCACCUGGAAAACCGAUUGGGACAAUGAGGUAAGUAAUUAAAAUAAAUUCACCAAUAUGUACACAUCAUCAUCAAUUGCAUGCCUCAUUGAUGCUCAAUCUCUCUAAACUUUUCAAAAAAAGAAGUGUCAUAUUUAAUUUGUAGACUUCAAUCAUACAUUGAUGACAACACUAUUUCCUCUCUCUAGGUGAAGAAAGCAUCAGAGAGGCUCAAUAAGUGGCUCUUGAAGCCUUCUGAAGAAGAAUCCAACGGCAAUUAAACUCAACAAGUUAAGGUCCAACAUUGCUUGAAGAUCCUAAUAAUCUCAAUCAUGCAUGUAUUUUCUCUGCCAAUAAACCGAUUACCGUUAACACCAAUAACAACUUCAGAUCAAAUUUCUUUCUUUUUGUCUGUUGGCAAGAAGAGCUUGAUAAUGAGCUUGCGCAAAUGCAAUCUAAUAUUCUGAGGUUAAUUAAUUCAAGAAGUUGUAUCUUCAUAAGAAGUAUAUUUAAUGUUGUGUUUAUUUGUUGGAGUGGGAGGAGAAAUGUGGAUUCCUUCCACUCUGUCAAAGCAACCACCUAAAAGUCAGCCCUAAAUUUGGUACUUGACUUUGGUGCCAGCAAAUCAAAGAAAAUGGAGGACAUAGCCCACAAACUUUGAAAGCUAGAUUAACAAAUUGAAGCCACGCAGAUUGACGAAAUUGAAGCCAUAAUUGGUGGGCUAAAAUCGUUGAUUUUCUUGGCCACUAUUUUGCUAUAAAUAGAAGUGCAGAUGAAGAGCUAAUUCAUUCCAUUAAGAGAAAGAGCAAUUUAGCAUUUUGAGAGAGAGUUUAGAGAGCUUGAAAUUAUAAGCUCUUGUUAUAGUGAUUUGAGAGUUUGGGUGUAUUGAGAUUUUGGGAAGUGAGCUAAAAUACUACAAUACUUGUAACUCUUUUUUACUAGUAAAAUAUUUCCUUCUGUCUUUGCCCGUGGACGUAGGCUAAAAGCCGAACCACGUAAUUUUCUAGUAUCCUCUUUAUGCUUGUUCUUUAUUUUUCUUCCAAUUUUAUUUUAGCUGCGUGUCUGCUUCACACACCAAUUUCCUAACAUUGGUAUCAGAGCUAUUGGUUGUAUUUUUGGAGUCGGGUACUGUUCACGUAAGGGGUACUAUUCACGUAUACGAUACUGUUCACGUAUACGGUACUAUUCACAAGAAACGGUGGGAGCGAUUGUGUGGUUUUGUACAUGUCUAGGAAAGUUCUGUCACAAAGGCGAUAAGAGCUUAAGGAGUCUGGGUUUUAAGUGGGACCAUUAUGACCCCUCCAGUCUUUCCUAAGAACUUUCCUGGUGUGAAUUCUCACACAUACUCACAACUAUUCAAGGUGGUAUACUAGCUUGUGUGAAGUAUUUAUUAACAAAAUGGCGGCAAAGUAUGAAAUUGAGAUAUUUAACGGAAAUAAUUUUUCGUUGUGGAAAAUGAAGAUGAAAGCUGUAUUGAGGAAAAAUAAUUGCUUGGCAGCAAUUGGAGAAAGGCCCAUGGAGAUAACUGAUGACAAGUGGGACGAGAUAGAUGGCAACGCCAUUUCUGAUCUUCACUUGGCACUUGCAGACGGAGUAUUAUCCAGUGUGGCAGAGAAAAAUACAACGAAGGAAAUUUGGGAUACUCUCACAAAAUUGUAUAAGGCCAAGUCAUUACACAACAAAAUCUUCUUGAAGAGGAAACUCUAUACUCUUCGAAUGGCGGAAUCUACAAUAGUGACCGACCACAUCAACACCUUGAAGACUCUAUUUUCAAAACUCACAACGUUGGGUCAUAAUAUAGAGGAAAAUGAACGUACAAAGCUUCUACUUCAAAGUCUACCAGAUUCAAAUGAUCAACUCAUCAUCAACCUGAUGAACAACAAUCCAGCGAACAGUCUAGUUUUCGAUGAUAUUGUAGCGUCCAUAUUAAAUGAGGAGAGCAAGUGGAAAAAAAAAAACAAGCAAGUUCGCAGCAAGCGGAGGUGCUAUCAGUGAUGAGAGGGAGAUCAACGGAACAUGGCCCCAGUGGGAGUCACAAUAAUGGUAGAUCAAAAUCCAGAAGUAAGAAGAAUGUUAAAUGCUACAACUGUGGCAAGAAAGGGCACGUCAAGAAAGAGUGUUGGAGUACCCAGAAGAGAAGAGAGGGCAAAGAACCUGAGUCAUCAAAUGCUCAUGGGUGUGUAGCAAGUACCUCAGAUGAUGGUGAAAUUCUCUACAGCGAGGCAACAACUAUUUCAGAAGGCAGAAAAUGACUAUUUGAUGUCUGGCUUAUAAACUCAGGAGCUACCUGGCACAUGACCUCUCGGAGAGAAUGGUUCCACAUAUAUGAACCUAUCUCAGGAGGAUCUAUAUAUAUGGGUAAUGAUCAUACCUUGGAGAUCGCUGGUAUUGGUACUAUCAAAAUAAAAAUGUUUGAUGGUACAAUUCGCACAAUUGGGGAGGUACGACAUGUCAACGGCCUGAAGAAAAAUCUAUUGUCUUUGGGACAAAUGGAUAGUCAUAGGUACAAAACUCAUAUGGAGAAUAAAAUUAUGAAGAUUGUUAAAGGCGCGCUUGUAUUGAUAAAGAUAGAAAAGAUCGGUGCUAAUUUAUUCAUGCUUAAAGAAGAAAUACUACAUGAGGCUGAUGCGUGUGUCGCGUCAAAUGGAGAAGAGUCAACGAUAAUGUGGCAUCUCAAACUUGGCCACAUGUCAGAACAAUGUUUGAAGAUUCUCUCUGAGCGAAAAUUGCUUCCAGGGCUCAAAUCGGUUAGUUUACCAUUUUGCUAGCAUUGUGUUAUAAGUAAGCAACAUAGAUUAAAAUUCAGUAGAUCUAUUGCUAGAAGUAAAUGCAUUCUAAACUUGAUUCAUUCUGAUGUUUGGGAAUCACCGGAUAUAUCCAUGAGAGGUGCAAAGUACAUGGUGACUUUCAUUGAUGAUUAUUCCAGAAGAUGUUGGGUGUAUCCAAUUAAGAAAAAGUCAGAUGCAUUUCUAGUGUUUAAAGAAUACAAAGCGUGGGUAGAACUUGAAUCUGGUAAAAAAAUCAAGUGCUUGAGGACGGAUAAUGGUGGAGAGUAUACAGACGGUGAUUUUCUUGCUUUCUGUAAGAAAGGAAGUAUUCAGAGACAGUUCACUGUAGCAUACACUCCUCAACAAAAUGGAGUGGCGGAGCGGAUGAACAGAACUCUUACAGAAAGAAUAAGAGUUAUGCUGAAGAUUGCUGGUCUACCCAAUUCCUUCUGGGUAGAAACAGCCAAAACUGCUUGUUAUAUAGUAAAUCGGUCGCCAUCUAUAACUAUUGGGCUGAAGACAGCGAUGGAGAUGUGGACUGGAAAGCCAGUUGAUUAUUCCUACUUACAUGCAUUUGGAUGUCCUGUGUACGUGAUGUACAAUAUCCAAGAAAGAAUAAGGCUAGAUCCAAAAUCUAGAAGAUGUAUCUUCUUGGGAUAUGCUGAUGGAGUAAAGGGGUAUCGUCUGUGGGACCCCACUGCCCACAAGAUAGUCAUCACCAGAGAUGUUAUCUUUAUAGAAGAUCAACUGCAAAGGAGAGAUGAAGAUGAUAACAGUGUAAAAGAAAAGUCAGAGACUAUACCGGUAUAUGUGGAAAAUAAUCAUAAAGAUUCAGAUUCUUCUGAAGCAGCACCAGAGCACGAGGAACAAGAACCAGUUGAAUCCGAGGCUCCAUAAGUUCGUCGGUCAACUCAUGAAAGACGACCGCCAACGUGGCACUCGGAGUAUAUCACAGAGAUCAACGUUGCGUACUGUCUUCUAACGGAGCAUGGAGAGCCUUAAACUUUCUAUGAAUCUUUAAACAACUCAGAUGUUGCUUUUUGGAUGACAGCAAUGCAGGAAGAAAUUGAGGCUCUACACAAGAACAAGACAUUGGAACUUGUAUCACUACCACGUAGAAGAAAAGCCAUUGGAAACAAAUGGGUCUACAAGAUCAAGCGUGAUGGCAAUGACCAAGUAGAGCGGUAUCGUGCAAGAUUGGUGGUAAAAGGAUAUACUCAUAAAGAAGGUAUUGACUUCAAUGAGAUAUUUUCUCUGGUGGUUCGACUUACAACAAUCAGAGUAGUCUUGGCAAUGUGUGCUACAUUUGACUUACAUAUUGAACAGUUAGAUGUGAAAACUGCAUUUCUUCAUGGAGAACUUGAAGAAGAAAUAUAUAUGCUCCAGCCAGAAGGUUUUACAGAAACAGGAGAGGAGAACUUGGUUUGCAGGUUGAACAAAUUUCUAUACGGUCUUAAACAGACGCCGAGGUGUUGGUAUAAGAGAUUUGAUUCCUUCAUCAUGAGCUUUGGAUACAACAGACUCGUUCAGACCAUUGUGCAUAUUACAAGAGGUUUGAAGAUAAUGAUUUCAUCAUUUUGUUGUUGUACAUGGAUGACAUGUUGGUAGCGGGCCCCAACAAAGAUCGAGUCCAAGAAUUGAAGGCACAGUUGGCUAGGGAGUUUGAAAUGAAGGACUUGGGACCAGCAAAUAAGAUUCUAGAGAUGCAAAUUCACCGAGACAGAAAUAACAUGAAGAUUUGACUUUCACAGAAGAAUUACUUAAAGAAAAUCUUACGGCGCUUCAACAUGAAAGAUUGUAAGUCAAUUUCUACCCCACUUCCUGUUAAUUUUAAAUUAUCCUCAAAUAUGUGUUCUAGCAAUGAAGCAGAGAGGAAGAAGAUGUCUCGAGUACCGUAUGCAUCAGCAGUGGGAAGUUUAAUGUUCGCUAUGAUAUGUACUAGACCAGACAUUGCACAAGCAGUGGGAGCAGUCAGUCGAUACAUGGCAAAUCCCGGUGAAGAGCAUUGGAUAAUUGUGAAGAGGAUUUUGAGAUACAUCAAAGGAACCUCAGAUGUUGCAUUAUGUUAUGGAGGGUCAGAGUUUACUGUCAGGGGCUAUGUGGAUUCAGAUUUUGCAGGAGAUCUUGAUAAAAGAAAAUCCACUACUGGUUAUGUGUUUACACUUGCGGGAGCAGCUGUAAGCUGGGUUUUGAAACUGCAGACCUUUGUGGCUUUAUCUACAAUAGAAGCAGAGUACAUGACAGCUACACAAGCUUGCAAGGAAGCUAUUUGGAUACAAAGGUUAUUGGAGGAGCUCGGGCACAAACAACAGAAAAUUCCUGUAUUUUGUGACAGUCAGAGUGCCUUGCACAUUGCAAGGAAUUCAGCCUUUCAUUCCAGAACAAAGCAUAUAGGAGUUCAGUAUCACUUCGUUCGAGAAGUAGUGGAAGACGGAAGUGUGGAUUUACAGAAAAUCCAUACGAAGGAGAACCUAGCAGAUGUUUUGACUAAGCCAAUCAACACUGACAAGUUUGUCUCGAGUAGAUCCUCUUGUGGCCUAGCAGAAACGUAGGCAACAUGAUUAUGGCGAAGCAGAAAGGAUGGUGUGGAGAUUGAUUGCUUUUCAAUCUAAUCUCUAAGUGGGAGAAUGUCAAAGCAAGGACCUAAAAGUCAGCACCAAAUUUGGUACUUGACUUUGGUGCUAGCAAAUCAAAGAAAAUGGAGGACAUAGCCCACAAACUUUGAAAGCUAGAUUGACAAAUUGAAGCCACGCGGAUUGACGAAAUUGAAACCAUAAUUGGUGGGCUAAAAUCGUUGAUUUUCUUGGCUAAUAUUUUGCUAUAAAUAGAAGUAUAUAUGAAGAGCUAAUUCAUUCCAUUAAGAGAGUUUAGAGAGCUUGAAAUUAUAAGCUCUUGUUAUAGUGAUUUGAGAGUUUGGGUGUAUUGAGAUUUUGGGAAGUGAGCUAAAAUACUACAAUACUCGUAACUCAUUUUUACUAGUAAAAUAUUUCCUUCUGUCUUCGCCCGUGGACGUAGUCUAAAAGCCGAACCACGUAAUUUUCUAGUAUCGUCUUUGUGCUUGUUCUUUAUUUUUCUUCUAAUUUUAUUUUAACUGCGUGUCUGCUUCACCCACCAAUUUCCUAAUACACUCUAAUAUUUACUUGUUUAUUUAAGAAGGGGGGUGGAAGUUCCACUCCAUGGAUUCCACUCAUUUUUGGAGUGUGCAGUGGGAUUCCUACUCCCACCUUUUUUUUUUUUUUAGCAUUUCUUUAUUAAAUAUAAUAUAAUUAUAUUUAUUAAAAUAAAGUAAUGUCACAGUUACUUAAAAAUAUUAAUAUUAAACUUAUUUGAAUAUAAUAUUAUUAUAUUUAGUGAAAAAUAAUAAUUUAUUUAAUCUAAGUUAAAUUAUUUUUAAAUAUUAUUAUUAUACUUGUGGAGAACUAAUAAUAUUACUUUUCAUUUAUUUAAUUUUAAUAGUAUUAUAUUUAUUUAAUGUUAAUAAUUAAUAGUAAUAAAUAAUUAUUCUAAAAAAAUAUAAUUUUGUACUAUAUUAUUAAUAAUAAUGUUUCAUGUAUUGCUAUUAUCAGGAAUUUGUAACUUACAUAAUUAAAAUUAAAAUUAAUAAAAACAAUUGUGAUUUAAAUAAUUAAGAAUAUUAUAAUAAUUAUCAAUUUAUAUAAUUAAAAUUAAUAAUAAAAUAAAUAGUUUAUUUUACAAAUAUUUUUUUAUUCGCUUUGUAAUUACAAACCAAUUCUUUAAAUAUGAGUAAAACUGUAAUUUGAAACAAUUUGCUCCUAACCCAAGACAAAAUAAAUACAUAAUGAGAUUCUAAUUCAUAUUCCACACUUUCAUUUCAGUAUAAGUAAACAACAUAUUCAAACUCCUACUUCAUACUCGCAAUCCUAGAUUUCCACUUCUUAGAAUUUUCAAUUCAAUCCGAGAAUUAAAUGCUACCUUAAACAUAAAGACAACAAAGAGUACUUAUUAGUUUGCUAUUAUUCUCAAUUUUGGUUAUAAAUUUUAGAGACUGCAUUUGAUUAAAACGUUGGACACGGCUAUAUUUGAAUUUUAAAGCACUAACUUGAAGUAUGAAUUGGCUUUUGGAUUAAAAUUCACACACUUAAUAUAUAUAUUAGCUUUCCAAUUAGAGAUAUCUGACUUUAAUAAAGUCAGGGAUAAGUUAAAAGACAAAAUAAACACAGACUCAAAUACAAUGUAUUUGGUCUUGUAAUGUAUUGAUUUUUUUUUUAAUCUUUUAAUUAAUCUAUGAUUUUAUUAAAGUUAGAGAUUCAUAAUUAGAAAACCACUAUUUAUUUAUAUAUGAUCUAGUGAAUAAUAUAAUUCUCACCUUAUGGUGAACAAUACUGUCGCUACUCAAUAUAUACUAGCGCACCUGUGCAUGGUAAAAUAGUAAAUAAUAAAUUUUCCAUCCCCACUAGCUAAUUAAUCAGCAACUUAUUGAAAAAUUGGCGUCAUAUACAACAUUGCUUGCGUCGCAAAUAAAUAUAUAUGUCUGCAAUAAAAUUAAUACUUGAUCGUAGCUCAUGUUUGGCUGCGUAUUGCCAGUUAAAUAUACGAGAGACAAACAAUAUGUCGGUUUUGGUCAAACAAAUAUUUGAACAUAUCUUAACAUUAACUAGUUUGCACUUUGUAGCUCUAAUUUUGCUCUUUAAUUUCUAUGAUUAAUGUGUUGGGUAUCUCAUUCGACAUGUGUGAUGAUUUUAAUUAAUCCGAUGAGCUAGCACGUGUAGCUAGAUAUAUUAAAGUUCUACUUGAUUAAUUUGUAAAAAUAAAUGGAAAUUAAUAUACAUAUUACAAGAGAGAGCUGAUUAACGAUCAGUAUGCCAUUGAUCAAUUAAAUGUAUAUAUAUCUGGCUUCUCUUACUGAGCAGCAUUCCAAUACUCAUUUUAAUUUUGAUUAUAAUUUCAAUUUAUUUAGUGGAUAAUACAUCUUAUUACAGCAACAAUAUUGCUUCCUGGGUUUAUCGUCUCAAGUUCAAUCUUCAAAUUUCUUGGCCAAGGCAAAGACAUAGCAAAUAGGGCAGGACAUUUCUUGCCCAUGGUUCAUUGCCGUUAUUUGUUUUUGGCACUUUCACUUGACCAUACAAAGGCACCUACGCUCACAGCUUGAAAACUCAAAUUAUUUAUGUCACUGGUGGUUGAUGCCCUAAUACCUGGAGAGGAUUCAAUUUAGAUUCUUUUGCUGAUUUAUUUCCUCUAAUUAAACUCUCGACAUCUUUGAACGUAUGAUAUGGUACAUAAGUGCAACCGAGCAUUCUUAAUAAAAACUAAUUACUCAUUAAAUUUAUGAAAAAAUGCAGAGUUGAGAUAUCUGCCAUCUCCAUAUGGUAACUCUAUGUUGGUUCUAUUUUUUUUCUUUCUUACCCCGAAAUUGGAUUUUCAAUGCGCUGCAAGCUACAUUACAGAACGAUAUAUAUAUAUGUAUACUACAUAACUGUCUAAUGUUUUUUGCUUCGCUUUUAUUGUUUCGGUCCCUAUAAUUUUUUUUCCUUCUUUCGAAUUACCCAUUAUAUCUCUUAAGUUAAAAUUUUGAUAUUCAAAUUUACUGUACAAAAGAUAAUAAUAAUUUUAACAAGUAAAAUCUAUCACAUCUUUUGACAAACACAUUAGAUUAGACUAUCAAAAGUAUAUAUGAUAGUAAUAAAAAUAAGAAAAAUGUGUUUUUUUUCUCUGGUCAUUUACUUGUUUUAAGACUAUGGAUAUAAUGGGUUAUUGAAAACUACAUACAUCCAUAAAUAUAUUUUAGUGAUCAUUAGGGUCUACCAUAUAGAAAGCAUCUAAAAACGUAGCAGGACUGUGAGACAUCCUAUAAAUAGUAUUUAAAUUGUGGAUUAAUAAGAUAAUGUCACGUGACACUGUCGCUCAUCAUUAGGUAAUUACUGCCGCCCAUUAUAUCAUUACUUCCCCAUAUACUAUGGAUAUAAUGGGUUAUUGAAAAAUACAUACAUACAUAAAUAUAAUUUAGUGGUUAUUAGCGUCUACCAUGUAGUAAGCACCUGAAAACAUAGCAGAACUUUGAGACAUCAUGUAAAUAAUAUUUAAAUUGUGGAUUUAUAAGACAACGUCAUGUGACACUGUCACUCACCAUUAAGUUAUUAUUGUCGCCCAUUAUAUCAUUACUUCCUCAUAUGCAUAUAUUAAGAGUGUCAUAGGCAUAUACAGAGAGUGAUCAAGUAACGUUGAGAAUAAGAGGACAGAGAGUGAUCUUGUAACAGUAUAGUAGCAUAUAUUAACAUUUGCUGCUAUUAUGUGAUUGGUACCUGUACGAGCUUUUCAUGUACGUGGCCAAUCUCAAAGUCAAGAUAUCAAUUCAUCUUUGUAUUUCUUACUUUUCAUCUUUUUCCCUCUUGAUAAAGAACUUCAUAGAUUUAAAUUUAGCAUCUUUUACAGAGGAUAUAUAAUUUGAUAUUUAUCGUUAAUAUAGCUCUUAUGUUUUUUUAAUCGGUAAAUGUUCCUUUAAUCGCGACUGUUUGAGCAAAUUAUCAUUUCGUUAGUUCGUUCACUAUUUUAAAAUUGCCCAAAAAUUAAAGUCCUCUCAUAUAAUCUAUUUUUUACUUAUUACCUCUUGCUUUAUUUGAAUUUUUAAGUUAUAUCAAAAUGAAGUAUUAUUUUAUUAGGCCCCUUUGAGAUUACUUUUGAGAGAGUUAAAAAUAAUUUUGAAAAGUUAAAAGCUAAUUUUGGUGUUUGAUAAUUUUUUUAAACUACUUUAAAAAAUUACCUCAUCCCAUAGCAGAGUUUGAAUAGUAGGAAAGAUUAGCUUCAUAAUAUUUAAUUUUGAAAAUGAGUUUUGUACUUAAUGCAAUUUCAUAUAUAUCCUCACAUAUAUAAAAAUCCAAAAUUAUCCUUAUUUAAUUGUGAAAUAAAAUCAUUAAAUUUAAAGAGAUUACUAUUAUUAUCAAUUAUAUUGAAUAACAAAAUACAAAAUACAAAAAAAAUAUUUUUUAUUAAUUAUUAUAUAUACACAAUAAAAAUAAUAUAUAAAAAUGACAAUAAAUUUAUGAAAAAACAAUUAUUGAACAUAAUAUCUAUUUGAGUCAUUUGCAUGUAUUCUUGCAGUAAUUUAAUAGUAAGAUUUACCAAAAAUAUAUGAUUAGUUUUAAAACUCAUAACACUUUUAAAAAUAAUUUUUUCUAUAUAUUAAACGAUUGCCUACACAACUGAUUAUUUUUAAAGCACAACUAAUAUUAAUUAUUUUAAAAGCUGCACUUAUUACCAAAUUAGCGUAAUCCAACAGUUAUAAAAGUAAUGAUAGAGAAUUUUGGAUAAAUUUUAAAAAUACAGGAACUAACUAGGUAAUUAACCCAAUCCAAAAGUACUAAAGAAGCUUUUACCCUAUUUUGAUCAUGAUGCCUUACUUUGGAGUACAUGGAAUGGCUUGUUGUAGUUCAUUUUUCAAAAACUAGAUGAAUAUCUUCAUUCAAUUAAUUUGCGCAUGGUAUAUGGAUUGGAAUGCUGCUUGGAGUAGUAAACCAAUCAUCGUGCUUGGCUAUGUUCCAAGAAAACCGACUGGGACAAUGAGGUAAAUAUUUAAAUUAAAUGAAGUUUCAUUCUAUGAAGCAUUAAUAUUGUAAUUAAACAUGAAUUGUGUAAAUGAUACAUAAGACAUAUAAAUUCAAUAGAAAAAUUAUAAAUCAAUAAUAAGCAUAAAUAAAACAUAAAUAAUGUAAAUGCAACAUAAGACUUAGAAAUGAAAGGUAAAACAAGUAAAUUAACAUAAGAAUGGUAAAUUGGUGUUCCACUAGCAAACAAAACAAAAACUUUCAAAUGAAACAUAAAAUUUAUAAAUCAACAAUAAGUGUAAAAUAGAACAUAAAUUGUCUAAAUAAAACAUAAGAUUUCUAAAUAAAAGGUAAAACAAGUAAAUCAACAUGAAAAUGAUAAAUUAGUGUAUCAAUAGUAAACAAAAGAAACUUACAAAUAUAAUAUAAAACUUAAAAAUUAAUAAUAAGUGUAAAAUAAAACAUAAAAUUAAAUAAAUAAAACAUAAGACUUAUAAAUGAAAGGUAAAAUAAAUAAAUUGAUAUAGGGAUGACAAAUUGGUGUAUUAUUGGGAAACAAAAUAAAAAAUUACAAAUGUAUUAGAUCCAAUUUUAUUGAUAUAUCAUAUAUGUCUAAUAAGAAUUCUUUUUAUUUUAUUUUACCUUGAUCCACAUCAAGAAAAAUGAUUUUACAUAAUUAACAUGUAUAGUAAAUAAAUACUUUAUAUGAUAGAAAAUUAAAAAAAAAGUUUAUAAAGUCCUAAGACGAAUAUAGAAUUGAAUGCCAAUUGCUUUCAAUACAAUUUUUUUUUUAAAAUUUCAAUUGACAGGUGAUUUUUUUAUUUGCUUAAUUACACUAAAUGAAUAAAUUAUUGUUUUUGGAGAUAAAAUAAAAAUAGUAGGACAACUUUCGAAGUUUUUCUUCGUUAGCUUGGCUGUAAAGAAACAAUUGUUCCCCUUUUUUACACACACACCAAAAAAAAAAAAAAAUUGAAAACAUAACUGUUUGAACGUGUUAAAUCUCUAAAAGUUCGGCUCUAAAUUGCAUAAAAACGCUAAAUUUGUGAGACCUAAAAUACCGUUCACGUAAACAAAACGAUAUUAUUAAUCAUGCAAAAUCAUUUAUUCAUGAACAGGAUCUCCGCCAUGUGAUACACGCCCAUUUCAUCUUGUACCUAUAAAAUCUUAAAUAUAUGCAUAUAUAAAAAUUUGUGGAAGGGUUUACUGAAGGAUUGACUGACAGUAUGAUGAGCUGCCAAAUACUAUUAGACAAGGAACAAAAUUCUGUGCUUCAUGAAAAUUAAGAAGUAGAUUUUUAGAAAGAUUCUAACUAGCUCAUCAUUUUUAUCUGUAUUCUCAAAACAAUCAUUUUUCACGAACUCAGUUGUAAAUAAAUAAAUGGAAUAAGAGAAUGAUCCAACAGAUUUACUGAUUGGAACUAAUUAAUGAUGAUUUUGGCUUAAAUGCAAACCGAAUGGCUUUGCCUACUCAUUGAAGUUCAAGAGAAUAAAGAAUACGAGAAACUGAACAAUACAAAUAUAUACGAACAAAGGAUUAAAGUACAUGGGGAAAAGUUGUUACAGUUACAAUACAAAUCGAAGUCAUAAUCCAAUUAUUUAUGACAAGAGAUCAUCCAAGUCCAGCAUCAAGCCGAAUGAACAGCGCACAUCCCCUAUUGGUUCUUCAGCAUCAUCAUGAAGUAAGUCUUCCAGAAAAGAAUAGUCUUCCUCAAUUAACUCAGGUAGUCCAUCACUGUCUUCGUGUUGCACCAAUGAUUCAGGCACCGCCAUGGGCACUUCAACAAUACUCUCCGAAUGACAAUGAUAAUUCUCUCCAGUUUCUCUACCCUGAAGCAUGUUGUUCCCGGAGUCAUAUUGUUGGUUACAUAUCAUCUGAUCAAAAUGACUCAUCAUCAUCUCCAUGGAUGGCUCGUAAACACUGCUUGCAAGCCCAGCUAAGCUCUGCUCACUCAUCAUGCCAGCACUGCUGCAACUUACUUCUUGAUAAUCCAUAUAGUUCUGUUGCUGAUUCUGCUGGUGGGUGAACGGCCUAUCCAUCUCAAUAUCUGCUACUUGUUCGGAUUGAUUGCUGUUGUCUUGAAAAUCCUUCAGCUUUCUUUUCUUUGCAGAACCGUACUUCAUAAUAUCAUGGCCAGUUGGUUGAUUCUUUCGGAGCCUGCAAAGCACAUAACUGGUAGCUUGAUUCUUGGGCAAAUGUAGAGUGUACUCGUGCAUGAUCCAAGCCCCGUGAUCCUCACAGCCUUGUUUUUCGUAACGAAACCGCUUCUUGGAGCCGAUUUUGAUUUUGGAUUGGCCGCUUACUAUAUCUUUACCAGCAUCCUCCCCUUGCCAAGUACCGCCGGAAGAUCCCACUUUGCGGUCGAUUCUGGAACCCUUGGAAGACUUUUUCUUCAACUGGGUGAAGAAAUAAAGAUCCUCAUCAGCAUUUAAAAAGGGUCCUCCAUGAGAAUCCCAAAUCUCAGAGGGUUUUUCCUCGUAAAGAUUACAAUCCCUGAUGAAAUACUCAGCAAGGUGAAUGAAUAUUCCCGAAACUUUCUUCUUGAGAUAAUGUUCGAUGAGUUCUUCAUCGGAUGGUCUGAACUGAAAGCCAUGGGGAAGAAAGGGUCUGUGUUCUUGCAUUUUGUUUGAGGAGAAGAUGGUUAAUUCAAUGGUGGGUUGGUUGAUUGAUUGAUGAUUGAUGGAGGAAAUUUUUUCGGUGAAUUAUUGAAAACAAAGAACACAGAAGCUGAGAGAGAAGCAAAGACAGAGUCAGAGAAUUAGAGAAGUGGUGAGAAGUGCGGGUGUUAAAGUUUCCUUAUAACAUAUGGACGAGUGAAGUGACGUAGCUUGGAUUACAAGUAACAAUUUCCUAAGGCAACUCCGAGAAACGCGGGUGAACUUGCGAGUUGGGUAAGAAGUCCUGACAUUUAAUAACCUUCCUAAAUCGGACAAAUCCAAGAAGCCGUUGAGCUUGAGGCUGACGCCAAGUCGGUCUUUAGAAAAAAAAAUCUAUUUUUUUUAAUAUUUCGUGAGUAUUAGAUAUUAUUAUUAUUGUGAAAAAAUAAAAGAAAACUCAGAAGUCCCCGAAAUCAUAAAAUGCAAAAAUGUUAAAAUGCGGUUCUUCCUUUGCUAAUUGCUAAACCCUAACCCUAACCCUAAUCCCCAUUUUGUCUCCACUUGAGAUUAGAUAUUUGGUGUUCUCAGAAGUUCUGUGAGUGGCAUUAGCUAAUCAUGCAACUAUGGGAUUUUAAUUCCCCUAUACUGUAGUGCUGAAUUUUCGGUCUUGUGCACCUCUCCAACUAAUUACCACGUCUGUAUUGUAAAUAGACGGUUACGAAUAAUCCCGCCAAAAUAAUAGGAAUUAGACAUAUGGCCAUUCCAAAUAGAAAGAAUCAUUUGUUUUUAAUUCUUUUUUCCAUUACUAUUGUGAAAUAAAAUUACUAGAUUUCAGAUAAGAUUUCAAAUAAUAAUGGAUUGGUGUUAAUUAAAUACUAUUUAUAUAUCUAGAUUAUUUAAAGCUAAUUUGAAAAUGUUCGUAACCUAAUUUUUGUUCUUUUUAAGGGAAAAAAAAGUCAAACUUUUUAAAGUAUUAUUUGGAAUUUUUUAUUUGUAUAAUGUGAGUAAUAAAUAAUUUUAAAUGUUGUAAAAUUUAUCCAUAAUAUUUAAAACAUAUAGUAUUAUCCUUUAAAACAUUAAAUGAUUAUUUACAAAUGAAUAUUUUUAUACCCAAAACUACACUAAAUUGGAAUAUUUGAAUGUCAUUGUAGCCUCAAUGUCAUAUCUUGGGAAUUUAUGUUGGUCUUUGGCUUCAUGGCUGCCUCUGGGUAUGUCUCUAAAAAUGAUCAUCUCCUUCAAAUAAUAACAUAGAAAAAAGAAAGAAUAGUAACAUCUUUUGGUAUGGUAAAUAGUCACAAAAAUUCUCUUAUUUAUAGAAAUGGUGACACAGACCCUUUUUUAGUAUAUAAAACUAUCUUUUCUGUGCAUAAAAUUGUUAAACAAACUCCAAAAAAUUAUCCAAAAAAGGUGUUCUGUGUGAUCAUUAUUCUGAAAUAAAUGAAUCCCUGUCACUAUUUCUCCAAAUCACGGGUGUCGCCAUCUUUUAUUAUAUUCAUAUCAUCUCUUGUAUGUUAUUUGGUUUUCUAGUGUGCGGCUUUCAAAUGAACUGGGGAGAGAUGCUAAAGCUGCGAAAUUUUCCAUAUUCUUAUGAACCAUGCCACCAAAUAUCUUUAUAAAUCUCAGAUCAAUUCUAUGGUCAAGGGUUCGAAUCCCGAGUGCACUAAAAUUGAACCGGAUUUGUUUUAAUUAGAAACAUACAUUUAAGUUUAAAUUUUUUUCUUCAAAAAAAAAAAAAAUUCCAUGAUGAUUAUUUGAAUGAAUGGUUUGAUAUUGCACAUCAUGAACAGUUUAACUUUUUUUGAAAUUCGAUUGUAGUUCAUCUUCAGAAACAAGUUCCGAUUAUUCUUUUAAUUUGCACAGGGUAUUUGGACUGGAAUGCUGCUUGGGGUAGUAAUGCAAUCACUUCUGCUGGGGUAUGUCACCUGGAAAACCGAUUGGGACAAUGAGGUAAGUAAUUAAAAUAAAUUCACCAAUAUGUACACAUCAUCAUCAAUUGCAUGCCUCAUUUUUUUUUUUUUGUGAAAAGAAAGUAAAGCUUUCUAAAAUAUAAAAUUUGAGAGUAACAUCAUGAUCUGGACUAGAAACUCUUCCAGCCAUAUAACAGAAUUCUCAAAAUCGAGAGCCACUUUUGGUAUAGCAUGAGCUAUGGCAUUACACUUCCUUGGAACAUACUGUAAUGAAAAUGCAUUCGAGAUCUGCAGCUGUUGUUUUAUUUCUUCUACUGUCCAAGAAACUUCAGUCAAGCUACUUUUCCUUCUCCAGACCAGCUCCACCACUUCUGUUGAAUCUGAUUCAAUAAUCAUAGGCAAAUAUUCUACUUGUUGGGCAACUUGAAUGCCAAAAAGGACUGCUUCAGCCUCCAUGCUCGCCACUGUCACUACUAGAAAAAUGGUCUUUACUGACUUUAGAAUAGUGUCAGAAAUUACUUUCACUGACACUUGUUAAUUGUGUCAGUAAUCUGGGAGUCAAAAAAAUAGUGACACUUGUAAGUGGUGUCAGUGAUUACUAUUACUAUAGUAUCACCGAUAUUAUGACACCAUAGUGUUAGUAGUUAUUGAUAUUUUAUUAGUGUCUAUGAUUACUGUUACCAUGGUAUCACUAGUUAAUUUAUUUUAAAAAAAAUAAAAAAUUAAAUUGGAUCAUUGCCUAUUGAUUUAUUUGUAAAAUUAAAAGCACCACAAAAUAACAAAAAGAAAUUUAUUUAUAUCACAAAAUCUUUCAUUUCACAUUUAAAUAUUAUUACCAUAUAUUACAAAUUGAACUUCAAUAGCCAAAAUAUGAGAUAUCCUACUCUCAUAACUAAAUAAUCCAAAUUCAAUAUAUAAAAAUUAGUCUCUAUCCCUAUCUAACCAACUUCCAUCAGAAUUAGCCUCAUCACUUCUGCUUUCACUGUGAUAAUUGGAGCGCCUCCGACUCCAAGUUGUUUCAUGAACUUGACGUUCAUCAUCAUGGCUUCUGCCAGAACCACUUUUCACACGAUCAGCCUCCCUUGAUCUAGACCUUCUGUAAUGAUGCCUGCAUAAGAAAUUACAAAACCAUAAAUAACCAGAAGAUUUCUAACAUCAGCAAUAAAUACAUUAAAUAAUGAAAUUUGAUCAUAGUUUGGAUCAUCACCCCUUGUACAUAAGAUUGCAAUGCUACAUCACCAAUAGACCAAAAAACCAACAGAAGAACUUUCUUUAAAUCUUGCAUUGUGAGAACAUCUUUUCAUUAUUCAUUGCUUCUAAGAAAACCGAGUUAGGAGACUUGAAGAAAACACAAAUGAAGAGAACGAUACAAUGAAGAAACCUCUCAAAAUCAUCGGUCAAACAUGGAAGUUUAAACUAAAAAAUUCAAAUAACAGAAAGUGAAUUAAAUAAACAAGAGUUCAUAUAUACCAAGUACAGUUUUUAGUGUCUAUGACUAGUAAUAAAAGCAUACCUGUCAGCAUUAGUUGAAUCUAUCUUGUUCCUCGUUUGUCCUGAGCAUUCUUGAUUCCAGGUCCCAGAUUCAUUAGAAUAACCAAAUAAAGCAGCCAUCUUUUUCACCCAAUAUCUCGGAGGUGGUUUAUCCCAAUCAGCCCAUUCAUAGUCUCCCCCAGGGUUGCGGAAACAGUGGAUAAAAUUGCAAGCCAUUCCACGAGAGCAUGUCUGUUAAAAUAUGCCCAACGAAGAUAAUAAGAGUGUAAAGAAAAGAAGAAAAGAAACAAACUCAUUUCAUAUCAAAAGCAAAAUGGCAAAGAAAAAAGCAAGUGUAUAAGCCGCACAAUUAUAACUCUAAAAAAUGAGACAAUUGGCUGUACCUUUAGUCUUGACUUCAUAUAUUCCCCACAUAUGGCAAUCUUCCAUCUAGUCCUAUUAAUAUAUUCACAUGUGAUAUGUCAAGAAACACACAAAUAAAUAAACCAUCACCAUCCAGAAAAUGACAAGCUGUAAAAUUCAGUAAACAGUAAUGUGUUGAUUACAAUUUAAGCAUGGAGAAAAAUUUCAGAUUAGCCUAUGUCAACAGUGUCCACAGAUAGUUAAAAGAUGGGAGAAUGUGCUGGCGUUCACUAAGCAUAUAAUUUUUCACAGCUUAACCCAUUGCAAUUUUACCAGUGUCAAGUCUAAAGGAAACUAGUCAGGAAUCUUCUGUAAAGUAAAUAAAUAUUGAAACAACUGUUCUCAUAGCAAUAAAAUGAAAUUAUUUUAAUAAUUUUCUUCAACUUUCAGACCAAUUAAACAAGUAAAGCAAUUUUAGUACAAUGCACAGCAAUUUAAGCUGAAUGGACAAUUGGAACAAUUACGGAACAACUAGACCCCAACGAAUACUGUAAAAACAACCCUUAAACAAUGACUUAAGAAAGUAGAAGCUUCUCUUAAGAAAGUAGAAGCUUCUCCUAGUUCAUGCCUUUUCAAUCUCCCUUUGCUAAGAAAGUUGCCCUGGUAUUUAAGACUAUCCAAAUCCUGUCAAUAUGUUGGGACAUUCAAAUACAGCCUCCAAGAAGACACGCUGUAAGAUUUACAACUGAAGUCUGUCGGAUAAACCAAAUCUUAUACCCAAUGCCAAGAGCUUUAAUUUAAUCCAUUUUAACAGGCACCAAUUACCAGGAAUGCAGGCAGACAAAGAGGAUCAAAAUGACAGGAUAUCAGUAUUCUGAAAUUUCUAUCAGAAAAAUGAAAAGUGGCAAGGCCUAUUCACUGAGAGCCAAAAUUUUUUUAAAUAGUAUUUACUUUAUAUAAAACAAAUAAAUAUAAAGUAGAAAGUAAGCUCCAACAAUUCUUCACAAAGACCUGUUUCCCAGCAAAGUAACGACCAUUGACAGAAUGGUAAGCGAGAACAGCUGAUUCCAGCGACUUAUAGAGAACAUAAACAUUUCCUCUCAAGUGGGAAGAACCAUUUCUACACACCUGCACAUAUUUGUUAGUUAGUAUAAGCAGAAAAGGAAGAAACCCAUGCCUAAAUCUUACAGAAUACCGAGUCUACAAGAAAUGCUAAAUAAUGUCCAUAGAGUUUCAAUUAAUCUGGGAGGCCAGAGAAUGAUUAAAGAAAGAGUAAUGAAAGAACCACAACCAUCUUGUACAAACAAGGGCAUACAAACUAAUAUGGCAUGAGGAGAUUGAUUGUAUGAAACCAUCCUAGGUCUACAUAGUUGAAAAAAAUAACUGUUAUCACUUUUCAGCCAAGCUCUUCAUACCACAUCAGUUGGUACACACUAAGCUGUAAAAAUUUGUUUGUGGCUCUGUCAUUAUUGUCAAAGAAAAUGGUGACAGCUAGUUUUCUUCAUAUUUAUCAUUUUUGCUAAUCUCAAAAUUGCGAUAUUUGAAAAACCUAAGAAAAGGGUAAUAGAAAUAAAGAAACUUGAGAAACUCCAAGACAACAAGUACAUUUACAGAAAAUAGUUAACAACAUUGAAAUUGACAAUUUCACCAAACUUCAGGAACUCCGUAUGAACAUCCUCAUAAAAUUCUUCAUAAGAGCGUUCAACUUCUUCAUCUGUAUACUGAAAAGAAAGAAAGCAAAUCAACCAAAAUUUUUUUUUGCGUAUGUUAACAUCAAAAGCAUAAAAUCAAAAGAAAAGUAUGAAAGUAUAGUCUGUAAAGAACAACUUAAAGUUAUAGGUGAAUGAAGUAAAAUGGAAAAAAAUGAAUGCAGCUAGAACAACAACACUAGGUAGUAUGACUGCAGCUAGUGGUGCCAUAUCAAAGCCACUGCUCCGCUUGCUGCAGAUAAAAUAGAAAAGGUAAAAGAAAUAAUGAACAAAGACAUAAACGCCAUACUUAUCCUAAUUUUAUCUGUUUACAGAAUGAAGAUAACAUAUCUCAAAAGUUGAACAUGUAAAGCCUUUCCCCAUAUAAUAAUUAACAAGGAACUUUCACAGUUUCACCACCUCAAUGACCACAUUUAAAUUAAUUUGUUCUAUACCUUUUGGAAAGAGCACGGGAAGGAGAGAGUGAUUUUGGCCGAUUCCUCAAUCUGUCACUUGAAUGGGAACACGAUCUAUGUCUACGCCUUCUUUCUUUGCCUCUAUUAUACUCACGAUACCUACAAAAAAAAAGUGAUUAAUUUUAAUUAUUGAGCAUCAAAGAUGCAUUUCACACUUGUAAAUAAAGUUUAGGGUUUUUGUUUUCUAAUUUAUUUGGUUCUUUCAUCAAUCAUUUAAUCAAUUUUCUAUAGAUCUGAUCUAAAAAUAUAAAAAUCAAGAAAUUAAUCACUCUUUUUUUUAAUAAAAAAAUUAAAUUACAACCUGAUUCCCUCAUUUUCUAAAAUUCACGAAAUAAAGAGAUAACACAUGUUAAAAAUUUUCAAAUCUAAUAUGAAAAUAGCCAUCUAUCGCACAUACCUCGCUUCUUAUCUUUUAUCUUUAUUAUGAAUGAAAAGAACAACGGCUGAUGGUCGCCUAGACGAUGAUGACAAGCAACGAUGAGAGCCGAAGCGAAAUGACCGCGACAAAUGAGAGGCGAUACCGCCAUGACGAAUGAGAGACAACGAUCAUGAAGACUGGAUGACGAUCGCAAGGGGAGGCAAAGCGACGACCGCGAAGACUAGAUGACGGUAGUUUGGGCAAGGCAGUGAGAUAGGAGAUCGUGUUUUGAGAGUUAGAAAAUUAGGGUUCUUUCAUUUCUACUUACAAGUUCUUUUUCUAAUUGGUUUUUUGUGUUUAUAUAAAUGUUUUUUUGGCUAAUACCUUAAAACACAGUUACAAUGGUUUUUUUCUUAAAUUUAAAAGUUUGACUGUUGGAAGUCUUGGGUUCGAGUUGUAUGUGGAACAAGAUUAGAAUUAUUAUAUUUUUUCAACUGAUACUUUGGUGUCAGAGAUCUCUGAUGUCUAACUUACAGACACCAUCGUAUCAGUAAUUUGUGAUACUUAAAUGUUAAAUACGGAAAAUGGUCCACAUGUAUGUAAAUACUGAUACUUUUUAAAAAAGUGUCACGAGUUAAGCAUCAGUAAAGACCAUUUUUCUAGUAGUGUGUUCCCUGAAAGCACACCUUCUUAACAGCUGCAGCAAUGAUUUUUCCAUUGGAAUUCCUAACCACUGCCUCCAACCCUGCCUUUAGACCUGCCAUUUGAAUCGCAACAUCCACAUUGACUUUAUACUUCCCCUCUGGAGGAGGUGUCCAAAUUUGUUGGUUAUUUUGAUAAUGAAGUGAUCUAGCUGGACCGUUUUGGGUUUUGAUUCUCUUAUAUGACUCCACAAUAGCUGAUGCUCUAGCUGCUGUCAGUUUUGGCUCUUCCUGCUUUCCUUCAAUUACAAAGCGGUUCCUCGCAUACCAAAUGGCCCAACAUAUUGCAAGAAUCUACUCAAUCUCUUUCUUCAUUCUUCUUGAUGCUAGUUCUUGGAGCAUACUCAGUAUGUCAUGCUGAGACAACAACUUCAUAUCUUCGUAAAAAUCUGUCAACUUCCAGACUUUCCGAGCAGUCUUACACUCCAUUAACACAUGAGUGACAUUCUCACUUUUACAAUGACAUCUUUGACAGGCUGGAUUCCCCACCACAUUUUUCCUCCAUAGAUUAUUGGCUAUUGGUAAUAGAUUCUGAGCAGCUCUCCACAUGAAAAUUUUUAUUUUUUCUGGAAUUUCAUUUGACUAAAUUACCUUCCAUUGAGUUUUAGAGCUAUCAGAGCACUCCGGAUUAUCUGAGAAUUUCAUUCUAACUGCCACCUGGUAUCCACUUCUUACUGAGUAACAGCCAUACUUAUCAAAGUGCCAAAUCAUCAGGUCUUCCUGGGGAGUUCUUGGCAGAGGGGUUCUUAGAAUCCUUUGUGCCACCUCUUCGGGAAAACAUUGCACAACCUUCUCCUCCAUCCACUGAUUUUUGUCAUCAAUAAAAUCAGCAACAACAACAUUUUCUGCUAAAUUUUGGUGAGGAACGUAGCUGGAACAUUCGAGUUUUUGCAUCCAAUUCCUGCUGGACACUGAGACCCGGUUUCCAUUACCUAUUCUCCAUCUUAAGCCUUUGUGCAACACUUGUCUCUCCCAUAAUAUACUUCUCCAAACAAAAGAGGGAUUUGACCCCAAUUUUGCCUCCAUAAAGUCAAUAUGCUUGAAGUACUUGGCUGUUAAAAUUUUUGACAUUAAAGCAUCAGGAUUAUGUAGGAUCCUCCACCCCUGUUUGGCGACAAGGGCUUGAUUAAAGCUUGAAAAGUCCCUAAAACCCAGACCACCCUUAAUCUUGGCCUGACACAAUUUCUCCCACCUUGCCCAAUGAAUCCUUCUAUGAGUUUCGGAUGAUCCCCACCAGAACCUUGCUACAGCCUUUUGUAUAUCAUCACACAGCCCUUGAGGAAUUUUAAAUACGCUCAUCGCAUAGGCAGGCACAGCUUUGAUGAGAAUUUCUUUUCCCCCACUUAAGAAACACUUAUUUUGCCAACUUGAUAGCUUGCUUAGCACUCUCAGUUUUAUGUCGUUGAAAAAACUAGUCUUUUUCCUCCCUAUCAUCGAUGGAAGUCCCAGAUACUUUUCAUGUUUUGAAACGAUAUUCAAAUCGAAAAUACUUUUGAUUUCCUCCCUUUGACCUGAACUUGUGCUGCUGCUAAAGAACAUAGAGGACUUCUCAAAAUUAAACACCUGUCCUGAGGCUGCUGCAUAGUUGUCAAAGAUCUUUCUUAAAUUUCUACAAUCGUUAAUUGAUGCCUUUGUAAAGACCAGACUAUCGUCGGCAAAGAGAAGGUGUGUGACUGAUAGAUCUCUGCUGAAUUUCAGACCAUUUAUGAGCUUUUGAUUUUCUACAUUCACUAUUAAGUUUGAAAACACCUUUGCACACAUAAUAAAAAGAUAAGGGGAGAGUGGGCAGCCUUGUCUCAAUCCUCUUUGAGGAUGGAUUAGGUCUUUUGCCACUCCAUUGAUUAACACUGAAAAACUUGUUGUAGUGAUACAAUUCAUGAUCAACUUCACCCAUUUUUCUAAAAAUCCAAGUUUUUGCAUUGUGCAUUUUACAAAUUCCCACUCAACCCUAUCAUAGGCUUUACUAAUAUCAAGUUUAAGAGCUACCAGCCCAUUUCUUUUACUCUUGCUUUGUCUAAUCUUAUUAAGACACUCGUAUCCUAUAAUAAGAUUAUUAGUAAUGAGCCUAUUGGGUACAAAAGCGCUUUGGGUCGGGGAGAUGAUAACAUGCAGAAUCUUCUUAAGCCUAUUAGCUAGCGUUUUAGCAAUAAUUCUAUAUAUAACAUUACACAAGCUAAUAGGUCUGAAAUCAGUCACUUUUCUAGGCUUUUGCACUUUGGGGAUCAAAGCUAAGUAUGUAUGAUUCAGGGGUGCAAUGUUACUGAUGGGUGUCGAAGCCAACAAAAAUAAAUUCCUACUCUAAAUAAAUUGUGUAUAGUAAUUGAGCAGGGUCGUGUCCACAGAGAUCGGUAGUUAUUUAAAUCCUUUUAAAACGUAAAACAUAAAAUGGGGGUUUUGUUGACAAUAAUAAAAAUCAAAUUAAAAUAACAAGAAUGCAAAUUAAAGUUGUAAUUCAAAUUGGAGAAAGCUCUGGUUGAAGGAAUUAACUCAGCUUGAUUCGACUACUGAUCAUUGAUUCAAAUAUAGAUUAUUAUUUCUCAUGAAUAGACCAGUUAUAGCUACCGAGACCCUCUAAUAGCCAAUCUCUCCUUAACUAGUCGAUAACCAAGGUACGACCGUUAGUUAUUUCCCUAAUCAAUAGACAACCCUAGAUACGAUCAUAGAAUUUAAUCAAUUGACAACCUGAAAAACCAGAGAGACCCAAAUCCUAAUCAACACAUAUGAUGAUUCAUUUAAAUUAGAUUGUUUAUUCUCACAACACAACUCUCUGUUAUGUUAUUUGUCACAAACAUUAAAUUCUUCAUACGAUGAAUCCUUUAAUUGACAAUAGAUUAAGUUGAUAAUUAAAUAGUGGCCAAUUACCUAAUUAACAAACAUAAUCAUGAAAAUAAUUCAGAGAAUAAACAAAUACCCAAAAAGCAAUAAAACAAUUAAAGCACAAGAAAGAUCUCACAGUAGUGAUGAAUCAAAGCUUCAUUAUCCUUCAACCAGAAAAAUAGGUUUAGUUCUUCAUAGAGAGAAGAGAAAAAUUAGAUCUAGGGUUUUCUUUCUUUUUCUUCAAUCUAAAAAUCCUUUUUUUCAUAAUAGAUUCCUCCCUUAAAUACUCUCUCUCUCUUCUCUUUUAGAAUUCUAUUUAAAAUAAAAUACUAAUAUUUGAAAUAUUAAAUUCUUAAUUACAAAAAUAACCAAAAAUACAAAACACGUUAAACUAAAAACUGCAGGUCCGCAGUUGACAGCACGCGCCCACGCCUUAUCAACAAAGUUCUUCUGACGCUCAUAAUUUCUCUAAGAGAACAAUCAUCCUUAAACAUCAUCUUAUAGCUCAAUUUUAUCACCAAUCAAUAGAAUUGCACCUACAAAAGUAAAACACAAAUAAAUCACUAUUAUUAAGUGCAAAACAUCGAUAUUAAGGGAAGUAAACAAUGCAAAACUAGUGCAUAAAUUGCACUCUAACAAAUUCCCCCACACCAAGAUGAUGCUUGUCCUCAAGCAUAUAACUCAAGACUAAUCCCAAAUCUCCACUCAAUUCUCAUCUCAACUCAUCCAAAAACAAUUUUAAGCAAGCAUACCUCAAGAAAUUAAGUCGUUCAACAUUCGAGAGACAAGGAUUUUAAAGCACAGAAUCUCAUAAGCUAGAAUAAAAACAUUCAAUCACCAAGAAGAUCCAUUCAAAAUUCAAGUGUAACAAGAUUUAAUAACCCUCUCAUUAACUUCACUCCAUGCACUCAAAGUGUUUAGGGUGUCAUUUAUCCACUCAAAUCAAAUCAAAGAAUGCUAUUACCAUAAGCUUGCUCAUAUAUCACAUCUCAAUCCACAAAACAUGAAUAAAAUGCAAAAAUCUAAGGGUCUUAAAAGGGUUGUAAUGGGGUUAAAUUGGUUAAAUGAAAAAGAAAGGUUUACGAAAGAAAAAGAGAUCAAAACGAGAAGAAUAAACUCAUUGAAUGAACUUAUGAUAUCAAAAUGCUUAUUUCUACUCAAGUCACCAAGAAUGUAAACACAUUUUUUUUUGUUUUUUUUUUGUGAUUUUUCUUUUUCUUCUUUUCUUUUUUUCUUCUUUUUUUUUCUUUUUUUUUCUUUUUUUUUUGUUCUUUUUUGUUUGUUUUUGAAUCAAACAAAAGAAACGAACCUUGCACAAUUUAAUUCAAGCAUAAUGCUUGUUGAUCUAAUUGAGAAACUUUAAUACAAGGUAGAAAAAGCAACAAAAUAUAUCCACACAAUGAGUCCAAAAAUCUCCUUAAAUUGAGGCUCAAAAAGAAGAAAAAUGGUUAAGUAGACGGAGAGAAUUAGAUGGGUAAUGGUUAAGGCUCAAACAAAGAUAGCAAAUAAAGGUGUUCGGGUAGAGAAAAAGGAAAAUGCGAGAAUAGAAAAAUGGUAAAUGGUUUGCCCUUAUCAUUUUAAUGUAUAAAAUCCCGUAAUGUGGCUUCAACAUGCAUAAUAAAGCAAGUUCUAGAAUAAACAAACUAGGAUUGAUAUUCACAUAACAAAAAUAAUUAGAGCAAAGUGGUUGCUCAUAGGCUCAAAUCCUCACAAAGUUGGUAAAUUUGCCAUAAAAUCAUGUACACUCUUCAAAUGAAUCAACCAUCAAUAGUGGUGUAGAAUGAGAAGAAGGCAUGAAUGAGAUAUAAAAGGAAAGGUAAGAAUGAUAAUAAGCGAGAAAGAUGUAUGUAGUAAAAAAUGAAAGAUAAAAUGUGAGUGAUGAAGGAGUAUGAAAAAAAAAUAGAUAUAAAUAAUUUGAGAUAGAUGGGAAAAGAGUAGUGAGAGAGAAAGGAAAAGAAAAUUAAUAAUAUAUGAAGCAUACUAACUCCAAAAUCAUUUAAGGAUGAGUAGAGUGAAAAAAAAAAAUAAGUAGAGUGAAAACAAUAAUUAUAGACAUCAAUAAUGCAAAAAUCCCUCCCCCACACUAAGAACUUACAUUGUCCCCAAUGUAAGAUAAUCAAAACUCAUAUAAAAAUUAAAGCGUAAGGAUAAAAGAUUAAAGGCAAAAACUUUCCUGAAUUGUGAGCUUUGAUCCUCAUAACGUCUAUGGGCUUGGCGGGAAUGGUGGGAUAAAUCCUACACUCUUGAAGUAUGCGGCCAAAUUCUGCUCCAUCUUGUCACGGAUUUCGAUUCACGCGGCUGGAAUGUAGGUCGUAGGCUGGUUGCGGACUAUUGCUGCUCGACUGGAGCUUGUGGGUACACGGCUGCUGGUUCAGUUGCGCGCGGAUGGGACUGAUGCUGUGAACUGGUGACGCUGGAUCUGCGUGCUGCGACUGUUGCUGCGCGCUGGGGGAUUGCUGGUGCACGCGCUGGUGACGCUUGUUGCGUUGCGUGCUCGGCUGGAGCUUGCUGCGUGGCUGUGUUGCUGCGGGACUGUUGCACGCGAGAGCUGGUUCUGAGUUGCGUUGCGGGGCGUGCUCGUUGCUGGUGCUUGCGCUGCCCGCGACUGAUGCUGCAUUCUCCGGCUGGCUGGUUUCCUGCUGGCGUGCUGCAAACGGCUAGAGAAGAAAACAAUUUCUGGAAAAUUAGGGAUUUUGUGAACAGUAAAAAUUUUUUUUUCAACAAUGAUUUUUUUUUGAUUUUUUUAAAUAAAUAAAAAAUAAAUAUAUAAAAGAAAGAAAUAAAUAAAAUUAAUUAAAAUUAAUUAAUUUUUUUUUUUUAGUGAUGAAUCACUUUGAGACAUUAAAAAUUUCAGAAGUACUUUUCUAAUAAGCACGUGGGCACGCCUUAAAACUAUUUUACUUUAAAAAUUACAGAAGUACUUAUUAGUUAAGACGUGGGCACGCCUUAUCAAAAAUUUUCUUCUGACCAAAAUAAGCAAACACAUUAUUUAAAAAAAAUCUGAAUCAAAAUUAAAAGAAGAUAUAACAAAAACCAAAAUAAAUAAAUCACUUGGGUUGCCUCCCAAAAAGCGCCUUUGUUUUAUGUCUUUGGCUAGACACAUUUAUGCAUCAAUCUCCAUAAUUUGGACUCUCGAGAGCCACAUCCUCCACAAUAUUCACCGAAAAACCUUCAUAAAAAGGUUUUAAGCGAUGACCAUUAACCUUAAGAACUCUGUCAGAGGUCGGACUCCGAAUCUUAACUGCACCAUGAGGAAAAACAUUAGUAACAAUAAAAGGUCCAACCCAGCAAGAACGUAAUUUACCCGGAAAAAGUUUAAGCUUAGAAUGAAAAAGAAGAACUUUUUGACCAACAGAGAACUCCUUUCUCAAAAUCAUUCUAUCAUGAAAUGUCUUCGUCUUUUCCCUGUAAAAAAUUUCCUGCGCUAUAGGGUUAAUAACAUCCACAGAAAAUACCGAAUCUUCCUCACUAGGAUAUUUCAUGGCAUCAUUCAUAUUGAAUUCUAUAACCUCUCCAUCAAACUCCAUAGUGAGAGUCCCUUUAUGUAUAUCCAUUUUAGUCCUAGCAGUCUUAAGAAAAGGUCUUCCUAGCAAAAUUGGGACAGAAUUAGAGGAGUUAUCAUCUUCCAUAUCAAGUACAUAAAAAUCAGCAGGAAAAACCAACUCAUUAACUUGUACUAAGACAUCUUCUAAUACCCCAUCAGGAUAUGCAUUAGACCUAUCAGCUAGUUGAAUUAUCACACCAGUUUCUUUUAAUGGACCAAUAUUCAAAGAUGAAUAAAUGGAACGAGGCAUGACAUUAAUAGAAGCUCCUAGAUCUAACAAAGCCUUUUCAACUCUAACACUACCAAUUUUACAAGGGAUAGUAAACAUACCUGGAUCCUUGCACUUAGGAGGUAGUUUCUUUUGGAGAACUGCUGAAACAUUCUCCCCCAUGUGAACUUUUUCAUCUCCUUUUAAUUUUCUCUUGGAGGUGCACAGUUCCUUAAGGACUUUAGCAUAUCGAGGUAUUUUUUUUAUAGCAUCUAAUAAAGGAAUAUUUACCUCAACCUUGCGAAAUGUCUCAAGGAUGUCUUUCUCUUGUUCCUCCUUCUUGGAUUUUGCAAAUCGGCUUGGAAAAGGAGGAGGUAUCACAAUAGGUAGGGGUUUCGCUUUGGUGGGUUGUGCAUCUUGAGAUUGAGGCAUCAAUUCAUUCUUCUCAAGCUCAUCUUCUACAUGCUUUGUCACUUUCUUACUAGGCUCUUGCAACUCCGUCCCACUUCUAAGGAUGACAACACUAACGUUUUGCUUUGGAUUCACCUCAGAUUGUGAAGGCAAUCUCCCUAAUACUUGAGACUCCAGACGGCUCACUGUAGUCGCCAAUUGACUCAUUUGGUUCUCCAAGUUCUGAAUGCUUGCUGUAGUUGCCUGCUGAAAUUGUUGAGUGUUAAUCGCAAGUGAUUUAACAAUUUCUUCAAGAGAUAUACCUGACUUGGAGUUUGGCUGUGGAGGUGCUGGUUGUCUUUGUGGAUACUGUUGUGGGAAUCCUGACGGCCUAACUCCAUAGCUGAAGUUGGGAUGAUCCUUCCAUCCCGGAUUGUAUGUUUGUGCAUAAGGAUCAUACCUCCUCUGAGGCAUGCCUGGAAAUCCUCCAACUGUAUUGGCUUGUUCAAUGGGUUCUUCUUGAAGUGUAGGACACAUAUCAGUUGAAUGACCCAUAUUGUAACAUAUACCACAAGUCUUCACCUGCUGCACAUUACCUACAACAAACUUUUCCACAAGAGAAGUAAGUUUAUCUAAACGUUGUUCAACAGAAGAAAUAUUUACCUCAUUCACCUUCCUUGAAGUGAGCUCUUGCCUGCUGCUAAAUUGUUGUUCAUUGGCAGCCAUAUUUGAUAUCAACUCCCUUGCUUGAGUAGGGGUCUUGUUCACCAACACGCCUCCACUAGAAGCAUCUAUCAUACUCCUAUCCAUCAAUGACAGUCAUUCGUAAAAAUAUUGAAUAAGAAGUUGAUCAGAAAUUUGAUGCUGAGGACAGCUGGCACACAAUUGUUUGAAUCGCUCCCAAUACUCAUAUAAAGUCUCCCCAGGAAGUUGUCUGAUCCCACAAAUAUCUUUUCUGAUGUUGGCAGCUCUUGAAGCAGGAAAGUACUUCUCAAGGAACUGCUUCUUCAAACCAUUCCACGUUGUAAUCGAUCCAGGAGGCAAGUAAUACAACCAGUCUUUAGCUAGCCCAUCUACAGAGAACGGAAAAGCACGCAACUUAAUCUGCUCUUCAGUCACACCUUGUGGUCUCAUACUUGAACACACAACAUGAAACUCCUUAAGAUGUUUAUGAGGAUCUUCACCUGCAAAACCAUGAAACUUGGGUAAUAAAUGAAUAAGACCAGACUUUAAUUCAAAAUUUACCUCCAAGUCUACAUAUUGAAUGCAGAGUGGUUGUUGAUUCAAGUCUGGUUCAGCUAACUCUCUAAGAGUUCUUUCUACAGGUGCAGGUCUAUCCAUCACUUGUUCUUCUGAAUCGCUAGAUGAUUCAACUAAAUUAGGCACCGUAUCUGUUUCAGAAAGCAAAGGUGACGAGGAUCGUUGCUUAGCUCGCUUCGUCUGCUGUCUCAGCUGGCGAGCUGUCUUCUCAAUUUCAGGAUCAAACGAAAGUGUACCUGUACGAGAAGAACGAACCAUACACCAAGUAAAACGUAAAAAGGAUUAAAUAAAUGACACCAAUCCCCGGCAACGGCGCCAAAAUUUGAUGGGUGUCGAAGCCAACAAAAAUAAAUUCCUACUCUAAAUAAAUUGUGUAUAGUAAUUGAGCAGGGUCGUGUCCACAGAGAUCGGUAGUUAUUUAAAUCAUUUUAAAACGUAAAACAUAAAAUGGGGGUUUUGUUGACAAUAAUAAAAAUCAAAUUAAAAUAACAAGAAUGCAAAUUAAAGUUGUAAUUCAAAUUGGAGAAAGCUCUGGUUGAAGGAAUUAACUCAGCUUGAUUCGACUACUGAUCAUUGAUUCAAAUAUAGAUUAUUAUUACUCAUGAAUAGACCGGUUAUAGCUACCGAGACCCUCUAAUAGCCAAUCUCUCCUUAACUAGUCGAUAACCAAGGUACGACCGUUAGUUAUUUCCCUAAUCAAUAGACAACCCUAGAUACGAUCAUAGAAUUUAAUCAAUUGACAACCUGAAAAACCAGAGAGACCCAAAUCCUAAUCAACACAUAUGAUGAUUCAUUUAAAUUAGAUUGUUUAUUCUCACAACACAACUCUCUGUUAUGUUAUUUGUCACAAACAUUAAAUUCUUCAUACGAUGAAUCAUUUAAUUGACAAUAGAUUAAGUUGAUAAUUAAAUAGUGGCCAAUUACCUAAUUAACAAACAUAAUCAUGAAAAUAAUUCAGAGAAUAAACAAAUACCCAAAAAGCAAUAAAACAAUUAAAGCACAAGAAAGAUCUCACAAUAGUGAUGAAUCAAAGCUUCAUUAUCCUUCAACCAGAAAAAUAAGUUUAGUUCUUCAUAGAGAGAAGAGAAAAAUUAGAUCUAGGGUUUUCUUUCUUUUUCUUCAAUCCAAAAAUCCUUUUUUUCAUAAUAGAUUCCUCCCUUAAAUACUCUCUCUCUCUUCUCUUUUAGAAUUCUAUUUAAAAUAAAAUACUAAUAUCUGAAAUAUUAAAUUCGUAAUUACAAAAAUAACCAAAAAUACAAAACACGUUAAACUAAAAACUGCAGGUCCGCAGUUGACAGCACGCGCCCACGCCUUAUCAACAAAGUUCUUCUGACGCUCAUAAUUUCUCUAAGAGAACAAUCAUCCUUAAACAUCAUCUUAUAGCUCAAUUUUAUCACCAAUCAAUAGAAUUGCACCUACAAAAGUAAAACACAAAUAAAUCACUAUUAUUAAGUGCAAAACAUCGAUAUUAAGGGAAGUAAACAAUGCAAAACUAGUGCAUAAAUUGCACUCUAACAGUUACCUCCCUCAUUUAAAACAUGUAGGCAUGUGGUGAUAACAUCUUGCUGCACAAAACCCCAAUGUUUCUGGAAGAAAGCUGCUAGAAGCCCGUCUGGUCCUGGUGCUUUUGUGGGGCACAUUUGAGCUAAGGCAUCAGCUACAUCUUCUUUUAUAAACGGCUGGUCCAUGAAACUCCUCAUCUCCCUUGUAACCUUGGUUGGCAGGUUUGAUAAAGCUAUGCUUAUCUGGCCUGAUGAUGGGUUUGUUGUAGUGAAGAUAUUAGUGAAAUAUUCACAUACCAUCCGCUCUACAUCAUCAACUUCUUCAAGCCAUUUGCCAUUCUCAUCUUCCAGCCCACUUAUCCGGUUCUUUUUCCUUCUCGCAGAGGCUUUCGAAUGAAAAAAUUUUGUGUUCUUAUCCCCCUCCCUCAACCAAUCCGCCCUCGAUCUUUGCCUCCAAUAAACUUCCUUGUCAAUAAGGAUAUUAUCAAUUUGAUUUUCUACUUUUGUAAUCUCCUCUCCAUUAACAGCAUGAUUGUACCCGAUUUUAAUGUCCUUCAGCUUGUUUUGCAACUGCUCCAGCUUCUUUUCUCUCCCACUAAAUUCUUCAUUGCUCCAAUUCUUUAAUUCAACCAAUGACAUCUUUGAUUUUUUCUUGAAGAUUUCAAUUGGAUUGCUACCAUUCUCAUAACUCACCUCCCUUCAUUCUUGCCUCACUAUCUCUCUGCACUUCUCGUACGAGCUCCACAUAUCUUCGUAAUGGACUCUUGGGAAAGUUCUUUUCAUAAAACGUUUUCCUUUCCUCUUUUCUACCACCUCCAUCAAGAUUGGACUAUGAUCUGAGCUCCAAGAAAUUAAAUUCCGCCCAGCCUUUUCAAGAUUGGACUAUGAUCUGAGUUCCAAGAAAUUAAAUUCCGCCCAGCCUUUUCUUGGAAGCUGUUUCCCCAAUUGCUGUUGCACAAAAAUCUGUCGAGCUUUUCUUCUAUAAUGUGAGGGCCAAACCGUCUAUUGGACCAAGUAAACAGGUACCCAAUACUUCCUAAAUCCUUUAAAUCACAAUCCCUAAUAGCUUCUUUAAACUCAUUCACCAUAUUAACCCUCUUAUCUCUUCCUCAUAAUUUCUCAUUUAAGUUCAACACCUCAUUGAAAUCUCCGAAACAAAGCCACGGCAGCAAAGAUAAAGUAGCUAACCUUCUUAAUAGCUCCCAAGUAUGUCUCUUCUAAUCUGAUUCUAGAAGGCCAUACACUCCCGUACACCUCCAAUAAUUGCCAUUUUCGUUACAAACCAUUACAUCCACAUGAUGUUUACUAAAAGACUUUAUCUCUACUGUUGUCCCUGGAUUCUACAACAUUGCCAACCCACCUCCCAAUCCUUCACGGCUAACUGAAAAACAAUUCUGAAAUUUCAUCUUACUUGCUUUCUCUUGCAUUUACUUCGACGUCAUCUUUGUUUCGCAAAGAAAUAAAAGUUGAGGCCUAUGCUCCUGCAAGAUUUGCUGGGCUUCUCGGAACGUUCGGUCUUGCCCCAGCCCCCGAACGUUCCAGCUUAUUAGCUUUAUGGCUGUCGGCGGGGCUGUCUUCCAGCCUCCGCCGAUAUCUUAGGAGCAGCAUUCUGAACCCCCUUUGAAGCAUCCCCGACUUCAUUUUUGAAAACUAGCUGAGUAACUGUUGUAGUAACUUCCUGAUGCUGUGAUGAAUGUUCAACGCCCUGCCAGCUAUUUAUUUUGCAUUUUUUUGUUUCCGGGUUCCCCACUCCAUAACACUGCUGGGCCUUUUUAAGUUUAUGAUUGCUUCAUUUAUCCUUGCUUUAUCUUCCAUUUUUCGGACUUAUAACUUCCAUUUCUUUUUCCUGGGCUUCAUUUUGUCCAAGCAAUUCCCAUUGUCCACUUUCUCAGCUUCAGUUUCCACAUGGGCCGAGCCCACCAUUACCUUUUGUUUGCCUCCCCAUUUUUUCCCAUCCCCCAAGUCAUCAACUUCUUCCCUCUCAAAAGUUCCCGCGUUUGCCAUUCCAGGAAACUUUGCUUUUUCUGAUUUAAGGCUUGCCUCUCUCUGCUCUUUCCCCUUUCCCCUCAUUUCUACUUGCCCAUUCGUAUCCCGAGGUACUGUAUCCCCAGCAUCUAGGCUGAAUUGCAUGCCUCAUUAAUGCUCAAUGUCUCUAAACUUUUCAAAAAAGAAGUGUCAUAUUUAAUUUGUAGACUUCAUUCAUACAUUUGAUGACAACACUAUUUCCUCUCUCUAGGUGAAGAAAGCAUCAGAACGACUCAAUAAGUGGCUCUUGAAGCCUUCUGAAGAAGAAUCCAACGGCAAUUAAACUCAACAAGUUAAGGUCCAAUAUUGCUUGAUGAUCCUAAUAAUCUCAAUCAUGCAUGUAUUUUCUCUGCCAAUAAACCGAUUACCGUUAACACCAAUAACAACUUCAGAUAAAAAUUUCUUUCUUUUUGUCUGUUGGCAAGAAGAGCCUGAUAAUGAGUCUGUGCAAAUGCAAUCUAAUAUUCUGAGGUUAAUUAAUUCAAGAAGUUGCAUCUUCAUAAGAAGUACAUUUAAUGUUGUGUUUAUUUGCUGGAGUGGGAGGAGAAGUGUGGAUUCCUUCCACUCCACUAUUUACUUGUUUAUUUAAGAAGGGGAGUAGGAGUUCCACUCCGUGGAUUCUACUCAUUUUUUGAGUGUGCAGUGAGAUUCCUACUCCCACUUCUUUUUUUUAGCAUUUCUUUAUUAAAUAUAAUAUAAUUAUAUUUAUUAAAAUAAAGUAAUGUCACAGUUACUUAAAAAUAUUAAUAUUAAAUUUAUUUGAAUAUAAUAUUAUUAUAUUUAGUGAAAAAUAAUAAUUUAUUUAAUCUAAGUUAAAUUAUUUUUAAAUAUUAUUAUUAUAUUCGUGGAGAACUAAUAAUAUUACUUUUCAUUUAUUUAAUUUUAAUAGUAUUAUAUUUAUUUAAUGUUAAUAAUUAAUAGUAAUAAAUAGUUAUUCUAAGAAAAUAUUAAUUUUGUACUAUAUUAUUAAUAAUAAUGUUUCAUGUAUUGCUCUUAUCAGGAAUUUGUAACUUACAUAAUUAAAAUUAAAAUUAAUAAAAAAAUUGUGAUUUAAAUAAUUAAGAAUAUUAUAAUAAUUAUCAAUUUACAUAAAUAAAAUUAAUAAUAAAAUAAACAGUUUAUUUUACAAGUAUUUUUUUAUUCACUUUGUAAUUACAAACCAACUCUUUAAAUAUGAGUAAAACUGUAAUUUGAAACAAUUUACUCACAACCCAAGACAAAAUAAAUACAUAAUGAGAUUCUAAUUCAUAUUCCACACUCUCAUUUUAGUAUAAGUAAACAACAAUAUUGCUCCCUGGGUUUAUCGUCUCAAGUUCAAUCUUCAAAUUUCUUGGCCAAGGCAAAGACAUAGCAAAUAGUAAGGGCAGGACAUUUCUUGCCCAUGGUUCAUUGCCGUUAUUUGUUUUUGGCACUUUCACUUGACCAUAAAAAGGCACCUACGCUCACAGCUUAAAAACUCAAAUUAUUUGUAUGUCACUGGUGGUUGAUGCCCUAAUACUUGGAGAGGAUUCAAUUUAAAUCCUUUUGCUGAGUUAUUUCCUCUAAUUAAACUCUCGACAUCUUCGAGCGUAUGAUAUGGUACAUAAGUGCAACCGAGCAUUCUUAAUAAACACUAAUUACUCAUUAAAUUUAUGGAAAAAUGCCAGAGUUGAGAUAUUUGCCAUCUCCAUAUGAUAAGUCUAUGUUGGUUCUAUUUUCUUUUUUUCUUUUUUACCCUAAAAUUGGAUUUUCAAUGCGCUGCAAGCUACAUUACAGAAUGAUGUACUACAUAACUGUCUAAUGUUUUUCGCUUCGCUUUUAUUAUUUCGGUCCCUAUAAUUUUUUCUUUCUUUCUUUCGAAUUACCCAUUAUGUCUCUUAAAGUUAAAUUUUGAUAUUUAAAUUUACUGUAAAAAAAUAAAUUAUAAUUUUAACAGGUAAAAUCUGUCACAUCUUUUGACAAACACAUUAGAUUAGACUAUCAAAAGUAUAUAUGAUAAUAAUAAAAAUAAGAAAAAUGUGUUUUUUUUUUCUAUGGUUAUUUACUUGUUUUAAGACUAUGGAUAUAAUGGGUUAUUGAAAAAUACUUACAUACAUAAGUAUAAUUUAGUGGUCAUUAGCGUUUACCAUAUAGUAAGCACCUGAAAAUGUAGCAGGACUUUGGGACAUCCUGUAAAAAGUAUUUAAAUUAUGAAUUAAUCAGACAAUGUCACCUAACACUGUCGCUCAUCAUUAGGUAAUUACUGCCUCCCAUUAUAUCAUUACUUCUCCAUAUAUAUUAAGAGUGUCAUAGGCAUAUACUAAUGAAAUCAAAUGUACUAUUUUGUAGCCUUAACAUCAUAGCUUGGGAGUUCAUGUUAGAUAUGCUUUGGCCUCGUAGCCUCAAUUGGGUAUGAAAGAUUUUGAAACAUUGAGUUUCUAAUGGCGUAUAUGCUUGGCAAACUCAAAUACUGAUGCUUUAUUGCAUACGCGCGAGCGCACACACACAAAACGUAUGUAUUUAUGUCCAGAGUUCGGGUUUGAAAUGAAUUGGGGAGAGGAAAUGCUAAAGCUGCAAAAUUUCCAUCAAAGUUGCCUUAAUUGCUUCCAUGUGUAGCAGAGUUUUCUAUUCGAUAAUUAAUAGGGUCCGCUUGUAAUACAGCGUUUGUAUCUCAUACAGCUGAAUUCAAUAUUUUAUUAAAAAAAAUGACAACCGUUAGAUAGAAGUAAAUACAUCCAAUGGUUAAUAUGUGUGAUAACUCAUUUUGGCGACCGAAUGUGGCAGUUAUUAUUUCAUCAAUUAACUUAACUAAAAAAUCACAGCCGUUGGAUUGUCUCUCUCUCCAUCAUAAUAAAAGCCUUUGCAUUCUCCCUCCUAUUGUUUUCUCCCACAUCCAGAAUUUUGGAUGAUAAGAACUUGUUAUUCAAGAGUAUUCACCACCCAUCACAGCAAAGAGCAAAGAUGUAGCCGAAGGAGUGCCGUUUAUUCAAGCUUACUCGAUCUGUCACUCUCACUUCAAUUCGUCGCUCAACUUCUCGAGGGCAUCUUCAGUUCGUCACUCACAGCUUCAAAUUUUCACUCUCGUCAAUCACCUCUCUUGCUGUACCUCUCUCUUAUGUCUCCCAACAAUUUCGGUGAGCUCUCUCUCUAAUUUAAUAUAUGAUAAAAAAUCUUAUCAUGUCAUUUAAAUAUGCUUGAAGUUUCAGUUUAGUUUAUUAUUAUUACUUGAAAUUUUGAGAUGAUUUCCAGGGAUUGAUAAUUGAAAGAUAAUUGGUAGGGCUUUUGUUUUUUUUGUUUUUUUAUCUUGAGAUUAUGUUUUUCACAAAAAGGAAAAAAAAAAUAGAGGUUGCACUAUCUAGCAUCAAGCAACUGCAAGUAAUGGGGUUUGUUUUGAUGAGCUACGAAUUGGGGCUUCUCAUUUUCUUGAAUUAUCUUCAAUAUAAGUGGAAAGGGAUUUCUUCUCUCCAAAAAAUUAUUGUAUAUUUCCUUUUAAAUUCUAGAUUGACAUGUAGCCGAUUUUUGAUGUUUGAAGGAUUUUAUUAAAGAAUGUGCUGCUGCCAGUGGCAUGAAUUAAUGUAGUCUCGCUAGUAUUCCUGAUUUGGGGUAAUGAUGUAAUUGAACAAUCAUAUUUCUAUUAUUCUUAUAUUUGAAUCCAGUGAUAUUGUGGUGGUUUUAUGAUAAUAUUCUAUCGUUUUGUGCCGCAAAUCAGCCAAUGAGUUGGGUAUGUGCUGGGUAUACGCUGUAUGGGGUUGUUGUUGAAUUUACUAGACCUUGGAUGUGAUUCUUGCCGUGUUUAUAAGAAAUAGACAAAUGUCUUUCUAUGGUAAUAGAAUUGUCUAAGUUGCGUUACGAUAAAUGUUAAGUAACUAUGCUUUGUAACCUUAAACCUUUAUUUGUAAGACUUGGUGUACUUGAUUGUGAAAGAAUGUUAAAUGUUGACUUAUUUUCAUUGGUGAAGAUAAGUGAAGUUAGGAAAGGUUUGUAAUCACUAUAACCGUAACAAUUUCUUGGGUAGACUUGUAAUAAUUUUAUUCAUGGCAUGUAAUUUGUUUUUAUCAGAGGGCAUGUUUGCUUGUAGUCUCAAAUCUAGGGUAAUAUUUAAAAUAAGUUCUGCAAUAUAUGCUUUGCUAUUUUUUAUUUUUUGUUUUUAUUUUAAUUGGUUUUAGUAUUACUUGGAGGGGAAUUCUGAUCUGCUGAAGUUUAUGAAGCUGAUGCAGCAAGCAGGCCUUUAUCUUAAUCUUACAAUUGGCCCUCACGAUUGUGGUAAGUGGAAUUUUGUGUAAGUUACAACAAUAUAAUUUUUUGAAAAGAGCCGACAAGACACUCUAUUUUCUUCUGUUUUUUUGGAAUGUUGAGCAAAACUUUUCUUUAUUCUCAGGGGCCCUGUUUUGCUGAAGUAUAUUCCAGGUAUCAAUCCCUCUGAUAUACCAUCCCUUUAUUAGGUGUUUAUAAUAAUUCAUGGGUUUUGUCAUAUUGGUUUCAAUGCAUUGGUUUUGAUAUUGGUUACAGCCCAUCAGCCCCUACUCCUCUUUCCCAGCAGCCUUCAAUGCUUUUUUUUUAUAAUUUUUUUUAAGCAUUGUACUUUGAUUCACUGUGAAAUUUGUUUGUAUGAUGCUAAGUUGAGGACACGAUAAUAGUCAUGAUUUUAUUGUAUGCAGCAAAGAUAAAUGUCCAUAAAAUUUUAUUUUGUUGAAAUAAUAAGAUUUUGCUAAUUUUGUAGUAAGAAAUGAGGGCUAUUGAUCCCUUCCGUUUAUUAUAUUCAAUUUUUUUUUCACUCUUUCAUUCAUUUAUUGUGAAGUGUGUUUAGGUAUUAGUCAUGGGCAAAGGUAAAGAUCUUUACUUUGGUAUUUUUGUCUUCUUGUGCUUCAUUGGUAUAAAUGAGGAAAAAAAGCCAAAAAUAAAAUAAAACUAUAAUAUUUGCAUGAAUUCCAUCAUCUAUGGUAUGUUGAAUAGAUUAAAAAGCAAGGAGUACAGUGAUGGAAUAGCAGGCGGGGGAACUAUUUUUUUUAAAAAAAAUAUAAUACAUAUUGAUGGAAUAAUUAUCCUUCCCUUAAUUAUCUAAAUUUUUUCUUUUGGAAGAAUACAAAUGGACAGUCAGCAACGAAAGCGUAAACGACAACCAGGGGGCUUACAGAAAAAAGGUGCUCCUAUUCUAAGAGCAAAUGGUCAGGACGCAGUUCCAACGUCUUCAACUUAUGGAUUUGUCUUACUUGUAAGUAGUCAUUGUGACUUACCUAUCGGUAAAUAAACACGCCGAUACCAGAUAACACUAAUUAGAUGUUAUGGUUUUGCAGCAUUGAAGAAGUUAAGCGGUUGAGAAGUGAAAAUUCAGAUUUGUCCGUUACGCUUGGGGUUAGUAUAUUCAUUAAAUGUAGCAUGUACAUCUAUUAUUUUGUAGGUUUUUUAUGUUUUAAAACAUAUGCAUUACCUUUUUUACAGUUACGAAAACAUAUUGGGAAAACCUACAAAGAACUUCCUCCCGAACAAAAGGCAAGGUACAAAAAGAGAGAUGAAAGGAUGGGUAAUUCGGGUAAUUCAAACUCACAUUCUGGUGACAAUGAAAUAGUGGAAACUAAGUGUGUACCUGAGCGGUUUUGUGCGCUGGUUAAGAGUUUAUCAGAAGAGAAGAAAAAAGCAAUAAGAGAAAUAGGAUUUGAAAGCCUGCUUGAACUCAGAUGUGGCAAGCUGAAGAGGAAGUUACGCCAUUGGUUAGUUAAUCAGUUUAAACCUGAAAGGAAUAUAAUUGAACUUCAUGGUCAGAAAUUAGAACUUUGUCCCAAAAUGUUUUCGAAAAUCAUGGGCGUAAAAGAUGGAGGUAUGGCCAUUAAGAUUAAUGGUACAAGUGAUCAUAUUGCUGAAGUGCGACGUAUUUUCCAACCAACAGUUAAAGGGAUUCGCAUCCGCACGCUCGAGGAACUAAUAGAGCAAUUAGAUGAAGCCAACAAGAUUUUCAAGGUUUGUGGAUAACUCAAUUACAGCACUUGUAAUUGCUUACAAUUGAUUGUGUUUUAAAUUAUGAAUCUUUGUGCAUAACCCCCGUUUAAUCUAUAGUAUUUGUAAUUGUAGUUGUAUGAAACACUUGAACUUAUUUUUAAAAAUGUGCACACUUAAGCUAUUUAUGUAGCUUAUUAAUGCUUGCAACCGUUCACGAUGUUGAUAUUCUUACAUAAAGUUUUUUGCAGGUUGCAUUUACCUUAUUUGCUAUAGCGACAUUGUUAUGUCCAAUAGGCAGUUAUAUUUCAACUUUGUUUCUUCAUCCCAUCAUGUUGUUCAUGCAGAUCUUUUAUCUCCAUAAUGUUGCAUAUGACAACAUUCAGCCCAAUAGGAAUAUACUUCCCAUCACAUUCUGGAACGAAUCAAGGAUCAAGAAGUUCAUGAAGUGGCUUAGAUCCAAAGGAGGGAUUGGAAGCGAUAAGGUAAUCUCUUCUUGUAGGGUGCUUAGUUGAAUUGAAAACAGAAUUAGUUGCAUCAUGCAGUAUAGGCAUAAAUUCAUUAUCUAUGUCAAUUCAUUCAUAAUUUGACUCCAAAUGGAGUAAUAGAUCACCAUUAAUUUUUGGUAAUCGAUUCACUUUUUUAAAUUUUCAAAUCUGUCGUCAAGCUGGUCUACCACAACAGCCAAAUGGUUUUGAUUGCGGCUACUAUGUGAUGAAGUAUAUGGAUAGUCCUUGUAUUGUUGUCCAUGACUCUUAUCAGGUUUGUACAGUUGUAUCUUAUUGGUGUAUAAUAUCUUUUCUGUAUUAGAUUAACAAAUAAGGAUUUAUAUCAGCAGGAUGAGGAUCGACUUUUUAAAAAAGGUUUUUUUUUUUUAACUUUUUCAGCAUGACUCGGAUCACACUCGCCUUCUUCUAGCUCUUUAUUUGGUGCAAUCUCCGCUUAACAAGAUUAGGUGUCGACUUAUUCAAGAAGCGCGCAAGUUAUAGGUUGACUGUGCAGUCUUUUUUUUUUUUUGUUUGCCGAACCAUUUUGUAGCAUUGUAGCAACGUUAGGGUAAAAGGUUGGCAAAUUUUUUGUGAUGCCACCCCAUUUGUUGGUAUUUUGUAUAGCAACUACUGUUGUUGUAGAAUCCGCGAGUUCACUAACCUGGGUUAGCUGAUGGGUGGCCCUCUUAUUUUUUGGCUGAGGGUGCUUAUUUUACAAACAUGUGUGUUCCGGCAAGAUUACAAUUACUGCGCAGGCGUACAGCAACUGUGAUGGCCCUAUUAUUUUUUGUAUGUGUGAGGGUGUUUAUUGAGUAAGAAAUUGUACAUGUAAUGGUUAAUCAAUUGAUGUGUACGCUUCUGUACAAGUUUUCUGUUUUUCUUGAUUUCAGUUUUUUCUUUUUGCUUGAUUUCAGUUUUUUCUUUUUUAAGUGCAAGAUUAAAUGGUGGACGGUUUGGAAUUGUUGUUUGGCUGUUGGGAAAUGAGAAAGGACAAUGAAAAACUAAACUCGACACCAAUUGGUUAUGUGGAAUAAAAUGAGUAUUACGUGUUUGUCCAACUAAAGGCCCCUUCGGUUUCUGAUCUUGAAAACCUUGUUCAAGAAUUUGAAAACAAGAUGGGAGAACAAUAUGUUCUUGUUAAACAAAUAAGCCUUUGGAUAGAUAGAUUUAAAGCACAUGUCAAAUAGUUUACCAUUUUUUAAAUGCUCGUUUUCUACACACCAAAGACUACAAUGUAUGUUUUUCGAAACUUAAGAAUUCUUCUCAAUUUUACGUUAAAUUAGCAUAAUUUUUCAUAAAUAAAUAUAACUAAAAAUAUUUUUCGUUCUGUUCAUUUGACCAAAAAUGCCUCAUUUGAUGCCUGGAGGGGUUGGAGACAACAGUGAAAUGGCUUAAAAUUUUUAGUUUUUUACUGGUUUUUAUAUUAAAUAGUUUGAAUAGAAAAUAUUGUUUAACAAUUUAAGUGUUGGUUCUUUCCUUCUCUUAAAAUUGUUGGCCUAAAUGGUUUUGAUGAUAACAAUUACAUGAAAAAACGAUAAUUUAGUAUAUUUAUAAUCUCAUAUUUAUUUAAAGGUAAACUUUCUACCCUAACUAAAAUCAAGCUCAAGGCAUAAAUGAUCAAUGAGAGCUAUAAAAAGGGUACGGCGAGUUAUAAAGAGGGUACCAACUCGAAUAAUUCACUUUUCCAUAUUCCUAAUGCUAAUACACUUUACUGUGUCCACGACUUUGUAUCUUAAAAGCUCAAGGCUUCCUUUCAUAAUCUCUAUAACAAAUUAUCAAUUUUCAUUGUAAAAGUUGUAUAUUUUACAAGGCAAAUUAUUUAAUCAAAAGGAGUAUUUGAAAAUUUACGGACCACAUCAACAAGAUUUCAGUUUUUUAGCUCCUUACGUGUUAUUUUUAAACGCUCAAAAAGGACCUAUACGAAAAUAAUUGAAUAUACUCGUUCAAAGUAUAAUUACAGAAAUUAGUGCUCAUGGGCACAAAGUUUGCAGCUUACCUCUUCCUGUGAAGCGGCUAACCGCUUGAAUUCACUUGCAUGCCAGAAACAUAGCAGCAACCCGCCUUCCAUACGCAGCUAGCCGCAUGUACAUCACUUUUUGUAACCCAUUCCAGAAACAUAGCGGCUACCCGCCUUCAUUUCGCGGCUAGCCGCAUGUGCUACGCUUUUGAUAACCCAUUCCCAAACAUAGCGGCUACCCUCCUUCCACUGUCUUCCUCUUCAAUUUUUUAGCGGCCUCUCUCCCCUCUCACUCUCGCUGAAAAUUGUGCACUGCUUACACAUUUUGUCUCCAAAUUCACUCUCCGAAACCAUUUUCCAUCCAUUUUACCUCAAUUAUCAACUCCCAAACUCUCAUUGCAUAUACACGCACGACUGCCUUGUGGGAGAAAAUGGAACGAAAGCUUCGAAUUAAUCCAACGAAGAAUUCAAAUUACUUGGAAUCUCAAUACAAAUAUUGGUACAUGUAGGCAUUUAGUAGGAAUAUUGAAUGCAAAAUCAGUGGACCAAUAAGUUGAAACAAGCAAACCAAAAACUGAGACAACUGAACUGAACCAAGAAAAUAUUUUAGAUAUUUAACCUACAUCAUUCAAUUUUAAUCCAAUUACUAGGAACACGGAACGCAAAACAUUUGCAACUGCAAUUGAAAAUACAUCAACCGAAAAAUGGAGAAACCACAACCGAAAAUAGUGAUCCACUUAACCAAAAAAAAAUUCUAAAAAACCUAGUAUGUAACCUUAUUAACUGGAAAUUUGACGACCGAAUAUGAAUAAUUAACGUAAAACUAGAGAAAACGCUAGUUCAAACACAUUUACCAUUAAAAAACCUGAUAUGUAACCUUAUUAAUUGGUAAUUUGAAAAUGGAAUAGGAAUAAUUAACGUAAAACUAGAGAAAACGUUACUUGAAACGCAUUAACCAUUAAUAGAGAAAUUAGAACGAAAACUUGGAACAGAUCCAAGGAAAAAUUCAAAUUACUUGGAAUAUGACAUUAUAUAUUGGUACUCGACGAACUUAGUAGGAAUACCAAAUGCAAAAUUUCUGAAUUAAUAAGUUGAAACUAUGAACCAAAAAAUGAAACAUAUUAACCAAAAUCCGAGACAAUCAAACCAAGAUAUAGGUUAAUGAUAUUUAACGCACGUAGUUGAAAUUUUACUGAAUUAACUGAAAUCAAGAACGCAAAGCCCGUGUAACUAUAAUUGAAAUACAGCAACCAAAAAUGGAGAAAGACCAACCAAAAUUGGUUACCAACGUAACCAAAAUAAAUUCCUACAAACCUCUAACCUACUACUUAACCUUCAGAACUAGAAUUUAAACGUAUUAGUUGGAAUAUUUAACGUAAAACAUAGGAGAAAACUUUAGCUGAAACACACUAACCAUUAAAAGAGAAAGUAGAACGUGAACUUGGAACGAUCCAACGAAAAAUUCAAAAUGACUUGGAAUAUCACAACAGAUUUUGGUACCUGACGAACUUACUACGAAUAUUAAACACAAAAUAAUUGAACCAAUAAGUUGAAACAUGUUAACAAAAAUGUGAGAAUUAUUUACCCCAAACCGAGACAAAUCAAACCAAGAAAAAUGUUAAUAAUAUUUAACCCAUGCAAUUGAAAUUUCGGCAAAUUAACUGAAAUCCAGAAUGUAAAACCUAUGAAAUUUUAAUUGAAAUACGACAACCACAAUUGGAGAAAGAGAAACCAAAAUUGGUGAUCCACAUAACCAAAAUAAAUUUCUAAAAACCAAACCUGGUACCAAACCUUAAUAACUGGAAUCUCAACGAGUUAAUUGGAAUAUUUAACGUAAAAUUUGAGAUAAUAUUAGUUGAAAUAUAUGAACGAUUGAGGGAGAAAGUAGAACGCAAAGUUGGAACAUAUCCAACAAAAAAUUCAAAUGACUUGGAAUCUAACAACAAAUAUUGGUACUUGAUGAAUUUACCAGAAAUAGCGAACGCAAAAUUAGUGAACCGAUAAGUUGAAACAUGUUAACCAAAAAGUGAAAAUUAUGAACCAAAACCGACACAAAUCUCACCAAGAAAAUUGUUAAUGAUAUUUAACCAAAAUAUUUAUAAAUUUGCCGAAUUAACUGGAAUAAGGAACGCAAACCCUGUGAAACAAUAAUUGAAAUAUAGCAACCAAAAAUGGAGAAAGACUAACCAAAAUUGGUUACCAACGUAACCACAAUAAAUAUCUACAAACCAAACCUGGUACUUAACCUUGGGAACUGGAAUUUAAACGCGUUAAUUAGAAUAUUUAACGUAAAACAGGAGAAAACGUUAGCUGAAACCCACUAACCAUUAAAAGAGAAAGUUGAACGCGAACUUAGAACAAAAAAUUCAAAAUGACUUGAAAUAUCACAACAGAUGUUGGCACCCGACGAAGUUACUAGGAAUAUUAAACGCAAAAUAAGUGAAUCAAUAAGUUGCAACAUGUUAACAAAAAUGUGAGAAUUAUUUACCUCAAACCGAGACAAAUCAAACCAAGAAAAAUGUUAAUGAUAUUUAACCCAUGCAAUUGAAAUUUUGGCAAAUUAACUGAAAUCCAGAACGUAAAACCUGUGAAAUUUUAAUUGAAAUACGGCAACCACCAUUGGAGAAAGAGCAACCAAAAUUGGUGAUCCACAUAACCAAAAUAAAUUUCUAGAAACCAAACCUGGUACCAAACCUUAAUAACUGAAAUCUCAACUAUUUAAUUGGAAUAUUUAACGUAAAACUUGAGAUAAUUUAGUUGAAAUAUAUGAACUAUUAAGAGAGAAAGUAGAACGAAAACUUGGAACAGUUCCAACGAAAAAUUCAAAUGACUUAGAAUCUAACAACAAAAAUUGGUACUUGAUGAAUUUAGCGGAAAUAACGAACGCAAAAGUAAGGGACCAAUAAGUUGAAAAAUAUGAAGCUAUUAAUGGAGAAUCAUUACCAAAACUUGGAACUGAUCAAACAAAAAAAUUAAUAUCGUUAUCUAACCUAUAAAAUUGGAAGCUUCACAAAUUAGUUGAAAUGUUAGACGUACAACUAGUGAAAUAAUAGUUGAAAUAUUAAAACCAAAUGUGGAGAAAGUUUUACCCAUUUUUGAAAUUAAUCUAAUAAGAAAUGAUUUUAUUUCGAAUUUAACCCAAAAUAUGCGUAUUGUACGACUUUAGUGAGAAUACUCAACGUAAAACUAGUGGAUCAAAAAGUGGAGAUAAGCAAACCAAUUUGUGAGAAAGUGUAAUCAAAAUUAGGUACGUGUUAAAUUAACUUGGAAUGUCACCAAAUAUAUUGAUAUUUAACCAAAAAAAUCGAGACAUACUUAUUUUAAUUGUUUUAACUUUUAUUCAAGCAAAAUAUAAUUUUUUUUCCCCUUAAAUAUUGUUUGUGUUCAAUAUUUACUAAAUUUCCUUGACUUUUUCCAUUUUAUUUUAUUUUUUCCGCAUUAAAAACUUUGUUUUUUAAAUUAUUAAAUAAACAACCGGUAAAAUACCGGUUGUUCAAGUUUUCUCAUUACUGUUGAGGCGGCUGUAUCACAAACAGCACUGUAUUAUAGGAAGACUCUCGAUAAUAAUGUGCUUAACGUUCCAUCAGAAAAAUUGUUUAUUUAUUUACAACCGAUGAAGUAUCGGAAUCUGUUGCAAGAUCACUCUCUGUCCCCUUAGCUUUCUCAAUGUUACUUAGCGGUGUCCAGCCUGUACUCUCACGUAAGUUGAUAAUGUAUGAUAUAUAACAUAUUUUUCAUAAUGAUUAUUUCGACAAGAAUAGUGAAAGUAUUGUCGAUUUAUUACAAAUAAGUCACCUUAUUUUUUAUUAUUUACAAAUUAACACUUAAGAGUUGAUGAAGACACAUCUCCCAACAAUAAUAGCAAACGGAGCCUUAGGUGGCGUUUGUUUUUUAACUUAAUAACUUAAAGUGACUUAACUUAAUUAAUUAAGUUAAUUAGAUGUGUUUGUUUUUAUAACUUAAUGAGACUUAUUAAAUAAUUUUGACUUAAUAAAAUAAGCUAAUUUUUUUGGCUUUUUACUUAAUGGAGAAAUCUAAAUUAAGUCAAUUACUUACUAAUGUCAAAAAUAUCUCUACUUUAUAAUUUAUUUUUCAUGUCUAUCCCAAAACUCACCCAUAGACAUUUACCCCACAUAAAAAUAUCCAUGUUUUUUCUUUCUUAUAUUAUAUACGAUAAAAUUUGAAAUUUAUGGUAUUUUAUAUAUUAAAAUUCUAAAAUAAUUAUGUAUUCACUUGAAUAUAGUUUUACUUAUAAAUGUUAAAAUAUUGUGGUAUUUAAUAUAUUAUUUAUUUGACAUUUAAAUUUAAUAAGGAUACAAAUGUAAAAGUAUAUAUUUUCAGCUUUUUAAGUUGAAAAAAACAAAUAAUUUAAUACUUAUUUUUCGAGAUUCAGACGAAAAAACAAACAUAUUAUUCAGAUUCAAAUAUUCAGAUCUAUUCAGAAUUCAUAUUAAUUCAGGUCUAUUCAGAUUAAAAAAAUAAUAAUAAUAAACGUCACCUUAGUCUAUUGUAUCAUGCAUAUAUUGAAUUAAUUUGCCAAUGUAUUUAGUAGGGGCUGCUAUUGGUGCCGGUUGGCAAAGUAUAGUAGAAUAUAUUAACAUUUGCUGCUAUUAUGUGAUUGGUACCUGUAGGAGUUUUUCAUGUACGUGGCCAAUGUCAAAGUUAAGGUAUCAAUUCAUCUUUGUAUUUCUUACUUUUCAUCUUUUUCCCUCUUGAUAAAGAACUUCAUAGAUUUAAAUUUAGCAUCUUUUACGGUGGAUAUGUAAUUUGAUAUUUAUGGUUAAUAUAGCUCUUAUGUUUUUUUUAAUUAUUUUUUUAUGGGUAAAUGCUUUUUUAGUCGCGACUGUUUGAGCUAAUUAAAUUUUACUUAUUGCCUGUUAGGUUUGUUUGAAUUUUUAAGUUAUAUCAAAAUGAAAUAUUAUUUUAUCAGACCCUUUUGAGAUUACUUUAGAGAGACUUAAAAAUAAUUUUGAAAAGAUAGAAACUAAUUUUGGUGUUUGAUAAUUUUUUUUAAACUACUUUUGAAAAACUUACUUUACCCCAUAGCAGAGUUUGAAAAGUAGGGAAGAGUAACUUUUUAAAAUUUAAUUUUGAAAAUGAGUUUUAUAUUUAAUGUGAUUCCAUAUAUAUCCUCACAUAUAUAAAAAUCGAAAACUAUCUUUAUUCAAUUGCGAAAUAAAAUCAUUAAAUUUAAAGAGAUUAUUAUUAUUAUUAUUAUCAAUUAUAUUGAAUAACAAAAUAAAAAAAUAAUUAAUACAAAAAAAUAUUUAUUUUUGUUAUUAAUUAUUAUAUAUACAAAAUAAAUAUAUAUAUAUACAUGACAAUAAAUUUAUAAAAAAAAAUUAUUGAACAUAAUAUCUAUUUGAGUCAUUUGCAUGUAUUUUUAUAGCAGUUUAAUUGUAAGAUUCAUCGAACAUAUAUGAUUGGUUUAAAAACUCAUAACACCUUUAAAAAUAAAUUUUGCCAAGUAUUAAAAUGAUGAUCUAUACAACUGAUUAUUUUUACAGCACAACUAGCAUUAAUUAUUUUAAAAGGUACACUUAUUACUAAACUAGCCCUAAAUCCAACAAUUAUGAAAGUAAUGAUAGAGAAUUUUGGAUAAAUUUUAAAAAUACAGGAAUUAACUAGGUAAUUAACCCAAUCCAAAAAGACUAAACAAACUUUUACCCUAUUUUGAUCAUGUUGCCUUACUUUGGAGUACAUGGCACGGCUUGUUGUAGUUCAUUUUUCAAAAACUAGAUGAAUAUCUUCAUUCAAUUAAUUUGCACAUGGUAUAUGGAUUGGAAUGCUGCUUGGAGUAGUAAACCAAUCAUCGUGCUUGGCUAUGUUCCAAGAAAACCGACUGGGACAAUGAGGUAAAUAUUUAAAUUAAAUGAAGUUUCAUUCUAUGAUACAUUAAUACUGUAAUUAAACAUGAAUUGUCCAAAUGAUACAUAAGAUAUAUAAAUUCAACAGAAAAAUUAUAAAUCAAAAUAAGUAUAAAAUAAAACAUAAAUUAUGUAAAUGUAAUAUAAGACUUAUAAAUGAAAGGUAAAACAAGUAAAUUAAUAUAAGAAUGGUAAAUUGGUGUUCUACUAGUAAACAAAAUAAAAACUUACAAAUGAAACAUAAAAUUUGUAAAUCAACGUUAAGUGUAAAAUAGAACAUAAAUUGUCUAAAUAAAACAUAAGAUUUCUAAAUAAAAGGUAAAACAAGUAAAUCAACAUGAAAAUGAUAAAUUAAUGUAUCAAUAGUAAACAAAAGAAACUUACAAAUAUAACAUAAAACUUAAAAAUUAAUAAUAAGUGUAAAAUAAAACAUAAGACUUAUAAAUGAAAAGUAAAAUAAGUAAACUGAUAUAGGAAUGGCAAAUUGGUGUAUUAUUGGUAAACAAAAUAAAAAAUUACAAGUCUAUUAGAUCUAAUUUUAUUGAUAUAUCGUAUAUGUCUAAUAAGAAUUCUUUUUAUUUUGUUUUGCCUUGAUCCACAUCAAGAAAAAUGAUUUUACAUAAUUAACCUAUAUAGUAAACAAAUACUUUAUAUGAUAGAAAAUUGAAAAAAAAGUUUAUAAAGUCACGAAUAUAGAAUUGAAUUCCAAUUGCUUUCGAUACAGUUUUUUUUUUCAAUUGAUAGGUGAUUUUUUUUUAUUUGCCUAAGUACACUAAAUGAAUAAAUUACUGUUUUUGGAGAUAAAAUAAAAAUAGUAGGACAACAAAAAAAAAUGAACUACUGACAACAAAAAAUAAAUUACUGUUUUUUUUUUCAAUUGACAGUUUUUUUUUAUUUGCUUAAUUGUUCCCUUUUUUUACACACACACACACAAAAUUGAAAACAUAACUGUUCGAACGUGUUAAAUCUCAAAAUGUUCGGCUCUAAAUUGCAUAAAAAAUCUAAAUUUGCGAGACCUAAAAUACCGUUCACGUAAACAAAACGAUAUUAUUAAUAAUGCAAAAUCAUUUAUUCAUGAACAGGAUCUCAGCCAUGUGAUACAAGCCCAUUUCAUCUUGUACCUAUAAAAUCUUAAAUAUAUAUGCAUAUAUAAAAAAUUGUGGAAGGGUUAACUGAAGGAUUGACUGGCGGUAUGAUGAGCUGCCAAAUACUAUUAGACAAGGAACAAAAUUCUGUGUUUCAUGAAAAUUAAGAAGUAGAUUUUUAGAAAGAUUCUAACUAGCUUAUCAUUUUUAUCUGUAAUCUCAAAACAAUCAUUUUUUGUGAACUCAGUUGUGAAUAAAUAAAUGAAAUAAGAGAAUGAACCAUCAGAUUUACUGAUUGGAACUAAUUAAUGAUGAUUUUGGCUUAAAUGCAAACCGAAUGCCUUUGCCCAUUAUCAACUUGCAGAAAACAUACUCAUUGAAGUUCAAGAGAAUAAAGAACACGAGAAACUGAACAAUACAAAUAUAUACGAAUAAAGGAUUAAAGUAAAUGGAGAAAAGUUGUUACAGUUACAAUACAAAUCGAAGUCGUAAUCCAAUUAUUUAUGACAAGAGAUCAUCCAAGUCCAGCAUCAAGCCGAAUGAACCGCGCACAUCCCCUAUUGGUUCUUGAAGUAAGUCUUCCAGAAAAGAAUAGUCUUCCUCAGUUAACUCAGGUAGUCCAUCACUGUCUUCGUGUUGCACCAAUGAUUCAGGCACCGCCAUGGGCACUUCAACGAUACUCUCCGAAUGACAAUGAUAAUUCUCUCCAGUUUCUCUACCCUGAAGCAUGUUGUUCCCGGAGUCAUAUUGUUGGUUACAUAUCAUCUGAUCAAAAUGACUCAUCAUCAUCUCCAUGGAUGGCUCGUAAACACUGCUUGCAAGCCCCAUUCCACCAGCUAAGCUCUGCUCACUCAUCAUGUCAGAACUGCUGCAGCUUACUUCUUGAUAAUCCAUAUAGUUCUGGUGUUGAUUCUGUUGGUGGGUCAACAGCCUAUCCAUCUCAAUAUCUGCUACUUGUUCGGAUUGAUUGCUGUUGUCUUGAAAACCCUUCAGCUUUCUUUUCUUUGCAGAACCGUAAUUCAUAAUAUCAUGGCCAGUUGGUUGAUUCUUUCGGAGCCUGCAAAGCACAUAAUUGGUAGCUUGAUUCUUGGGCAUAUGUAGAGUGUACUCGUGCAUGAUCCAAGCCCCGUGAUCCUCACAACCUUGUUUCUCGUAACGAAACCUCUUCUUGGAGCCGAUUUUGAUUUUGGAUUGGCCGAUUACUAUAUCUUUACCAGCAUCCUCCCCUUGCCAAGUACCGCCAGAAGAUCCCACUUUGCGGUCGAUUCUGGAACCCUUGGAAGACUUUUUCUUCAACUGGGUGAAGAAAUAAAGAUCCUCAUCAGCAUUUAAAAAGGGUCCUCCAUGAGAAUCCCAAAUCUCAGAGGGUUUUUCCUCGUAAAGAUUACAAUCCAUGAUGAAAUACUCAGCAAGAGGGAUGAAUAUUCCCGAAACUUUCUUCUUGAGAUAAUGUUCGAUGAGUUCUUCAUCGGAUGGUCUGAACUGGAAGCCAUGGGGAAGAAAGGGUCCGUGUUCUUGCAUUUUGUUUGAGGAGAAGAGGGUUAAUUGAAUGGUGGGUUGGUUGAUUGAUGAUUGAUGGAGGAAAGUUUUUCGGCGAAUUAUUGAAAACAAAGAACACGGAAGCCGAGAGAGAAGCAAAGAUAGGUUUAGAGAAUUAGAGCAGAAGUGGUAAGAAGCGGGGGUGUUAAAGCUUCCUUAUAACAUAUGGAGGAGUGAAGUGACGUAGCUUGGAUUACAAGUAACAAUUUCCUAGAGGAGUGAAGUGACCUAGCUUGGAUUACAAGUAACAAUUUCCUAAGGCAACUCCGAGAAACGCGGGUGAAUUUGCGAGUUGGGUAAAAAGUCCUUACAUUUAAUAACCUUCCUAAAUCGGACAAAUUCAAGAAGUCGUUGAGCUUGAGGCUGACGCCAAGUCGGUCUUUAGAAAAAAAAAAAUCUCUUUUUUUUUAAUAUUUCGUGAUUAUUAUUAUUAUUAUUAUUAUUAUUCUGAAAAAAUAAUGAAAACUCAGAAGUCCCCUAUGAAAUCAUAAAAUGCACAAAUGUUAAAAUGCGGUUCUUCCUUUGCUAUUUGCUAAACCCUAACCCUAACCCUAACCCCCAGUUUGUUUCCACUCGAGAUUAGAUAUUUGGUGUUGUAAGAAGUUCUGUGAGUGGAAUUAGCUAAUCAUGCAACUAUAGGAUUUUAAUUCCCCCGUGUAGUGCUGAAAUUUCGGUCUUGUGCACCUCUCCAACUAAUCACCACGUCUGUAUUGUAAAUAGACGCUUACGAAUAAUCCAGCCAAAAUAAUAGGAAUUAGACAUAUGGCCAUUCCAAAUAGAAAGAAUCAUAUUUUUUUUAACUCUUUUUUCCAUUGCUACUGUGAAAUAAAAUUACUAGAUUUCAGAUAAGAUUUCAAAUAAUAAUGGAUUGGUGUUAAUUAAAUACUAUUUAUAUAUCAAGAUUAUUUAAAGCUAAUUUGAAAAUAUUCGUAACCUAAUUUUUGUUUUUUUUAAAGGAAAAAAAAGGUCAAACUUUUUAAGUAUUAUUUGGAAUUUUUUAUUUAUAUAAUGUGAGUAAUAAAUAAUUUUAAAUGUUGUAAAAUUUAUCCAUAAUAUUUAAGACAUAUAGUAUUAGUCUUUAAAACAUUAAAUGAUUAUUUACAAAUGAGAUCUAAAAGAGAUUUCGGAUCUUGAUAAUUGAAAAAAAAUGAUCCUGAAACCAAAUUAGUUCAACAAACAUAUAACUUUCUAUGAUACCAACUAUAUAAUUUGCAAUGUUACAGAGAUUAUGGCAGCAACAGUUCAAAUAAACAACCUCUACAGCUGAUGUUUUUACUUCACAAUUCAAAAUAUGCAAAUUUGAUCAUCUACUUAUCUAUCUAUGCAACAGAUUGUAUGCGGGUAAAUCUUGUACACAAGAAAUAUCUUCGAGUUUAAGCUCGCGCUCUAAUUGUGCUCUUGUAGACUUCAAUACAUCCUGAAAAAAAAAAUCAUAUAACAACAAUUAAGCCUAAAUCAUGGUUCAUGAAUAUAUAUAUAUAUAUAAAGCGGAGGAUGCUAGGUUAAGUUUACGUUAAAUUCCAUAUAUGAAGCCCGUUUUGCAAGCCAUUGAGCAUCCAUCAUUUGAAAGGCUACACAAUAAAGGUUGUCGAAUGCCAUUUCAUCUUUCUCAAGCAGUUCUAGAAAGCGGAUACCAGCUGAAGAAGAUGGCUUUCCUGCACGUAAAAUUGAACAAUAUGAAGACACCAAGUGGAAAUGCAGAAUGUAGCACAAAGUUAAGCGUGUUUAAUAAAAUAUGGCUGGACAGAUGUUGGAUGAGCAAGUUGAUUUCUUAAGGGGACGCUUGGAACCAAGGCUCCUCAUGGUUGACUGGGGUGGCUUUGCCGUUUCCCAGCUUUUCAGGAUCGAGGAGUGAACCGCAACGAUUACAAUAAAUGUUACUUAGUCAGAACUUUAAUUACCUGAUUGAAGAUCCAACAUCUGUAUUAACAUAAAAGAAAUGUUGAUGCCAGCAACAGCAAAGGGAUACUCCCAUUCUGCUCUUGUGCCGUCUUGUUUGUGUAACAAUCUCUGAAAAGAGUCCUGUUGAAUAAGACCAAAUUACUAACGAUCAAAUUUAAUUUCCUUGUAAGGGCAACCACCACCAAAGUCCUCACUUUCCUCUUGGUUAAUGUAAAUAACAAUAGAAAAGUUCAGAAACCAAAAAUGGGAACAAGUACAACCCCAUACAAUUAAUAGGCUUCUACAAGUAUUGAACAUUAGCAGAAUAUUAGGUAUGAUUCCAAAAUAAAAAAAUAAGCAUUCACAAAGUUUAACAGAAUCUUAGAAAUUAAAACAUGACUACAACUUUUGCUGUAACCCUAUUGGUGGCAAUGCUUUACCGAACUUUUAAAGCUGAUACAAGAAGAUGGGGAGAAAGGACAAGGAAAAGAAAAAUUCUUUACCAGAUCAAAAUAUUUGAGUGUAGCUACCAAAUAUAAAUAUCUUCUCAUAGCUAGCAAAGUGAAGGCAAAAGUAUAUUUACCAGAAUUUGCUGGCAGCCAAACCAAUGAACCUUCUUUAAUGACACAAGGGUUAACACCAAUCAAUAUAAUUUGAAUUUCAAUCAGGAUAUCUGAACUUUCGCCACUCAAAAAUGUCUACUGCUAUUUUUUUUAGUGUUUCGAAAAAAUUUUCAUGCAGUCAUAUUCCCCAAUCACAUAAUCUGAGAACUGUAAUGGCUGACCAAGAGCUUCAGAGAAAGAAUGUUUCUUUUCCAUUGCAGUUCAGUUUUUUUAAUGAGUUUCAAUGCUUUCCAGUCACUCUCUAGCUUCUAUAAGAAGAUGUGUUAUAAUGCAUGGUGUCAUCUGUUCACAAGGAAUAUAAUUCUCUAAAUCUAUAAAUAGUUGCUUCAGUCUUCUCUUGUUCUGAUAUCUGAAUUUGAAAGUGCAGUUGGGCAUGGCUAGUGCAUUAGAGACUCUCUGUGGGCAAGCUUAUGGGGUGAAACAAUACCACAUGCUAGUAAUAUAUCUUCAAAGAUCGUGGAUAGUCUUAACCAUUUGUGCUAUCCUUCUCUUACCUCUGUUCUUCUUCACUACACCAAUUUUGGUGGCUUUGGGCCAAGAAGAAAAUAUUGCUGAAGUGGCGGGAACUAUUUCUCUCAUUCUAAUCCCUGUGUUGUUCGCCUUCAUCGUAUCCUUUACCUGCCAAAUGUACCUACAAGCCCAGAGCAGAAACAUGAUUAUCUCCUACUUGGCGGCAUGUUCAUUUUUGCUUCAUCUCUUUCUUUCGUGGCUUUUUACCAUGAAAUUGAAUUUUGGACUCCCUGGAGCAUUGGGAUCAACAAUUCUGGCAUACUGGAUUCCAAACUAGGGUCAACUUCUGUUUGUUAUAUGUGGAGGGUGCCCUCAAACAUGGAAGGGUUUCUCAUUUGCCGCUUUCAAGGAUCUCUGGCCUGUAGUAAAACUUUCCUUGUCGUCUGGUGCCAUGCUAUGGUGAGGUUCUUGUCUAAUUGUGGCCUUGCAUAAAUUUAGGCAGUAAAAGAUUGUGCAUUUUAUAAAUUCUAAUUGGCUUAACUGGGAAUCGGCAGAUAAGAGUCUAGGGCUUACAUCUGAAUCUAUAUCAUUUCAUAUGUGUUUGUUACUAUUAUUAGUUUCGAGUGGGAUCUUUCCUCAUUUUGUUUUUGGCCAUGUUUCAGCCUUUCUUGGUUCUUCCCUUUUGUUAAGAUCAUUGAUUGCUUCAGUUUGUGUUACUGAGUGGCAAUAUCAUAUAUUCUUUCUUUAAUUGGGUUGUGGGGGCAGGGAAAUGGUGAAUUUUAUAUUAUGAUAUGAAUCCCUGAUAAAAAGUACUUGUUUGUGGUCUACAGACAACAAUGAUGUUAAUAUAACAUCGCUGAGGAACAAUGAUGUUAAUCUAGUAUUUGCUGAUUAACUGCCAUAUUUAUGCUUUCCUGUAACUCAACUAUGUGGGGAUUUUAACUCAGCAUUAUGUUAUACUUGACAGUCUCGAGCUCCGGUACAACACAGUCUUGGUUCUUUUNNNNNNNNNNNNNNNNNNNNNNNNNNNNNNNNNNNNNNNNNNNNNNNNNNNNNNNNNNNNNNNNNNNNNNNNNNNNNNNNNNNNNNNNNNNNNNNNNNNNUAUAUGUACGAUAAAAUUGUAUUGGACCCAUAAAAUAUUCAAUAUUUUAUAAGGUUUUUCUUUUAGAUUUUUUUUAGAAAUGAAAUAAUAAAGAAAGUUUGAAGAGAGGAAUACGAUUAUUAAGACUAAAAGAGUGAGAAAGUUAUUAAAAAUUAUAAAAUUUAUAAAUGAUAAUAGCAUUUAUUUAAAAAAAAUACUUUUUACAUUAAAUAAAUUAUAAUUAAAAAAAAGAUUUUAAAAGAAUUUUGGAGGGGUGCUAAUAGUCCCACUCCUUUGUUUUAUGCUUCAGCGUCUCUUACACAAUGUGAAAGGAAAAUCGUCCUAAUUUCAUUUAAAAAAAAAAAAAGCGGAAAAAAGUGGAAAAAUAAACUAUUUGGAAAAAUGAGACGUGGCAUUUGAAAAUGGGAACCCUUAUCUUUCAAGUUUCAAACCUAGUUAAUUAAUACUUGAGGAUGAGUUUUUGUCCUGCACGGCUGGACCCCAAGUCAAUCUGUACGACAUCAAUUCUCGUGACGUCUGAUUUGAUGACAAAUGAAUAACAAGAGCUCCUGAUAGCUUGCACAAAAAGUGGGGUACCCUGAUUUCGUUAUCAAACUUAUUAUGUCACCUUAAUUCUGGUACGAAUUGUCGUCCCCAGUGAGUUAACUAGUUCGUUACCCAGCGAACCCACUCUCUUGUUCUUAAUCGCACAAGUUUUUGUCUUAAAAUGUAUAUCUAUAACUACAAAUGUAGAGAGAGAGAGAGAGAGAGACGUGUCAAAUUAUCAAUAAGAGAGAAACGUGUCAAAUUAUUCUUCAGAGCUUAUGGGCUCCACUUCCCCAAUAACAAUUUGACACGUGUGUAAUUGCCCCAACUACAUACUAUUCAAUUCUAUGUGAUGUAUCCAUAUAAUAAUUUUAUAACACUAGUUAUAAAUAAUUUUUCGGUUCUAUAAAAUAAAACUAUUGUGACUCCACGUAAUAAAAAAAAAGAUUAUUAUUACUUUUCAGAUAAUUUUUCUGUAGCAUAUCAAUUUGCACAUUAUAUUAGAUUAGAGUGUAUAAAUUAAUUUCCAUAAAAUUAUUUGUAACUCUAUCGUUAUUGUUUUAUGAUAAGAAAAAAAUAAUAAAUAAUUUUCUUAUUACGAAUGGAUUUUUUCAAUCAGGAAUUCUUAAACUUUAAUUUUAAGUUAUGAUCUGUAAUUUAAUAUUGCAUAAAUUUAUAAAUAAUGCGCUGGCGCUACCACAUUCAAUUUUGAAUAUUUUAUUAUGAAUCAAAUAGGACCAAUAACUCAAGACUUUAUUAAAACUUGCAGUUAAAUUAGCCCCAUCGGUCUGUUAUUAAACCAACACCAUUAAUUUCUUGAUUAGGAAAGAUCACAAUUAACAAAAAAAUAAUUUUUUUUUCAUGACUUGUGAAUAUGGUCGUCGUGAGUCGUGACCAAGGGUACCGCUACCCACGCUUUGGGUAAUGUCGGGCGGGAUGAUAAAUUUUAUUUAUUUUUAGUGCAUACUAUUUUGUGGACCCGAGGACACCUCACAAAGGCCAAACACGUGUAAAUUUCUUGUCAAAAUUAAUAUUUGAAAAAGAUGGCACCCAAAGGUCGUCUGACUUUAUGACGGUCCCAAUAAAGAGAAAAAAAACAAGGAACUUUUUUUGACAAAAGAUUGUAAAAGAAAAAGAGUGAAAAAAAAAGAUUAUUUAUGUAAUUCAUUUUUUUCUAUUAAUAAAAAGAAGUGGCAACAAAAAAGAAAAAUUGGAAAUUUUUUUUUGAGCUUAUGAUAAUUUUACAAAUAUAUUAUAAUUUGAAAUCCGGCAAGAUGAGUUAAUAAAAAAAAAAUUAUUUAUUUUUUGGUUUGAAGCACGAGGUGGUCCUGAGUGGGCUCCAACUGUGGGAAACACCUUUAAGCCCGUACCACAAUUCAGACUAAUUCGCGCUCGCACCGGGUCGGCCCAUAAGGGGUAAAGUACUAGCCAAAGUGGUGACUCCAUACGAGAGCGGGACUUGAACCCCUGACCUCUCUUAAGGAGUGAGAGUGCCGAACCACUCACACCAACCAACUUUGGUUAAUAAAAAAAAAAUUAUUGAUAAUUCACGUGUGAGACAAUUUCAGAAUUUUAUAAUUUUUAUGAAUAGUUUUCUAAAUUAUGGAUUCGUUAAGGAGUAUCAAUCAGGGUAUUAUUACAUUAUUGUCUUAAAACAAUUUUGUUGUCUGAUUGAUGAAGGGUUGCAGCAUUCACAAAGCUACGUGGAGUUAGAUGAAACCAAUGGUUUCAACUACCCCUGCAACUUGGAUCCUGCUGACUGCUGAGCAUUGGAAAAUGGCAAAAUACAAAAGCAUUAACAACAUGUAGAGUGGCUGAAUAACAUGUGCGUGCAAUGAAUCCACUUGGUUUACUUAUUUUAGCUUAGCUGGCUGACCAGUUUUCUGUUUCUUAUAUUUUCUUUGCGGAAGAAAAGCAAGGCCUUUUGAGAGCUCCCUUUGCACUAUUUCUUCUCUCUCUCUCUCUCUCUCUCUCUCUCUCUCUCUCCUGCUAGCUCUCAUCUGUCACUGUGAGUCUUCGUCUUCUUCUUCUUCUUCUUCUUCUUCUUCUUCUUCUUGUAAUGCGCAAUAUUUUAUAUGUUCUGUAUUCUUUCUUGUGUUUCCAUGUUGAACCAGAAUUUAAUUCUUUUCUAUUUGUUUUUUUUUUUUAAAUCUUCUUAAAAAAUCUGGUGAUUUCAAGAAGAAGAAGAAGCUGCACUUGUUUUAUGAAUACAACUGAGUUAAUUUGUGUACUUUUAUAAUGUUUUAAGCUUAUGUUGGUCAUUUUGUAUUUUGUUUUUGCAUUUUCAUAAGUUUCUCUAGGAUCCCUUUUCUCAAGUGUGGUCCUUAUCUGUCCAUUCUGAGUUAAAGUGGAGGUGUGGUUAGGUUUCUGAUAGAUGAUUUUAUUAGUAAUCUUCAUUAUAUGUCAAGGUAAUGGGAUAAAGUUUGGUGCAUAAUCAUUUCAUAAUCUUGCAAGUUUUAGUAACUUUCAAUAACUCUGUUUCUUGUAAUUGCAGUGUUUAUUGGUUUAUUGAGGGAAUUUUGUAGGAUUCACAAUGUUUAUUCAUUAUUCACCCAUUUAGGGGUUUUGAUUUUUUUUUUUCCUUCAUGUUAUAGUUUGUAAUCACAAAAUAUUAGGCAUUAAAAAUGUGAAAUAAUUACAUUGGUAGCUGUUCUCCUUUAGAUAAUCCGUUGACAUGUAUAUCAUUUUGUAGAAGUACUACUGGUUCUAGGCUUGUAUCUGUAAUUGAAAUUUUAUUGGCAGCUGUUAUUGAACCAUUGAUUUAAGGGACCGCAAUUCAGAUGCAUAUGUCCUUAUUAGUUGAACUCCUUUUUGUUCUGGCACCAUUCAUCUUUCCUUUCAUUGGAUCCUUUCUAAGAUGAGAAUCAUUACUGUAUAUUUUUUGUAGCAGCGGGUGAAUGAUUAGAAGAUGUCUUUAAUCAUAACUAAUAUAAGGGUUCUAUUCAUGUGUGCCUUAACUAUUGACAGUAAAUGUAAAAUUUCUUUUAACUGUGUGAUUGAAGGGAUAAUUUAAUUUUCUGUUUGAUGAUAAAUUGAUUUCUAUUGUAACUUGGAUGACGAUGUUUGAUGCUUGCAAAACAGCAAAAGUAGUUUAAAAAAUGAUCAGUUACACAUCACAUUAUGAUAUAUGGAAUAAAUAUGUGGCCAGCCAGAAAGGAAUGAAAAUGGUAAACGAGUAAAGGCAUUUGUGCCAAUUAUGCUGUUCAGGAUUGUGGGGAAUCAUCUACUGCUUUAUUGGAACAAGCAGCUAUAUCCCUCUUUAUUCUAAAGUCAUAGCAAGGAAAAUAGACAACAUAGUGCACGAUUAAAAUUCUUUCAUUGGUGGAAAGAAAAAAUUUGUCAACUUCUGUGCCGUCUUGGCAUUCUUCUCUGUAUUUGAAUGUGCUCUUUUCCCAUAUAUGCCUAAUUUUAAUUCUUUCCUCAAUUUCUACAAACAUUGACAGUGAAAGAAAAGCUUUUUUUCUGGAGGUGAGAAUGGUGGGAGAGAUCAAAGAGAAGCUAUUAGGAAACACGGAGGAAAAUGAUGUUGAUGGGCAAGUGAAAUUCAGGCAAAAGCUGUGGGUGGAAUCCAAAAAGUUAUGGAUUGUAGCAGCUCCCGCUAUUUUCACAAGAUUUUCUUCAUUUGGGCUCAACGUAGUUAGUCAGGCAUUUAUUGGGCACAUUGGCGCGACCCAACUAGCUGCCUACUCACUUGUGUUUACUGUUCUCUUGAGGUUUGCAAAUGGCAUCCUGGUAAGCACUCUCUAUCUGUUUCUUACUUGAGUUGUCAUUUAUUGAAUAGGUUUUUGUUUUGGCCUUGAUUACUACGGCCAGCUUUAGAGUAUCUGAGGUCUUAAGCGGAUUUAUUUUACGAGGUCUCUUUUUACUCAGCAAUGUCAAUACUCAAAAAAACAUAAAAGAACCCAAAAUUCAUUUCAUCUUUAGUUCUUGAAUUUCAACAAAAAAUCAAGAAGAUCCUAAAAAAUUUUGAAAACAAAACCUAAAAUUUACUUUCUUCAAAACAUUUACAAAAAUAAACAAACAAAUAAAUGAGAACAAUACUAUUUUCAAAUCGAAUGUUUAGAAUGGUAGCACAUGAAAAGUUGGGAUUAUGAUUUGAUAAUCAGAAAAUGGAUAUGGACUUUGUAUUUCAAGAAACUAAUUUUUGAUCUUUUUGAAUGAACUAGCAUGUAAUAAUUUUUUUUUUAAGAGAAGAAAGCAAGAAAUUUUUUCAUCAAUGAUUUUUUAUAUUAUAAGUUUCUUAAUAAAAAUUAAAAGGAAUGUUACAAAUCAAAGAUUCUAAUGUUAAAUAAUUAAGCUUUUUUAAGAAACUGAAAAUGUAAAAAAUUUAUUUAUUUCUCCUGAAAAAAUAAUAAUGAAUAAAUUAAUGGUUAGACAAUAUUAUUAAUUAUAUCUCUUCAACAAUAAGAUUACUAAAUAUAGAUUUUUUAUGAAAAAAUAAUUCUUAAUUAUAGGAUAAUUAGUGAUCAGAGAGAUGUCUAAUAGGCUUUACUACCAUACAUAAUAUUUUGAAAAAAAAUCUUUAUUAAUUAGAGAAUUAUUAAUGAAAUACUUAAAAAAUGAGGCAUUUCUAAAAUUUGGGGCUUAGGCGACUGUCUAGUUUGCCUAUAUUUAAAGCUACCUCUGUUGAUUACUGUUUUUUUUUUCGUGUGUGUAGUAUUUGUGCUAUUUUUAGUGGAGAAAGCUGCAAAAAGAUAUGUAUCAUAAAUUAUGUUCUGUUCAGGGUUGUGGUUGUGAGAUUUAAUAGCUUAAAACAUGACUACAACUUUUGCUGUAACCCUAUUGGUGGCAAUGCUUUACUGAACUUUUAAAGCAGACACAAGAAGAAGGGGAGAAAGGACAAGGAAAAGAAAAAUUCUUUACCAGAUCAAAAUAUUUGAGUGUAGCUACCAAAUAUAAAUGUCUUCUCAUAGCUAGCAAAGUGAAGGCAAAAGUAUAUUUACCAGAAUUUGCUGGCAGCCAAACCAAUGAACCUUCUUUAAUGAUGCAAGGGUUAACACCAAUCAAUAUAAUUUGAAUUUCAAUCAGGAUAUCUGAACUUUCGCCACUCAAAAAUGUCUACUGCUAUUUUUUUUAGUGUUUCGACAAAUUUUUCAUGCAGUCAUAUUCCCCAAUCACAUAAUCUGAGAACUGUAAUGGCUGACCAAGAGCUUCAGAAAAAGAAUGUUUCUUUUCCAUUGCAGUUCAGUUUUUUUAAUGAGUUUCAAUGCUUUCCAGUCACUGUCUAGCUUCUAUAAGAAGAUGUGUUAUAAUGCAUGGUGUUAUAAGUCAUCUGUUCACAAGGAAUAUAAUUCUCUAAAUCUAUAAAUAGUUGCUUCAGUUUUCUCUUGUUCUGAUAUCUGAAUUUGAAAGUGCAGUUGGGCAUGGCUAGUGCAUUAGAGACGCUCUGUGGGCAAGCUUUUGGGGCGAAACAAUACCACAUGCUAGGAAUAUAUCUUCAAAGAUCAUGGAUAGUCUUAACCAUUUGUGCUAUCCUUCUCUUACCUCUGUUCUUCUUCACUACACCAAUUUUGGUGGCUUUGGGCCAAGAAGAAAAUAUUGCUGAAGUGGCAGGAACUAUUUCUUUCAUGCUAAUCCCUGUGUUGUUCGCCUUCAUCAUAUCCUUUACCUGCCAAAUGUACCUACAAGCCCAGAGCAGAAACAUGAUUAUCUCCUACUUGGCGGCAUGUUCAUUUUUGCUUCAUCUCUUUCUUUCGUGGCUUUUUACCAUGAAAUUGAAUUUUGGACUCCCUGGAGCAUUGGGAUCAACAAUUCUGGCAUACUGGAUUCCAAACUUGGGUCAACUUCUGUUUGUUAUAUGUGGAGGGUGCCCUCAAACAUGGAAGGGUUUCUCAUUUGCCGCUUUCAAGGAUCUCUGGCCUGUAGUAAAACUUUCCUUGUCGUCUGGUGCCAUGCUAUGGUGAGGUUCUUGUCUAAUUGUGGCCUUGCAUGAAUUUAGGCAGUCAAAGAUUAUGCAUUUUAUAAAUUCUAAUUGGCUUAACUGGGAAUCGGCAGAUAAGAGUCUAGGGCUUACAUCUGAAUCUAUAUCAUUUCAUAUGUGUUUGUUACUAUUAUUAGUUUCGAGUGGGAUCUUUCCUCAUUUUGUUUGUGGCCAUGUUUCAGCCUUUCUUGGUUCUUCCCUUUUGUUUAGAUCAUUGAUUGCUUCAGUUUGUGUUACUGUGUGGCAAUAUCAUAUAUUCUUUCUUUCAUUGGGUUGUGGGGGCAGGGAAAUGGUGAAUUUUAUAUUAUGAUAUGAAUCCCUGAUAAAAAGUACUUGUUUGUGGUCUACAGACAACAUAUAAUAUCGCUGAGGAACAAUGAUGUUAAUCUAGUAUUUGCUGAUUAACUGCCAUAUUUAUGCUUUCCUGUAACUCAACCAUGUGGGGAUUUUAACUCAGCAUUAUGUUAUACUUGACAGUCUCGAGCUCUGGUACAACACAGUCUUGGUUCUUUUAACAGGAAACAUGAAAAAUGCUGAGGUUGCCAUUGAUGCUCUUGCGAUAUGGUACCAAAUUCAUAGGCUCCUUCCCAUUAUCAUCAUUUUGGAUUUUGUUUUCCUCUUCUUUUAUAUGGGGCCAGUUAUCUAUUUGGUUUAAAUUAUUCUUAUUUGCAGCAUCAACAUCAAUGGGCUAGAAAUGAUGAUCUCGCUUGGUUUCUUGGUUGCAGUAGGGUAUAAUCCUCUUCUUUUUCUUCUAUUUUUUUUAUUUUUUUAUAUCUUUAUUCUGUUCUUUUAAACAAACUUACUAGAUUUAAAGAAUGAAAAUCUGAUUAUGAAACUCAGUUAACUACAAUCCCGACUGCCUUAUCCAUUUGCAGGGAAAAAAAAACUUAUUUUUUGCCUUCAGCCUUGACCAAUAAUUUCAGCCAUAUCUUGCGUGAACUUCGGAUAGAAGUCAAUCUAAUUAUAUUUCUGUAUUCUAACAAAAACUGCUCGAUCUCCUGGAAACAUUUCUGUGCAUAAUGCAUGAUCCUCAAGGCGAAGUGUUGUAGAAAAUGGAAUUAUCUAUUCCCUUAACAAUGUUUCACGUUAAUAUUGAAUAUUACUUCUCUAUUACCCUUUUCUUUGGAAGGUUGAUAUAUGUGCUGAAUAAACUCAGUUUAGUUGGAAAAAUGUUCAGUGUUAGGGUGUCAAAUGAGCUUGGCCGAGGAAGCGCAAAUGCUACGAAAUUUGCUAUUAAGGUGGCAGUUUCCACAUCCUUUUUGAUUGGAUGUGCACUCUUUAUCAUUUUCCUCUUCCUCAGAGGACGCGUAGCAUACAUUUUCUCCGACAAUUAAGAUGUGAUUGACACAGUUGCAGAUCUAUCACCACUACUCUCUUUCUCUAUACUUUUGAACAGUGUGCAGCCAGUGCUCUCCGGUAAUGCUUCCCUUUCUUGUCAGUGUCUUUCUAUAUUCUCCAAGUCACCAAUUGAAUGGGAGGGUCCAAGAUAAAAAGGAAAAUAUGUUGUUAAAUUCGUAACCAAAAAUCAUGCCUGAACAGGAGUUGCUGUCGGGGCUGGAUGGCAGAGUAUCGUAGCAUAUGUUAACAUCGCUUGCUACUACCUGAUUGGGAUUCCUAUCGGAGUCGUGCUUGGUUAUUUAACCCAUUUGGAAGUCAAAGUGAGUUUUCUUUUUCCCAUUCUGCUGUAUCUUUGCGUUUUACUUAGACUUGGCAGUAUUUGUAUUGUUACUGUUGUCUCCAAAUAAAUAUAACUCAGUUCGGUUCCAUUUUAAUUUGGCUCAAAUCAUCAUAUCCUAAUUCUCUGGUCCUGAAAGUACGAAUAUAAUGAACAACCGGUCUCCUCAUUGUAUAAUGCAGAUACCUUGCAGCUUGGUUUGUCAUCAUGUUAUUGAUUAGGAGUGCCGCAGCAGUUUUUUGUUAAGGAGUUGCUUUUCAUGAGUGCACACACAUCAUUCUUUUCUUCAAAAUUCUUAGGCACAGAAUACAAAUUGUUCCACAAUUAAGUAGUUUAAUUUUCUUUUUGUACUGGCUCUAUUUUGUCCUCUCUCUUUUUGCAGGGUGUUUGGACCAGAUAAGUGGUUCAUUCCCAAAUCACCGGAACAAUCGCCUAACGAACAAGCAGAUGUCGCAGCUUGACAUCAAACUUCUUCAAUUUCCAAAAUCUUUUUUGCUUGGUGUAAAGCUUUUGCCAAUUAAUUGCUUACAGUUUUGUUUUUGCUUUCAAGAGUACAAUCAAGCAUUCAAUCUGCCUCAUGGGACUUGAUGUUCAAGUACAUUGCUCAUGUAGAUGGAGAAUCAAAAAGUGGAAUUUCUUUUUUUUGUCCUGUUUUUGGUGUUUCAACAUCACCAUUGUGAGAUUCAUUCGUAUUGGCUUAAUUGUAGCAUUGGACAUGAUAAAUUUCGGAUUUGUUCAUUAGAUAGUUGUAGAAAAUGAGCAUGUGCUCACUUAAUACAGUGUUCAUACUCAUGCAUUAGUUUUGUAAAUAGUGUGUACAAUAGUUUAUAUCCUAGCGUGAUUAGUAAAGAUUAAUUGCUUGUGUCAUCAAAUUACUGGAUUAGCAAUAAUGUCUGCAACAUUUCAAAUAAAUAAAAAAAAGUUUGCAAGGUGCUUACAAAACAACUUCUCUUCUGUGUCUCCAUUUGUUGGAUGAAAUGAUGUUUAACUCAUACUUUGAAACAACAUCAUCCAGGUCUGCUAUGCCAAAGGUAUUUUACAUACCUUCACAAGACAACCAAUCAAAUUGGUUCAAAAAUUUUGGAAGAAUCAAUUUGGUGGACCAACCGCGAGAUGAAGACUGGUACCGAUUAAGUAGAAAGAAUGAUUGGUUAUAUAAACCAAAAAGAACGAAAAAGAGCAUGAAGACAAGCUGCAUAGGUCAUUGAUGACUUAAAUGAUCUUCAAUUAUAUAAGCAAUCGUACAGGACAGUUUUUUCUCCCUAUUUCAGCAUAUGUCCAGUGAUGAUUUGUCACGUAACAUAAUAUUAAAUUUAAUUAUGCCAAUUUUUUCUGCUCAAAUAAUCGUUACCUGAAAAAGUAGAUUGGCAACAAUAAGGACAAAGCCAACAUGAUUAUUGUGGUAAAGUGUUGACCAUCACUCAAAUCUUAUCGCAGGUUCAUUCACUUAUAAUAAAAAAACAAUCAAGCUUUGAAUUACAAAAUAAUAAAGAUAUUCUUAACGGACGGACAUUAGCCACCCACAAUCUAUAUAUAUAUAUAUAGUGAAAACAAAGUUCAAUUUGUGUUUUGAGUUUAACACUCGCGAUCAUAAAUAUUAUUAUUAUUACUUUGUGCUUGUGCGCAGAAUCCAUGAACAACGCUGCAGUGUAAAUUAGGCAGCUAACAAGGCCAAAAAAGAGUAAGUUCAAUUUCCUUGCUCCACUACUAUCUCUUGUUUUCAUUUCUCUUUUGCUUUGUGAUUUGUGCCCAAUCCUGGAAUUUGUAAAUUUCAUCUCAGAACACACUGCAUGUUGUUCCUGAUUGAGGGUACCUUUUUCCCUCUUCGCAAAGGGGGAUGUUAAGUUGUUUUGGACUCUCUUUAUUACAGCAAAAGCUGGAGGCUAAAGCGCUGGGUUUCUGAAACACCCAAUUUUUGAUGGAAUCAAUUUAAUUUUACAGAGAGAAUGAGGUGUUGGCUUUAAAAGAGUAACCAAAUGUUCAAUAAUGCUUUUCAGCUUUUGGUAUUGAUAGGUACACCUGCUAUUAUGGUGUUUGGUUUCAUCUACCAGUCAAACUCAAACAUAUUACAACAACUAACGGACAAGUACACUUCGAAAUAAAUACACUACCACCACCAGAUGCGCAUACAUCGAUGUAUUAUUCCAAUCACCAUAUGCAUCACUAUCUUUACAUUUUAGAAUUUUUUUUUUGUUUUCUUUUGGGGCGGGGGGGGGGGGGGGGUGUUGAGGAUAAAUAUUGAAUAAUACCACUUGGACAGAAAAGCAAGAUGACAGAAAUGAUAAACUGGAGGGUAUUUUUUACUUACGUUAACUAUUUGGUUACAAGUGAGAAAUUGAGUUCCAACUUUAUUGCCCUGUUUCAUAAUGACAAAAAUAAAAAUCACAUGAUUCUCAUUUCGCUUUCUAUCACUUUGCUUUCCUGUCAAGAUGUCAUUUCUUGUAAACAAUCGUGGCUCAAUUUGGGAGAGUGUGAAUCGUACAAUCUAAUUUGAGCGCGUUCACGGUCCCAAGUGGAUGGCAUAAUCACACAUUUAUAUGCCAUCAACCAUGAGUUUUUUACAGUUCCUUAAUUUGCAUGCACCAGCUUUCUUUCACUAACAUGAGACAAAACCUUGUGGGGGCAUUACUACAGUAUUUUACACAUAGUGUACCCCACAGUUGAAAUACCGUCACCAAUGCAGCUUAGAGAUAGUGUCCAAAUUGUAAAGUACAAUGUCUUUAUAAUUUCGACUCUUACAACAGGUCAUAUGCUAAAAAAUGUGGUUAAUUUUUGUGCCACAGUAUCCCCUCUGUUUAGAUAAGACUGUCUAUAUAUUUUAUAGAUAGUGAAAUUAAAAGGGCUUUCACAUUCAUGACAUUUAACAUGUUAAAAUCUUGGAAGCUCAAGCUGAAGGCAAUUACAUAAGUUAGCAUUUGUUUAUUAAACACUUCAGAAUAACAAUGGACAACGGAUUGGAAGAGCGAGAGAGGCUUCUGGGAUUCGAGGAACAGGAGAGGAAUGAUCUGAAACAGAGGAUUUGGAAGGAAAUGAAGCUGACGUGGAGGAUUGCAUUUCCUUCUAUACUUUCCAGGAUUGCUUCAUUUGGACAAAUUUUGGUGACACAGAGUUUUCUUGGACAUGUUGGGGAAAUUGAACUCGCCUCAUUUGCACUCGUUCAAAGCAUCUUUUUGCGCUUUGUUAACGGAAUACUGGUAAGCAUCGUCAAUUUGAAUCAUAUACAUGUUUGUGUGUGCGUACGUUUGUGAAUGUGUAGACCACUGGAUUGAAGAAAGACAGUAACCUGAAUGAUUUUCUCUGAUCCUGUACUAAACUGCAAUCUGCUUUAUGUGAUGCCUUUUACAAAUGUCUUUAUAUAUAUAUAUAUAUAUAUCUUUUUAAAGAUCUAGUGACGAGCUGUUGUUUGCCUCUAAAUGUUCUAUGGUUCGUUUCAUUUACUUGUUCAUUCAUUUGAAGCUGGGAAUGUCAAGUGCAACAGAGACAUUAUGUGGACAAGCAUUUGGAGCAGGGCAUUAUCAUAUGAUGGGAAUUUACUUGCAACGAUCGUGGCUAGUUGAUUGUGUAACUGCUACAAUAAUGCUCCCCGUCUUCAUCUUUGGAACACCGAUCAUGAAUCUGCUUGGCCAGCAAAAGGAUAUAGCAGAAACAGGGGGGGUGAUUUCUCUGUGGUUGAUUCCCUUUGUUUAUAACUUCGUCUUCUCCUUGACAAUCCAAAUGUUCUUACAAGCACAGCUCAAGAACAUGAUUAUCGGGUGGCUAUCUACUGCUUCUUUCCUGCUUCACGUGCUUAUGUCCUGGAUCUUUGUGAGUGAACUUGACUUAGGUAUUGCUGGUGCAAUGGGCUCAUUAAACAUUUCUGCUUGGCUAAAUAUCAUUGGAUUGUUUGUUUACAUCUUCUGUGGUUGGUGCCCUGAUACUUGGAAAGGUUUCACCAACGCUGCCUUUACUGACAUUCUUCCUGUAAUAAAGCUGUCGAUAUCCUCCGGGGUCAUGAUAUGGUAAAUAUUGAAUGUUCUUCCUCGGAAAUUAUAACCUGCAUGUCAUGAUGCAUCUCCUGGGUGCUAAUUAAUUUAGCUUGUAAAAUCCUACGAUAGUACAUGAUCUGCUGUUCAAACCUCGCUCAUUUUUAUGCUAUGCUUUAAAAAAUAAGCAAACAAAUAAAUAUUGGAACGCUCUCUAAAUCUGUCUCAUAAGAUUCCGUUUUGACACUUUUUUUUCUUUUUUGGUUUCAUAAUCAAUUAUCUUACUUAAUUUUGAAUUGUGAUAGCUUGGAGCUCUGGUACAAUUCCAUUCUAGUCUUAUUGGCUGGGUACAUGAAAAAUGCAACCGUUGCCAUAUCUGCUUUCUCUAUUUGGUAAGGUCUUAGCUAUUAUUAAAACCUUAUUUCACAUUUAUUACUUCCAGUUCCAGUUGAUUUUCCUAAAUAAUCUUUUUAAGAAUUUGGCUUAAAGCUAAUUAAUUACAUUGUUGUUGCAGCCUCAAUGUCAGUGCAUUUCAAUUAAUGAUCUUCCUUGGCUUCCUUGGUGCCUCAUGGUAUAGAUAUACAUUGCUUCAACAAAUACCCUCUCUGGCUCCUUAUACUUGAAAUUCACAAGCUCUAAUGUUGUAAUAUCAUUUGUUGAUCAGCGUGCGAGUGUCGAAUGAACUCGGGAGAGGAAAUGCGAAAGCCACAAAAUUUUCCAUUAAAGUCAUACUCACUAUUUCAGCCUGUCUUGGAGUGAUCUGUUGGAUUUUAUGUUUAAUCUUUGGCCGUCAGAUUUCAUACCUGUUUACAACUAGUGAGGAAAUUGCAGAAGAAGUAUCGAAACUAUCUGUUCUGCUUUCUUUCUCCCUUUUGCUUAACAGCGUUCAGCCAGUACUCUCAGGCAAGUGUUAUUUCUUCGAAAACUUGGAAAAAAAAAUAAUAAUGCUAUGAUUACUAAGUGUGCGUUUGAUAUUAAGGUGUUACAGCUUAAAAGCUACAUUGGUUGUGGAAAAAAAAUGUAUCUAUAAAAUAAAAGUUAGUAAUACGUAAUAAAUAUAAAUUUUAAAUAAUAAUUUUGAUAAAAUUAUUAAAGAUAUAAUAGAUUUUUCAUCACACAAGUGAAAAAUUGUAUCAGUAUAACUUUUAAGUUACAGUAGUUAGUGUUUACCAAACACUUUAGUGCUGUACCUUUUAAGUUACAGUUGACCAACUUCAAUUCCAAACGCACCCUAAGUAUGAUACUUUGUUGGGAUACUCAUUGAUGCCUCGCAAAUCAAUUUUUCAGGGGUAGCUGUAGGUGCUGGAAUGCAAAGCACGGUUGCAUUUGUUAACUUGGGAAGCUAUUACUUUGUUGGAGUUCCUACAGGAGUUUUGCUUGCAUAUGUGGCCAAUCUCGGAGUUACGGUAAGAAAUAUAGUUUAUGUUUAAUUAAUAAUAACGAUCAAAUGUACUCUGGUUAAUUGAAUACAAUUUUAAUUAAAUAGAUAUGGUGUUUUGUAAAAAUUGUACCAUUGACUCUCUCACGAGUUGAUUGAUGUUGGUUUAAUUUGACAGGGUUUAUGGAUUGGAUUGUUGGGUGGAAUUGUUAUUCAAACCAUUAUUCUUUCCUUCAUCAUAUGGAGGACCGAUUGGGAUGAUCAGGUAAAUUAGGAUUGAUUGCAGGGCACGUGUUGUGAUUACUGCAAAUUUUUAUGAGAUUAAUUAUUGAGUGGUUUUCUUUAGAACACACUCUUUGAAAGGUUUUUUUGGUCCACAAUGGGUGUUUAUUUAGGUUAUAAAAAUUUAAAAAAUAAAUAAAGAUCAAAAGUUGGCUAAAAUUUAUAGAUAUUGCUCUCAUUCUUGCAGGUGAACAAGGCAUCCCAACGUCUCAACAAAUGGUUGCUGAAACCAUCUGAAAAAUCUGAUCGAAGCUCUCUAAAUAUGUAGAGUUGUGUAAUUCAUUACUUGCACAAGAAUAUUUGUCGGUUGGGCCUAUCAGUAGAAUAAUAAUAAAUCUGAAUGAGUUGAAUCCAAAGUUAUUCUUUUUUUUUUUUUUAGAAGGAAUCCAAAGUUAUUCAAUUGAAUGUAAAAUGGAUUUUCCAUCUUCUUUUGUCACCCCUGGAAAAUCCAUCUUAAAAUCUCUUCUUUAAUUAUAUAUUCCACUUAAUGUCAAUUUUUUAAAAUAAAUAUUCUUUUUAUUUUUGAAUCUAUGUGUUCCUGUAAUUUUCUCACUUUUAAAACUAUUUUUAGUCUUUAAUAUCUUUACUCUUCUCUUUGAAUUUUCUCUAUCUGCAAAUUCAAAAAAACUAACUUCUCAAAUAUUAAAAAUAAAAAUAAUGAAAAUGAGAAAAAAAAAGAGAGAAAGGAAAAUAGAUUAAAAUUGAAAUUUGUACGAACUAUUUAUAGUUAUUAUAGAGAUAAGACUAGAAAAGGGAAUGAGAAGCAAACCUUUUAACAAGUACCAAAAUUUGAUGAUUAUAUAAUACCGCGGACUGAAUUGAUACUUUGUUCUUGAUAAGGAUGAAUCACAAGAGCUGAGACGAUCUAGAAAGCUCUUGAUCAUAAUCAAUUUUGUAACCCUACUUCGGUAUGGUGCAUGCACCUGCUGGAAUCAAAUUCCUUGCAAUUGAUAGUUCCAACUUCGUAAGAUGAAAUUCGGUAAUUUUACAUAUAGGUUCGUCCCGAUUUGCAUAAAAUAUAGAUUUUAAAAAGUUUUUAUCUAAAUUUAAAAAGAAAAUAAAAAAAUUUAUUUGAGCCAGGUUAAAUCCUGGGACAUGUGGGUUAUGGGCCCACCGCAUUUAUGCUAUGUUGCUAUGAUUUUAUUGUUAAAAGUAGGGAUAAUAAUUUUUUCUGAUGAAAUCUUAUGGGAUCCCAUCUCAUUUGAGACAGGAUUUAGAUAUAUUUUUAUCUCACAAAAAAAUAUAGGAAUGGAAGUGAGAUAUUUUUUUAUCCCACUUACAUAUACGGGACGGGAUUGAGAUUGACAAAUUCCAUCCCAUCUCGUUUUCAUUGUAGACUAAGGAUGAGAAUUUUUCUAAUUGAGAUAAAAUCUCUCAGAAUCCCAUCUCUUUUUGGACGGGAUCGUGAUAUAUUUUUAUCCCAAAAAAAAUAUAAGAACGAGAGUGAGACAUUUUUUUAUCUCAUUUGCAUAUAUGGGACAAGACUGGGAUUGGUAAAUUCCAUCCCAUCUCGUCCCAUUGCCAGCCCUAGUUAAAAGGCUCUCAGUUUUAUUUAAAUAAAUCAAUGUGCUUUUAGAAAUUUCGAUAGGCAAUCUAAAUUGCUUUAUUGUUAAAAGACUCUCAGUUGCAUGUUCCCUUCUACGAUAUCUAAUACUCAAAGUCUUAAUUAUAUAUAUAAUUAGUAUUAUUAGUUGUAGGUAUCUUAUAUGAUCCGUUGAUAUCUGCAUAUGUACUAUUUAUUGUAUUAAUGCAAACUCUUUAUUAUUUAAUUAAUUCAAUCAUGAAGGGUAAAUAUGUCAUUUCACUUGAUUUAUACUCUUAAAACAUUUUGAACUCCAUGCUGACAUCGAGACCAAAAGUAAAAUAGAAAAAUAAUUAAUAAAGAUGACGCCGUUAUAACGGAAAAGAUAUAUAAACAUAUUUUGAAAAUUAGUGGAAGAUAUUUUUCUACUUAAUAACUAUCACCAACCAACAUCGUGGCGUCAUGCUACGUUUCCCUUGAGUGCUUGCGUCUUGUAUAUGCUUGGACUCGGAAUUUAUGCUCGUGGGCUCAUGUGUCCGCGUGUGGCCAAACAAAUACGAGACAAACAAAGACUCAAUGCACUCGAAAUCGUAAUCAAUGCUUCUGCAAUUUUUGCCAUUCAUCUGAGAGUAAGUGUUGACUGGCUUUCUUAGUUAUGCACUUAUGCUCCUGCAUAUAUGCCAAUGGCCAUUCAGUGACUCAGAGUUUCCACUUCCACUUUCUUUCUUCUUUUAUAUAUAUUUAUUUUUAAACAUGGUAAAAUUUUAUUGAUAUAUUUAAAAUUAGAAUCCUAAUAAAACUCACUUAGAUUAAUACUAUUAAAACACAGCUCAAAAUUAUACCCUCAUUAAUAAAAUAAAAUAUACUUUUCCUCAUAAUCUAAUUGACAAUUAGUACACAAAAGAGCAUUUUUACCUGGGGUCCAAUGUGAAAAAUGUUAAAUAAAAAGAAAAAAAGAAAGAAAAGUACAAAUCAUGAACACACACGUCGAGUGACGUGCCAACCGUCCAAAAUUUACCAAACCAGAAAAGAAAAUAGGGUGUAGAAUGAAUCACGUGAUUGAUCUUGUCUCGUUCACAUUUGUCCGAAAGUAAUUAUAGUGACAUCUUUCCUUGGCGACAGAAAUCCAUGGACGUGAUCUCGACAAACCCAUUUCUCAAAAUAACAAUUGAGAUCUAUUAGAAUAGGGAGAGUAACAUCUUAGUCCAUCUUAUAACUCAUUUUCACAUUUUAAUCUUUAAUAGAUUUUAAUACCUCAUUUUAUCUAUGAUGUUCAAACAAUGACAGAAUAAAUAAGCUGUUGAUGGGUAAAAGUUAUAUUUUAACAAUUAAAUUAGUUAAUUUUUAUUUGUGGAAGUUUCAAACAAUCGUUUUAUUUAUGAAAUGAUCAUACUUAUUAUGAAAUAAUUAUAAAGUGGUAAAAUCAAUUCACAUGAAAUUUACUUUUUGCCUUUUGAUCAUGUUAUGAAAUAACCUCAAUAAGUAUAUAUGCCUUUGAGAGUUUUACUGGUAUCAGUAGAGCUGAGUUGAUAUUGUUGGUGGUGUGGUAAGGAUAUGGUUUUGGAGGAUUUGGAUUUUUAGGGUAUUCCAUGGGUCUUACUUUUUUCAAAUCUCCAGUGGAAGAUAUUCAGCAUGUGGUUGCGAGCUUCAAUUCUCAUACUGUUGACAAUCUUGUCCAAUUUGAUGAGAAUUUCAGUUUUGAUGGGAAUCCAAUGUUGAUGCUUAUUUCUUGUUUGAGCCUGAGGAUACUGGAAGGCUUGAUCUUAGUCCCGAUUUUGGUAUUGCUAGCCCGCAUGCCUCUGGUUUAAAGAAAGGCUUCACAUUUGACACUGCUCGCAUGUAUAAUAAGCGGCACUCUAGGUAUUAGCUCAUCUUCUUAUAGUUUCUUUGUUAGAUUUUGCCUUAGUUUGCUCUCUUUAGUUAAUUCUUUGUUAUUUAAUUGCUUUUGCUAUUUAUUUUGUUUUUGUUAGUAGUGUUUGUUCUUUGACUUAGUGGUUUUGGUCACAUCACACUUCAAAUGUAUUUUCUUUUCUUUUAUUUAAUCUAUAGAUAAGGGGUCCCGCCUAACUUGGUUUCAAUUUUUUUUUUCUAAAAAGUUUGUCUUUUUUUCUUAUGCAUAUGCAUGAAAAUGAAUUAUGAAAGACCACAUCGCGAUAUGAUAAAAGAGCAACAUAUAAUUGAUAAAACUAUUGUGACAUGAUUGAUUAAAGAAAUAAAAAGUAGAUGUUUGUUUACUCUCUAUAUUUUGAGAAAAGUACUCAUUUAAUCUCUAUAUUUUAAGAAAUAAUUUAAGAUAACUUUGUUAAUAAUUAUAUUACAAUCUUACCCUUACUUUUCUUUUUGUUUAAAAAUAAAAUCAUAACAACAAUAUUCUUGAAAACAUUAAUGAAAAGAAAAAAUGUGAAUUUGUCAAAUCAACCUUAAAAGUAAAAUAAAAAUGAGUUAUUAUUAUUUUAGGAUUAAUUUGGUAAUUAAAUUAAUUUUAUACAAAAAACUAUUAGUAAGAUUGUUGCAAGGGUAUUAAACAUUACUUUAAAUUACUUGGUAUUCAUUUAUUUAUAAAUAUUAAUUAGCAAGAUUGUUACAAAAGUAUGAAAAAUAUCAAUUGUUUUAUACUUAUAUUUAUUUCUUAAUUUAUUAAUAAGUAAUUAUUGGUUAAUUUAUUAAUUAAUUUUUUUAUAGACUAAAAAAUUAAUGUAAAAUAUAUUGUUGUAAGAGUAUGUAAAAUAUAUUGUUUCAAGAGUAUUAUUGUAAACACAUAAAAAAGAAAAAAGAAAGGAUAGGAGUGUUAUAUAUUUAAUAAUAAAAAUGUCUUAAAGAAUUUUAAAAUACAAACAUUAAACGUAGAGUUAAGUUAAAUUUAGAGACUAAACAGCGAAACAAAUAAAGUAAUCUUGCUUUGCCAUUUCUCUUUGUCGUUAUUGUCAUAAAUAUUGUGACAAAAACAAGCACCAUGUAUAGUACAAUAUGCCCCAGAAGCAUGUAUAAUUUAAUUAAUUAAUUACAGAGCAGGGUGGCCAGUGGAAAGUGAACGGAUGGAUAAAUUCCCAAACGAUUGAUUUUGACGCAUGAAUGAAUUGAUUAUAUUAUGUUACAGAUUCUGUAACAUACGCACCCAAUGCAUGCACCACACCUGUCCUGCACAUGGAGAAAAGUAUGCAAUUAUUUUUGUUUAGUAUCUAGCUAACCAAUCAGGAGCUGGCCAAGUUGGAUCUGUAUGUUACAGAAUCUGUAACUUAGCCAGCUCCUUGAUUAUAUAUACCCAUGAGUAAUUAUUGUACGCUCAUUUUCACUGUUUUUUCAUUCCACUCUGUCAGCUUACUAAAUUAACAUCAUCCCAUUCCCCAGGUGUCUUCUUUGCUUGCCUCUACUUUCAUAUCUCCUCUGCCUAUGCAUUCUUGAAGUGAGAAAUUAAUCUCUUGGGCUGAAACUCUAGCUAGAAGCUAUCCUCCUUGUUCAACUAAUCAAGCAAGAACUUCUCUCAAGGCCAAGUAAGCUUCCUCCUCUCUCUCUUUGAAGUUUCCUCUUCUCUCUCUUUUUCUCUAAAUAUUUCUGUCAACAGUGACAUGAAUCAGAGGGGAACUACGUGUAGAGUUCAAUAUAGUUUUUUGUUAUAUGUUUUAAUUAACUUCAUAAGUUUUUUUGUUAAAGUUUUGAACGUAUGUGUUGUUGUAUUUGAUUCUUUUUCAAGAAAAUAAUUGAGAAAAUAACCCUACAACUGGGAACCCUUAAAACACAUGACAAAUGUAAUAAAGAAAUCAUAAUUCAUACUAAAAAAGCUAACUCUCUUUACAUACAUACUAUGCGCAGCUGUAUUUGCAAUUAGGUUCCUUUUUUUUUCUUUCAAUGAAAGAUAUGAAUCUCUUCUUUCAAUCUCUUAUUAUUUAAAUGAAUACAUAUAGAUUUUUUUCUCCUUAAUACCUACCCGUGUACUUAGUCAUUUUCAAUUCAUUAAUACUUUCUUGAAUAAUUUUUUUUUUUUUAAAUGUGGUGGUUGGACUGUAUUUUCUUUUAUUUCCUAUUUGUCCUUUAAGUAGUUUCUAUUAAUUACACUCACCCAUGAAUUCAGAUAAGUUGAGUGGACUUGAUCGUAAGUCUUCUUUAUAUUUAAUCAAGUUUUUGUCUGAUUCAUAGCUCGAAAAGAUACAUUAUUAACAUGAUUUUUGCUGUUACAAUGCAUCUUACCAACAUCGUACAAGUGCACCUUAAAUAAAUACUUCCUACCGGUGAGCGAACACCGAGACACACGCCACUUCGGCCGUGCCGAAGAGGUGGGCUGCUGCCCUCACAACGGUUUAAGCCCCUACAAAAGUAUUAUAGGGACUAAACAUUUAUAUAUUCUUCUUUCUUGCGAAAUGCAAGUGAAAUAGGGGCAUCCUCUUCUGUAAGGAUAAUUUAUCUGAAUAUCUAUUUCAUAUAAUGUAAUAUAAUCAUAUAUAAAUUCCAGUCAUAUAUAUUUGAUUAUAAAUAUCAAUAUAAUAUUUGAUAGUCGUUGUAAAUAUCUGUAUAAUAUAGUAAUAUAGUGUGUAAUCAAUAUUAAAAAAAAAACACCGAGACACACAAAAUCCACACAGAAUGAGACGCAAAAUUCAAGAGAAAAAGCCACUAAGAUUUUUAAGAGAUUUGCUUUUGGACUGAAACGUGACACAGACGUGCAUCGGUUACAUAAUUUUUUUUUUAAAAGAUAAACUUUAGAGUUUGCACAACUAUUUUGAAAUUUUAAAAAAAAAUUAUGAAACUAUUUUUAAAAUCAAAGAAUCUACAUAUUCAUUUAAACAAAUCUUAGACGUAUAGAUGAUUUUUCUAUUAAAAUUCAGACUCGAAUAAUAUCACUCAUAAUUAAACAAAGGUGUGUGUAUGAAAUAUAUCAACAAAUUAUGUGCCUAUUGGUUGCGCACAAGGCAAAUUUUUUUUUUUAAUUUUUGGUAUUGAUCAAAUUUAGAGGGGCCGGGAUUAGUUCUUUACUGGAUUAAAGCAGUCUAGGUAGAUUAAUUUGCUAUCUAUAUUUGCAUUUUCCAUAUGUAACAUUAUUUUCUCUAAACAAAACUGUAUUUUAGAUGGAGGAGAGACUACUCGGUUCAGAAGCAAAAGAUAUUGAUGAUUUAAAAGGGAGGGUUUGGAAAGAAUCGAAAAAGCUAUGGAGGGUUGCAUUUCCUGCAAUGUUAGCUAGGGUUUCUCAGUAUGGUAUGUUCGUUAUCACACAGGGAUUUAUUGGUCAUCUUGGUGAGGUUGAGCUUGCAGCUUACGCGCUCAUUCAAAUCAUAGCCGUCCGAUUUUCAAAUGGGAUUUUGGUAAGAUUUUGUGAUUGCAUUUAUUAUCCUUAUCUCCCAGUACAAUAGGGAUCGACAAAAUAUGAGCACUACUAAUCUUAUCUGCCCCCACGAUUCCACUCGACCUUCUAUUUUAUUUUUCUUUUUCAGAAAGUUGGUCUUAUUCGUCCGGGUAAUUCCCCACUUUAGUGUCCUAAAGUUGAGCUACAUAUUGACGCCAUUAUUUAAUUUGCACCUUUAUCUAAAAAGCAAUCAUGCAAAAAUUUUACUUAUAUCUUUUUCUGGUAUUCUCAAUUUAUUUCAUCACCGACCUUUUCGACGUGAUUUUUUUUAUUUUAUUCCUCUUUGGUUUGUCCUAUUUUGUUAGAUAGAAGAUAUUUGUUCAAACUCAAUUAUUGUAGCCACUGGGCGGCUGGCGCAGCCCUCAAUUGGUCAUGAAUUGCGUCGUGUUACUUGAGUUUGAAUAAUAAUUAAAGAUAAAAAUUGAUGUUUAGUGUCUGAAAUUUGUCCAUAUCAAAUGACGUAAAGAAUUUGGGGAGAAUGACUUUGAAUUAGGUCCCAAUAUCUCUUACUUUUAUCACUUAGGCUCUUUUUUUUUUCUCCUAAUACCCAUUACGUUCUUGAUUUUAUAAUUUGAAGGUUCAAAUUUUAUUGUUGAAGAGCAAAUGUAACUUUUUACCUACAAAACUUAGUAUCCAAAUUAUUUUUUUUCUUUUAAUAUUUGAAUAUUAGAGACUUAAAUAGCAAGAGUUUAUUUGUUAAACGUCUGAAGUCUGAAAUUUUAUUAAUUUAAGAUACUUUUUAAGUUUACUUGUUUGUUUUUUUUAAUAACUUAUGUAUGAUUUUUAGACAUUUAUAUUAACUUUUGUGACUUUUAUCUAAAUGAAAAAAUGUCUUAAUGGAAAGGUAAAACUAUAUCCAGAAAUAUCUCUAUCAAAUAUAAUUAUUUCUUAAAAUAUAAAACCAAAUAUCUUUAUACGUUUUAACUUAUAAGGACAUAAACAUCAAAUAUCCAUGUUAUCUUUUUUAUUUUAUAAAAAUAAAUAAAAAGUACCUAUGUUCAAAUAUUAAAAAAAAAAAUAGGUCAUCCAAAUAUUUGUAUUCAUAUUCAUUUAGACUUCUGUUAAAUUCAUACUUAUUUAAUUUUUCAGACAAAAAAAAAAACUCUUGGUAAAAUUAAAAAAAAAAUUAAGGAUCUAACUGUCAUUCUUCUAGUAUUUCAUGGAUAGUACUUAUAAAUAUGUUUAAUAAUAAACAAACGACAUGACUACAAAAUUUUUUAAUGUGCCAGGUUUUCUCCAUGCCUAUAAGCUUCUAGCUAGCUUUAGCUGAAUUUUGUGUGAAUCAAGUUGACUCUUUUUAUAAUAAGGGCAUCAGAUUCGCUUAUAACUUUGUUUGGUAUCAAGGAAAGUUACAAUUGUAAAAUAAAAAUUAAUAGUAAUAUAAUAAAUAUAAUUUUAAUAAAAUAUUAAAAAUAUUAUAUAUUUUUCAUCAUAUAAAUAAAAAAUAAAAUCAAUUUAAAUCUCAAACUCCAAUAUUAAGUAUUUAUUAAAAAAUUUAGCAUCAUCACUAAAAAUUAACAAGUGCAUGUCCAACUACAACACGUACAGGGACUCUGUGUAGACUCUGCGUAGAAGGGCACUGGCUUCUUCCUGAUUGUGCGUAAUGAUUACUUUAAGAAGUGGCAAACAAUGAAGGGCCCGCAAUGAAGAAACCUUCAGAGUGCAGAAUUUCUUUAGGGUUAUAAAAUCGAAUUAUUCCAUGAUGUGAGAAUCUCAACGUAUAGUUUUAUUGUGUCCAUUUAAGCUAUUUAUUUGUACUAUCAUUUCACCACCCUUUUUGUCCCGAUUCGAUAUUAAUUCUAAGGGAGAAUAAGUCUUAGGUCCCCUAUAUUUUUUUCACAUUUAUUAUUCAAGUCCCCAGUUUAUUAUGAAUUAUCCAUUAUAUAUCCAGGAUAUAUUGUAGUAGAUUGACAGUAAGGUUACCAUGGUAAAAGAGCUUAAAAUAGUUGAACUCAGGGGUGUCAAAUUGUGCCAUGCUGUUAGGAUCUCACCAUAAAAUUUAAGUUAUUUCGAUACGUCGUGUUAUAUUGUAUUGUAUUGUAUUAAGAUGUAAUAAUAAUGUAUCAUAAGGGUGUAUUAAAAAUCUCCGGAUUCAAAUUGAAUAAAUUGGCUAGGGCGCCACUGAUGAUGAACAAUGAAACUGCAUAGAACAAAAUUAUGGAGGUAGAAGAGAUCUUUGCAAAUUGAUAACGAUAUUCAGUUCUUAUAAAUCAAAACAAUCAGCUCUUACAAUCAUAAUGCAAUCGAAGUCAAUUUUUUUUUUCAAUCUUUUCAUUUUGCAUUUUGUAGAUCGGCAUGUCAAGCGCAACUGAAACUCUGUGCGGGCAAGCAUUUGGAGCAAAGCAAUACCACAUGAUGGGUAUCUACUUGCAAAGAUCAUGGAUCAUAAAUCUUGCUACUGGAACAAUAUUGCUUCCUGCGUUUAUCUUCGCAGCGGAUAUUUUCAAACUGCUCGGAGAACAAACAGACAUAGCAAACAGAGCCGGAGACAUCUCACUUUGGUUCAUUGGCAUUCUCUAUUUCUUUGUCUUCAGCUUAACGAUCCAAAAGUACUUGCAAGCACAGCUCAAGAACAUGAUCGUCGGAUGGCUUUCGGCUGUUGCAUUUGCUGUUCAUGUGGCCUUGUCAUGGAUCUUUGUGAGCAAAUUGAACUUGGGGAUUCCUGGUGCAAUGAGUGCAAUGAUAAUCGCAAGUUGGUUUAUAGUAAUUGGACAGUUUGUGUAUCUCUUUGGCGGUUGGUGUCCCAAUACAUGGAAAGGAUUCAGUUCUGCAGCUUUUGCUGAUUUGUAUCCUGUUUUGAAGCUCUCAAUAUCCUCAGGUGUAAUGAUUUGGUAAGAUAUCCAUUUCUAUUGUAUAUCUAUAGCCGAACAAUAUAUCUAUUUAAUGUUUUAAUCUGUCCCCAUGAAGUUAACCCAAGAGUUUUCAAACAGUUUUUUUUUGAGCUAAUCGUAUCGUUUUAUGUUCUUUUUUGGUGGCUUUUAACUUUAAUAGCUUAGAGUUUUGGUACAAUGCUCUUCUAGUCCUAUUAGCAGGAUAUAUGAAAAAUGCCACAAUUGAGAUUUCUUCCUUCUCCAUUUGGUAAGUUUUAAAUUUAUGCCAUAUAUACUAUUUCUUUGUUUUCCUGUAAAGUUUUUUUUAUGCCAAAAACUACACUAAAUUAGAAUAUUUGAAUGUCAUUGUAGCCUCAAUAUCAUAUCUUGGGAAUUUAUGUUGGUCUUUGGCUUCCUAGCUGCCUCUGGGUAUGUCUCCAAAAAUGAUCAUCUCCUUUAAAAUAAUAACAUAGAAAAAGAAAGAAUAGUAACAUCUUUUGGUAUGGUAAAUAGUCACAAAAAUUCUCUUAUUUAUAGAAAUGGUCACACAGACCCUUUUUUGGUAUAUAAAAUUAUCUUUUCUGUGCAUAAAAUUGUUAAACAAACUCCUAAAAUUUAUCUAAAAAAGGUGGUCUGUGUGAUCAUUAUUCUGAAAUAAAUGAGUCCCUGUCACUAUUUCUCCAAAUCACGGGUGUCGCCAUCUUUUAUUGCAUUCAUAUCAUCUCUUAUAUCUUAUUUGGUUUUCUAGUGUGCGGGUUUCAAAUGAACUGGGGAGAGGAGAUGCUAAAGCUGCGAAAUUUUCUGUAAAAGUUGCAAUAGCUACCACAACUGUCAUUGGAUUUUUCUUUUCCUUAAUCUGCUUAGUCUUCAGCCGUAAGGUAGCACAUUUGUUCACAAGUAAUGAUGAAGUAAUAGAAUCCAUCACAAGCCUCUCAGUGCUGCUUGCUUUCUCGGUUUUACUCAAUGGCUUUCAGGCAGUACUCUCAGGCAUGUACUGAAUUUAAUAAAUAAGAUUGCGAUAGUUAAAAUGUUUCUAAUUCAUCAUUACAAUGGAUUAAUAUUUUCAAUGUAAGUUAUUUAUUGCAGGGGUGGCAGUAGGUGCUGGCCGGCAGGCUGUGGUUGCAUAUAUUAACAUCAUUUGCUAUUAUUUCAUUGGCUUACCUGUUGGCGUUCUUCUCGGAUAUGUGGCCGAUCUCAAAGUUAAGGUGAGAAUUAUUUUGCAAUUUGAUAUUUCAAUCUGAAUUUGGAUUAGAGUACUGAUUUGAGUUGGGGUGAUUCUAUAAAACAUCUUGUUUCAUAUGUACAAGAUUUAUUUGAAUUUAGAUCAUACGAUAAUUUUAAUAAUACUCAUUUUUUAAUAAAUUUUUACCACGCAUGUAAUAAUUUAUAGUAAUGUACCGUUAACAUCUAAUUGCCUAUGUAUUAUUUUUCAAUAACUAUGGAUCACAAUUCACAAUUCUCUAAAAGAAAAAAAAAUAAAAAUCAUAUCAACAAUAAACUUAAUCCAUAUUCUUAUGAACCAUGCUACNNNNNNNNNNNNNNNNNNNNNNNNNNNNNNNNNNNNNNNNNNNNNNNNNNNNNNNNNNNNNNNNNNNNNNNNNNNNNNNNNNNNNNNNNNNNNNNNNNNNAUCAAUACUAUGGUCAAGGGGUCGAAUCCCGAGUGCACUGAAAUUGAACCGGAUUUGUUUUAAUUAGAAACAUACAUUUAAGUUUAAAUUUUUUUCAUAAAAAUCCAUGAUGAUUAUUUGAAUGAAUGGUUUGAUAUUGCACAUCAUGAACAGUAACUUUAAAAAAAAUUCGAUUGUAGUUCAUCUUCAGAAACAAGAUCUGAUUAUUCUUUUAAUUUGCACAGGGUAUUUGGACUGGAAUGCUGCUUGGGGUAGUAAUGCAAUCACUCGUGCUGGGGUAUGUCACCUGGAAAACCGAUUGGGACAAUGAGGUAAGUAAUUAAAAUAAAUUCACCAAUAUGUACACAUCAUCAUCAAUUGCAUGCCUCAUUAAUGCUCAAUCUCUCUAAACUUUUCAAAAAAGAAGUGUCAUAUUUAAUUUGUAGACUUGAAUCAUACAUUUGAUGACAACACUAUUUCCUCUCUCUAGGUGAAGAAAGCAUCAGAACGACUCAAUAAGUGGCUCUUGAAGCCUUCUGAAGAAGAAUCCAACGGCAAUUAAACUCAACAAGUUAAGGUCCAAUAUUGCUUGAAGAUCCUGAUAAUCUCAAUCAUGCAUGUAUUUUCUCUGCCAAUAAACCGAUUAACGUUAACAACAAUAACAACUUCAGAUCAAAUUUCUUUCUUUUUGUCUGUUGGCAAGAAGAGCUUGAUAAUGAGCCUGCGCAAAUGCAAUCUAAUAUUCUGAGGUUAAUUAAUUCAAGAAGUUGCAUCUUCACAAG